GAGCAUUGCCCGCCUGGCUGGAUAGGUGUGUAUCAAUGGUGCUCGCAACUGGUAUAAACCGGAAAAAAAUCGUUCAUGAAUAACUCAACCUGAAUCAUGGAUUGCUCUCCAUAGUCUGAGCGAUAGCAGUACCAUACCCAUGCAUAUGUGCAUGCUAUAUCAAGAAAAUCAGCAAUUCCAAUAAGAUACUAAACCUAUCCUAUGGUUCGUAUCUAGAUGUUUCCCCUACUAAAAAUUCACAUCGACUUGUCAUCAGGAGCUUCCUUGCUGCAAAAUACACACAAUAAAAUAAAAAUUAAACUAGUUCGGUUCUAUCUGAAUCAAUUGAUGCCCGCACGUGGUGGAUAGCCCUGGGACUCGACACUGAAAUCAAUAGAUGGGUACCUUCACAAUCGGCAGUGGAAUCAGACUGGACAUCGCCGGAUGGUUUCCUGCAAACUAGGUCCUGCUGGAGGGCCGUAAAAUGAGGUCUCGGCCGCCGUGCCGAAUGCAGAUGAGAGCCGGGCCAUCGGUCCUGCAGAAGAGGCGUCUGACGGGAGUCUGGCCGCCGGGCCGAACGAAGAGGGUAGCCGGGGGUUGGCGCGGAAGGCAGAGGAGGCGUCGGUUGCCGCGAGUUGGAGUUGGAGGUCGAGCGGCGGUAGGCGCGGGUGGUGCCGCGCGCAGCGCAGGAUGCGGAAGAGCGCCUUGGGGGAGGAGGCGUGUGCGGAGGGGAGCCCCGGGACUGGGAGGAGGCUCGGCGGCGAGAGGUGGAGCGACAGGAAGGGGGCGAGGGGGGUGGAGGCGAGCGCGGUGGAGAAGAGGUACGUGGAAGAGAUCGACGGAUGGGCUUCUGUUGGGCUCCCUUUAUCCAUUAUUACACCAACUCGUCGUCUACAUGAAGGCCUCUUCGGUUACCAAUCCCACGAUUUCUUUUAAAACAAAUGCUGAUGUGGUGAGCUGCAUAAAGAUAAAAAAACAGUAAUUGAUGAGGUAGCAAGGCUGCUGAGGUGGAUAGGCUGCAUGUUAAGAGAAAUAUGAUAGUGGGGAUGAACUAUUUAGGUAUUAUAGAUACCAGUCUUUUAAUAAAAAACCAAAAAAAGCUGCAUCAUCAAGGAAUCAAAGAUCUAACCUGACUGGGCAUGCAAAUGCCCAAUUACCAAAUAGUUUAAUAACCCUUUUUAAUUUAUUAAUGGUUUACAUAUAAUAUUAUGUGAGGUCAAAUUUUUGGAAAAUCCAAUUAAAUAUUUCGGGUUUUGUCGCAAAUGCACCGAUUAACCGGCGACCCGACUGGCAAAAACCUGAACCAACAACCUCAUUUGCCGGUUUGGUUUUUUAAACUAUGGUGUUAAGUCAAUCUUUAGAUGGACAAACUUUAGAAAAUUACAAAAUUAACCAUGAAGUAAAAAAGAAAUGGAGAGAGUUAAAAAAACGGAGAGGCAAAAAAAAAAGAAGAAGAACGAGUGGAGCCGGUUGGCUGAGCGUGGGGCUGGAAUAUAUAGGCAUCCGACCAUCGUUUGUUUGUUAUAGAAACCCUAGCUUAAGCGGCGGCGGCCGCGAGUAUACCACACGCGAGCCUGGUUAGCAAUCUGAAUAGAGAAAAAGAGAGAGAGAGAGAGAGAGAGAGAGAGAGAGAGAGAGAGAGAGAUUGAUGGCGCGCGGCGGCGGCGGUGGAGUCGAGUUUCGGCCGCCUCCUGAGAUGGCGAUGGAAGAGAUGGAUCGGCAGCCUGUCGUUGUUUCCGAAGCAAGAAUCCUGAGGAUGGAGAUUGCGUCCCUGGUGAACUUGCUCAUCGAGAAACAAUCUGACGUUCUUUCCUACGAUCCCGAGAUCAUGAGGAAGAUCACGUCCCUGAGGAGCGAGAUCGCGUGCCAGAAGCUGGCCAGGGAGCGCAAAGCCUUGGUUACGGAGGUCAAACGCACAGUGCCGCGGAGGCGCAAAAAGUUUUAUGCAGUGCGGAGGGUCGCUGAGAAGGAGAUCAUGGCCGAUCAGGAGAGCGUGGAUCUGCCUAACUCCGAUACGCAUAGUGUGACCUCCCAAGUCAGUUGCAUCCCCGAGCAGUUGCCCGAGCCCUGCGACCAGAAGGAGAUCGACUCGGAGAAUAACAAAUCAGCUUCCAGAUUCAAAUCCAACUUCGAGCAUGUAUAUUCACCCUACGGUAUUGAGGACGAGGGAGUGCGCCUAAACCGCCAAUUCAGUCAUAUAUUGCAGCAGGCGGAUGCCUUGUGUGACGAGAUGGCAUCUAUAGCAUCUAUUCUGAGGAAAAUCAGUGUCCCCAUCAUCUCCUAUUACGAUGUCUCCGAUCUGUGUAACACAGCGCAGAGUUUAUCGAGGAUCUCCAAUAGUAUAUUGUAUAAUAGCAUGAAUGCUGAUAAACAGAUGGCGGUCCAAUAUGCUGAGGACCAGAGGACCAAGGAGGAGAUGACCGAUCAGAUGGGCAAAGGCAAAUCCAGCACCCACUGUCUUGAGAAGCAGAGGACUGAGGAAGAGGUGGAUGUAUCUAUAACAGAUUUGACUGACCAUACCGCUGAUGAUGGCCAGUUGACAGAUGAUGAGGGUGACCAUUUUGUGGGAGCAGAUUUGAUAAGUUGCCUUUCCAACCAGAUGACUGCAUACAUGGAUGAUGGCCAAUCAAGCGCCGAGACGCAUGAGUCGAGGAUGAUGGAUAAAGGCAAAUCAAUUAGUGAAGGCAAGUCAAGCAUGGAGACACAUGCAUCGAGGAUGUUGGAUAUGAUGGUGCUGGUUUCGGAUGAUAAGAGUGAGUCGGAUGGUAUGACCAACUUGUGCAAAUAUUACAAGAUGCUCGAAUUUGAGGAUGAGAAGGUGUUGGGCAAGAUGACUGCUGAGAAUUUAAGGAUGUAUUACAAAUUUCGUACGGAGCUAUUAAAGAUGGAAGCCAGCUUACGCGAGUUCCGGGAGCAGAAUGAAAAGGAUGACCUGAGGUGGGAGCAGGAUAAAAAGGACGCACUGAGCUGUUGCAGAACAGACCCGACCCCGUUCUCACUUCAGGACGCGGUAGGGGAGGAGGGGGAGGAGGAGGGGGAGGAGGAGGAGGUGACAGAAUUCACAGAAUCAGACAAAGAGGAGAUGGAGAUGGAGGACAGGUUGUUUUCUGGAAAACGUGAAGUCUGGGAAUCCGCAUGGGGAUGCUGUGGUGAAUUUGAAGACAGUAGUAAGUAAACAUGAACAUCCAUCGAAUCAUUCUCCUCUUAUUUGGCAACCAGAUUCUUCCCUUCCUUUUUUCCUUGUACAAGUAAUUCAUGUUAGAACAUGUCUAACACUUGGAUUAAUUUGGUGUCGCAGCCGCAGUGAGUCCUAUGCACUUUACACAUUGCACGCCGGGACUGAUCCCGUACGCCGCUCGCUCUGUGAGCACCUUGCAGAUCUACUCCUUGAAGAUUGUUGGAACAGAUGGAAAGUUGAAGUUACCACUCCAUGUGUAUGGUGUUGUUGCUGCCCGAGACACCGUGGACUACAACCGCAACAUUCUCUUCUUUAGGCGAAGGGAAGACUGUCAAAAACUCACUCCAGAGGUAUGUACCGUAUUCCAAAUUUCUCUCUGUUUUCCAUUUUUGUUCUUGCAUGUGUCCUUGUUCAUUCCAUUCAGCGACAAUGAUGACUAUGAUCCCUGCAGGAUCCAUUUUUGCACUUGACUGGCCCGUCCCGUGCCAUCGUGGCUGUGGACCAUGUUGACUUCGAAGUCCAACUGAAAGUAAAGGGUGCAACAAGGUCCAGCGACAGAGCAUUGAUCAGUCGUUGCUGCACUUAUUCUGGUGGUUAUCAUGAAGGUUUAGAUACCGCUCUCAUCAGCAACUGCUUUUGCACGGUAGAGUUAAGCUUGGAGCGACUCGCAAAGACAGUCCAGGCUACCACCUUAAGUGUCCGUGUUGUUGAAGGGGGACCGUGGCCUUUUGAAUAUGGUGGUCGGAUUGUGUGCUCCUCACCACCACAGGAAGUUAUGGACUCCCUGGCCAGGCAAGUUGUGUUGGUUGAUUCUCGUUCUUCUGAUGGUGGAGAAAUGCCAAUGGGCACAGAUGGCUACCUUGAUCUGUCAAGGCAUGUUGUUUCUGUAGAACUGGAAGAAAGCCUGCAAUUUGUUAUACAAGCCUACUCGCAGUCUGGUGAUGCUAUUGCUAGACAAGGUCGUGUCAAGUUCAGGGCCGAAUAUUGCAAUGUAAGUCGAGGUAUAUGUGAGAUUGGUGACUCUAAGGUGGAGAUUACUGUUGCUUGGUCCAAACUUGUUACCAAAAGGAUGGAUAUCCUCUUAGAAGGGCAUGUUUGAUGGUUCUUGUGCGUUGGAGGUUAUGGACUACAGAACCCGUUACCCAAAUUUAUCUGUUUGUCCCUUGCAUGUGGUUUGUGAAACUGCAUAACUAUUUUUGUAUUGAUAUGUCCAACUAUUUGUGUAUCUGACUAUCUGUGUCCACUUCAACUUCUUAUUAUGCUAUGUGAAGUACUAAUUCUGUUUCGAUAAUCAGCAUUAAUCCUUUGCAGAAAGCCUAGAUUUUGUGAGCCAGCCGCAAGUAAAAUGGUCUGCAUCGUCAAAUCUAUGGUUAGAGCAACUCCAAGAAAUCCCGUAUCUGUAAAAUAACAGAAAAACAUCUCCAACAAAUCAUGUAUCUGUAAAAUAACAAAAAAAUCUCCAAUAAAUCCCGUAAACAUGUAAUAAAUUUCCAGGGUCACGACGCCAUCGCCGCCUGUGCUGCGCCGCACCGCCUUGUCACGCCACCGCCGUCGCCUCGCCGCCCCCAUGACCACGACGUGUCUCGCCGGCGGCCAACGACUACCUCGCGCCUCCCUUGCUGGAGGCUGUCGUGCGUGUCACUGACUGGGGAGCCCUAGGCCAUUAUCUAGUUCUGUUUUAUGAAAAUUAAAAAUGAAAACCUAUUUUAGGGGAAGAAGUUUAUGGAAUCUGACAAAGUAGCUCUCAUGAAACUUCCCUUAAAAUUUACGAACAUCCUGUAAAACUAGUUCGGGAAGUUUCUUAGAGGAACCGAGCUGCUCUAAGAGCAACUUCAAUAGAUCCCCUGUUCACAAAAAAGCUACAUUUAGGGGAAGUUUGGGCAAAAACAAACGUCCACAACAAAAUCUGUAAACCCGGAAUAUAUUUAGGAUCCUAUAAACUCGACCGGCCCCAAGUUCCCUCUUGUUUAGAAAGAUGACCUUCCCCUAAAACGUUGGUGGGCUAAAAAAACCUGGCACUUCACCGUGCAUUCCCCCAUGCCGUCACCGCUCCGCCUCAGCACCCGCCCGCCACCAUUGCCGCCUUGCCGCCCUCGCGAUGUUGCUGCCACCUCACGUCACUACCACCGCGCCACCACCGACUUUCGGGCCCUAGGCCAUCAGAUGCGUCAAAGUUCCGGCCUGUUGGUCCCAAUCGAUUCAUUGUUGAGGCAUUUUGCCUUGGAGACAAGGAACACAUAAGGAUGCAGGCCUUGGCUAUUCCACAACUAGGUAGUCUUGUUGUGCCCAUAUGAUGUGGAUAAAAAAUGCUCCACUUAUGGACCGCACUUACGAAAACUCUCCUACGGACAGACUUGGCAGAGUCUAAUUUAUCAGUAACCCCUGGAUUUCAGGUGCGGGGCCCUCCUGUCCCUAAUCUAAUAAUGCCACUUCCAUCUGUAGAAAAAUGACUGUAAGUGUAACAUUGCUCAUGACGGAUUUAGCAGAGAUGAGGACAUUGAUUUUGUUCAUAUGCCUAUAUGGCUACAAAUCCAUAAGUUGCCAUAUUUUUAAUGCAAGAAGAACAUUGUGGAGAAACUUUUUUUGAAGCGGAGGCAAAAGCUUUGGCUCAUGUCAUUAAUAAAGAAGAAGAGAAUUGUCUUGUUAAUUAACGCAAAACCGAACAAAAACGGCACAAACACCCUCUCCGGCAGUAACACGACAACCUCGAGGGAAUACCAGCCAACCUGGCUACCAACACAAGGCGCACACACACCACCAAAGAGAGAGCCGCAAUCAAGGUUGUCCACCAGGGUCAUCGUCAUCACUCCUCCUCGAGCCGGCGACUCUGACUUCACUGAAGAAAGCCUGGUCGCAGUGGCUUCGCAAACCCACGCCGGCACAAGCCAAACAGUUGACUCUUCGCGUAGAGGACUGUCAGCUCUGAUUCUGAUGACGAGAUCUGAAGAAGAUAUAUGCAAAGCUCGCGCCGAUGAAGAUCUUCAUGACAGGACCGCCCAAUGCAGGUCAUCCUUGCCACACAAUACAUGGCAGCUCCAACUUCCAGCAACGGAAGACCAACACAAAGACCCGUCGGACAUGCUGGAACAAGCGCCGACUACCAAGUUCUUGCCGCGACCAAACCAUCACUCUUCAUCACCAUCGUUGUUGCGCAAGACAUCACACGGGAUCCACGCAUCUCCGGUUGGCCACCUACCAGCCGCGACACCGUGUGCGUCCAACCCACCAAGAAACGUGGAUGGGAGCAAGAUUUUCAAGGCGACGCCCCAAAGGAGGAAGACGACGUGAGAACAACGCCUGUCGCUUGACUGGACCGGUCUAGGAUUUCCCUCGAAAAGCUUACCUAAGGAUGGGAGAGGUCGAAGAAGACUCCGUGGCGACGCCUCCAAGGAGGAGAGCGACGCCACAGGUGUCGCCGCCGUUGUCCGGCAAGAGUCAGGCAAGCUUUCACUUAGAGCCUUCUAGACCACCAUCCCCAUUCCAUUGACGCGAGUCGGCCACUGGCCUGGACACUACGGACACGACGACCGCUGAACGAAAUAUGCCCUAGAGGCAAUAAUAAAGUUGUUAUUUAUAUUUCCUUAUAUCAUGAUAAAUGUUUAUUAUUCAUGCUAGAAUUGUAUUAACCGGAAACUUAGUACAUGUGUGAAUACAUAGACAAACAGAGUAUCCCUAGUAUGCCUCUACUAGACUAGCUCGUUAAUCAAAGAUGGUUAAGUUUCCUAACCAUAACAUGUGUUGUCAUUUGAUGAACGGGAUCACAUCAUUAGAGAAUGAUGUGAUGGACAAGAUCCAUCCAUUAGCUUAUCACUAUGAUCGUUUAGUUUAUUGCUAUUGCUUUUUCUUCAUGACUUAUACAUGUUCCUAUGACUAUGAGAUUAUGCAACUCCCAAAUACCGGAGGAAUACUUAAUGUGCUAUCAAACGUCACAACGUAACUGGGUGAUUAUAAAGAUGCUCUACAGGUGUCUCCGAUGGUGUUUGUUGAGUUGGCAUAGAUCGUGAUUAGGAUUUGUCACUCCGAGUGUCGGAGAGGUAUCUCUGGGCCCUCUCGGUAAUGCUCAUCACCAUAAGCCUUGCAAGCAAUGUGACUAAUGAGUUAGUUGUGGGAUGAUGCAUUACGGAACGAGUAAAGAGACUUGUCGGUAAUGAGAUUGAACUAGGUAUGAUGAUACCGAUGAUCGAAUCUCGGGCAAGUAACAUACCGAUGACAAAGGGAACAACGUAUGUUGUUAUGCGGUUUGACCGAUAAAGAUCUUCAUAGAAUAUCUAGGAGCCAAUAUGAGCAUCCAGGUUCCACUAUUGGUUAUUGACCGGAGAUAUGUCUCGGUCAUGUCUACAUAGUUCUCGAACCCGUAGGGCCGCACGCUUAAUGUUCGAUGGCGAUUUAUAUUAUGAGUUAUGUGAUUUGAUGUACCGAAGUUUGUUCGGAGUCCCGGAUGAGAUCACAGACAUGACGAGGAGUCUCAAAAUGGUCGAGACAUAAAUAUUCAUAUAUUGGAAGGUUACAUUCAAACACCGGAAUGGUUCGGGUCGUUUCGAAUGAGUUUUGGAGUACCUGGGGUUACCGAACCCCCCGGGAAGUUAUUGGGCCUCAUGGGCUGAUAAUCCCCAAGUGCAGGAAAUCAUCGUAGCAAUUUUCAAAGGUGGAAGUGAUAAGUAUGGAGUGUCGAACCCACAAGGAGCUAAAGGUAAGAUCAAUAUUCUCUCAAGUCCUAUCUGCCACUGAUACGACUCUACGUACACCGAACAUUUGCUUGCAACUAGAUACGAGAAAUAAAACUAUGUUGUGGGUAUGAAGAGGAUAACUUUGCAUAAUAUCGGAGAGCUAACAUAUAAAAGUAGGUGAUGUUAUCAUAAAGUUAGAAUGUAUUACUAAAUAUUAUACAUAGCGAGUGUGGAAUAAUGAUGGGUUGGUGUGCAGAAUUAUCCUAGGCAAUUGUUAACAAGACCGGUAGUCGUCAUUGCAAUUUCAUAUGAGGGAGAGGCAUAAGCCAACAUAUUUUCUCUUCUUGGAUCAUAUGCACUUAUGAUUGGAACUCUAGCAAGCAUCCGCAACUACUAAAGAUCAUUAAGGUAAAACCCAACCAUAGCAUUAAACCAUCAAGUCCCCUUUAUCCCAUAUGCCACAACCCCCUUACUCGGGUUUAUGCUUCUGACACUCAAGCAACCCACUAUAAGCGAAUCAUGAACAUAUUGCAACACCCUACAGCGGGAAUCCCUCACGCUUGCGCGACACAGAGGGCACAAUAGGACAGCACCAAAAUAAAACAUACAACUCGUACCAAUCUAGAUCAUCAAUCAACCCAAAGAUAAAAGAUAUCUACUCAAAACAUCAUAGGAUGGCAACUCAUCAUUGGAUCAUAAUAUGUGGCAUAAAGCACCAUGUUCAAGUAGGGAUUACAGCGGGGUGCGGGAGAGUGGACUGCGUAAAAGAGAUGAGGAUGGUGAUGAUGAUGGUGAUGUUGAUGAAGAAUCAACCUAAAAUCACUCUCUACUAAAAAAUGGCAUCUAUUCUCGUGAGCGCAAAGUUUCUGUUUUUUACAGCAAGAUUGCAAAGACUUCACCCAUGUCUUCCCAAAGGUUCUACUUGGCACAAACACUAAUUAAAACAUAAAACCACAUAUAACCAGAGGCUAGAUAAAUUAUUUAUUACUAAACAGUAACAAAAGGCAAGAAACAAAAAUAAAAUUGGGUUGCCUCCCAACAAGCGCUAUCGUUUAACGCCCCUAGCUAGGCAUGAUGAUUUCAAUGAUGCUCACAUAAAAGAUAAGAAUUGAAACAUAAAGAGAGCAUCAUGAAGAAUAUGACUAGCACAUUUAAAGCUAACCCACUUCCUAUGCUUAGGGAUUUUGUGAGCACACAAAUUAAGGGAACAAGAAUCAACUAGCAUAGGAAGGCAAAGCAAGUAUAACUUCGAAACUUUAAGCACAUAGAGAGGAAACUUGAUAUUAUUGCAACUCCUACAAGCAUAUAUUCCUACCUUAUAAUAAUUUUCAGUAGCAUCAUGAAUGAGUUUAACAAUACAACCAUCACAUAAAGCAUUCUUUUCAUGAUCUACAAGCAUAGAAAUUUUUCUACUCUCCUCAUAAGCAAAAUUCUUCUCAUUCGGAAUAGUGGGAUCACUAAUUCCUAAAGUUGACACUAUUCCAAACCCACUUUAGAUGAUAGUAUUAUUCAUACUCCAAAAGAUAUAAGUGAAGUUCAUGGAGCAUUCUACAAUUAAUAUAGACUAACCAAUAUCUAAGCUCAAAAUAUGUAAGUGAAGCACACGAAGCAUUCUAUAAAACCAUACUCGAAAGAUUUAAGUAAAGCACAAAGAGCAAUUCUAUAAGAUCAUACUUAAAAGAUAUAAGUGAAGCACAUGAAGUAUUCUAUAAAUCAAUGAAGGGCUAACUCAUACUAGCAUGGUUUUUAAAGAAAAAAACACAAAGGACACAAAUCAUGUGAACAAAACAAAAACCGAGGUAUACCGAUAAUUGUUGAAGAAGAAAGAUGGGAUGCCAACCGGGGCAUCCCCAAGCUUAGAUGCUUGAGUAUCCUUUGAAAUAUUGCCUUGGGCAUACCCAAGCUUGAACUCUUGCCUCUCUUUAUUCUUCUCAUAUUGAUAGCUCCUCGAUCUUCGAACACUUCAUCCACACAAAACUUUAACAAAAACUUUGUGAGAUCCUUUAGUGUAAUAAAGCAAACUACCACUUUAAGGUACUGUAAUGAACUCAUUCUUUAUUUAUAUUGGUGUUAAACCUAAUGUAUUCCAUAGAUUCAUCAAAAUAACAAAACCACAUGCAAAAAAUAGAAUCUGUCAAAAACAGGACAGUCUUUAGUAAUCUGGAAGUUUAGUAAACUUCUGUAACUCCAAAAAAUUAUGAAAUAAAUAUGAAAAUUUGAAAAAUUUGUACAGAAGUAAUGUGCAAAAAGUUUCAGAACCAUUUGACCUUCCAGUAAAAAAUGUAAAAUCACGCGCUACAGCCAAAGUUUCUGUUUUUGUUCUGCACAUAGUAAACAAGCAAUCUAAUCAUCCUAAAACCAAAGCUUGGCACAUUAUUUUUGUAAUACAAUGGAUAUAUACAAGGGGAUAAUUAUUUACAGAGAAACUUCCAUGAAAAAUUCUACAUUGUUUCCGUGAGCAUGAACACAAGUGCUCAAGGUCGACCCUCACUUCUUCAAUGCAUAACUUUCCAAUCACUUCGCUUUUUGAAAAACUUUUUUUUAGGCAUGAGAGGCAAGUAAAUUUUUUUGUAUUUACAAUCUUUUAAUUUUUUUGUAUGCUUCACCCACAACUAAACAGAAACAAAAAGGAAAAACAAAAUCUACUUAGUGAAGAAAGCAAACAAGCACACACGAGAAUAUCAACCCCAUGCUAUUGCUCCCCGACAACAGCGCUAGAAAAGAGCUUGAUAAUCCCCAAGUGCAGGGAAUCAUCGUAGAAAUUUCCAAAGGUGGAAGUGAUAAGUAUGGAGUGUCGAACCCACAAGGAGCUAAAGGUAAGAUCAAUAUUCUCUCAAGUCCUAUCUGCCACUGAUACGACUCUACGUACACCGAACUUUUGCUUCCAACUAGAUACGAGAAAUAAAACUACGUUGUGGGUAUGAAGAGGAUAACUUUGCAUGAUAUCAGAGAGCUAAAAUAUAAAAGUAGGUGAUGUUAUCAUAAAGUUAGAAUAUAUUACUAAAUACUAUAAAUAGCGAGUGUGGAAUAAUGAUGGGUCGGUGUGCGGAAUUAUCCUAGGCAAUUGUUAACAAGACCAGUAUUCGUCAUUGCAAUUUCAUAUGAGGGAGAGGCAUAAGCUAACAUACUUUCUCUUCUUGGAUCAUAUGCACUUAUGAUUGGAACUCUAGCAAGCAUCCGCAACUACUAGAGAUCAUUAAGGUAAAAUCCAACCAUAGCAUUAAAGCAUCAAGUCCCCUUUAUCCCAUAUGCCACAACCCCCUUACUCGGGUUUAUGCUUAUAUCACUCAAGCAACCCACUAUAAGUGAAUCAUGAACAUAUUGCAACACCCUACAGCGGGAAUCCCUCACGCUUGCACGACACGGAGGGCACAAUAGGACAGCACCAAAAUAAAACAUACAACUCAUACCAAUCUAGAUCAUCAAUCAACCCAAAGAUAAAAGAUAUCUACUCAAAACAUCAUAGGAUGGCAACACAUCAUUGGAUCAUAAUAUGUGGCAUAAAGCACCAUGUUCAAGCAGGGAUUACAACGGGGUGCGGGAGAGUGGACCGUGUAAAAGAGAUGAGGAUGGUGAUGAUGAUGGUGAUGUUGAUGAAGAUGAUCACCGCGGCGAUGAUUCCCCUCCUGAUGGCACUCCGGCGCCACCGAGAGAGAGGAGGAGAGGUCCUCCCCCUUGUGCUUCCUCUUCCAUGGCCUCCCCCUGGAUGGGGAGAGGUUCUCCCUCUAGUCCUUGGCCUUCAUGAAGAUGAUGGCCCCUUCGAGAUCCUUCCCCAUGGCCUCCGGUGAUGAUGGCCCCCUCCGGCAGGGUGCCAGAGAGGGCCUAGAUUGAUUUCUCGUGGCUACAGAGGCUUGCGGCGGUGGAACUUCCGAUCUAGGUUAUUUCCCGAAGGUUUCUGUAUUUAUAGGAGAGGUUGGUGUUGAUUUCACGUUAGGGGGUUCUCCUGGCUAUCCACGAGGCAGGGGGCGCGCCCCCCACCCUCGUGGGCAGCCCGGGACUCUUCUGGCCCAACUCUUUCACUCCGGGGGCUUCUUUUGGUCCAUAAAAAAUCAUCAAAAGUUGGCACGUCAAUUGGACUCCUUUUGGUAUUCCUUUUUCUGUAAAACUCAAAAACAAGGAGAAACCUAAAACUGGCACUGGGCUCUAUAUUAAUAGGUUAGUCCCAAAAAUCAUAUAAAAUAGCAUAUAAAUGCAUAUAAAACAUCUACGAUGGAUAAUAUAAUAGCAUGAAUACUUGAUAAAUUAUAGAUACGUCGGAGACGUAUCAUCGGCCUAGUGGUGGAAGAAAGGAGGCAGGCCAGGGAGUGGCGCAUGCCCCCCCUAGCCCAAUCCGAAUUGGACUAGGGUUGGGGGGGGGCCCUCCUUUCCUUCUCUUCUCCUCCUCCUCCCCCCUUGUCCUUGUGGGAAUAUGAAAGGGGGGCGGGCGAAUCCUACUUGGAGUAGGACCCCCCCUUGGGCGCGCCACACCUUGGCCGGCCUCCUCCUCCCUCCCCCCUUUAUAUGCGUGGGAAGGGGGCACCCCAAAGGCACACAAAAGUUUCUCUUAGCCGUGUGCGGAGCCCCCCUCCACAGAAACACACCUCGGUCAUAUCAUCGUAGUGCUUAGGCGAAUCCCUGCGCCGGUAACUUCACCAUCACCGUCGCCAUGCCGUCGUGCUGACGGAACUCUCCCUCGGCCUCAACUGGAUCAAGAGUACGAGGGACGUCAUCGAGCUGAACGUGUGCUGAACACGGAGGUGCCGUACGUUCGGUGCUAAGAUUGGUCGGAUCGUGAAGACGUACGACUACAUCAACCGCAUUGAUAAACGCUUCCGCUUUCGGUCUACGAGGGUACGUGGACACACUCUCCCCGCUUGUUGCUAUGCUUCUCCUAGAUAGAUCUUGCGUGAUCAUAGGAAUUUUUUUGAAUACUACGUUUCCCAACAACCGCACCAUCACCACGUCGAGGCCACCGCCUACCUCGUUGUCGACCAACACCGAUGAGCCAGAUCUGGUGACCACAUCUAACCAUGACGUAGAGCUUCAAGACGCCUCCGUCUGGAGGAUCAACUGCCACCAAAACUUGGAGGGGAGGCCGCCACCCACCCCAUCGCACCGGAGGAAAGACCGCUAACUUAAGCCUGCAUUGCUUUCCACCGUCGCCGCCCCGACGCGCACGAAAGAAAAAGCUUCCCAUCGUGUGGAGAAACUUCUGAAAGGUGCAGAUGAGAUCAUGGAUAUGCGUUUGAAUGGAAAUAUUAGGGGAUACUAUAUUCUCUUAAGGGUGAAACAUGAUAUACGUAUGCCCUUGACCAAAUAUGUAAGCAUUGUCAGAGGUAAAGAACGACAGCUAUAUCUUGUUCGCUCUGAGAAGCUCGUGAGGUACUGUAAGAUUUGCGGCCUAGUAGGUCAUGGGUUCAAGGAGUGUGGGCUCGGAAUCCAUGCAGAGAAAAAUAUAAAGUUUGGUGAUUGGAUUUAUGCAGAUGCUCCUAACAAUCCUAGGGCAUACAAUGAUGGUAGGCCAAAGGGCAUGCAUGUUGGUACACGGGCUAAGGAUUAUAUCAGUAAUCAAUAAAGGAGGGGCCGAACCUUGAAAUAAUGGAUACAACUUCGAGCCUAGUGAAAAUUCUAGGUAGUAGUGUGGCAACGGAAAAGGACUCUAUAAAGCAUUUGAAUAUGGAUGUGGUGGAGGCGAACACAAGAGCCUUUUGUGCACCAAAAGUCAUGCUAUAACUGAUGGGAGUGGGAAGGAUUUGAAAGAGAACAAUUCUCCAACUAGCAGUAAAAGCAGUAAAAGGGUGAAAGUUACCAAGGAAAGUGGAAAUGAUGAGAUAUAGGCGGCCUCCCUUGGAGAGAACCGCCGGAUGCAACGAAUAUCAUGUUGUGGAACUACGUGUGCGCGCGUGGGGGAGAGGGGGGGUGUGCAGUUUGUGAGGUAUUGGCCCUCUCUAAAGCCAAUAACCCCAAGCUUGUCUUUCUUUGUGAAACUAGACAAGCUUUAGAUAAAGUUGAGAAGUUAAGAUGGAGACUAGGUGUGAAAGGUUUCCAUGUAGUGAGUAGUGAUGAAAGAAGUGGAGGUUUGGCACUUUUCUCGGAUGAGUCUUUAUUAGUGACUGUACUUGAUGCAUGCAACAUGUACAUUGAUGUUAAUAUUUUGGAUGGUGGAUCUGGUAUUUCUUGGAGGGGGACCUUUGUGUAUGGGGAACCAAGAGUUGAAAACAUAUAGCAUAUGCGCACUACUGCGGGAUGCUGCUAACGCGACACUACAAUCAGAGACCCAUCGACAAAAUUGUGUGUGAUGCAUUAUUAAUCACAAAAGGUGGUGCAAAAAACCCAUAAAAAAUGAUACAAACUAUUUGUGAUGGCGGGGACAUCAAACACGAUUCAGAUUAGAUUUACGUGUGCGAUACAUGGCAUACAGUUCAUCUAUACAAACUGUUUGCGAUAAGCAUAACAAUAGAAGCGGUCAGCCAAAUGAAGGUGUGUGCGAUAUAUGGCAUACAGUUUACUCGGAUAAACUAUUUGUGAUUAGGAAACACAGCAAAAUUGGUCAGGCAGAUUAAGGUGUGUGCGAUAGACGACAUACAGUUCACUCGGAUGAACUAUUUCUGAUGAGCCAAGACAACAGAAACAGUUCAACUUAACAAGAUGUGUGUGAUACUGAUAACCCACAAGUAUAGGGGAUCAAUUGUAGCCUUUCUCGAUAAGUAAGAGUGUCAAACCCAACGAGGAGCUAAAGGUAGGAUUUAUAUUCUCUCAAGUUCUAUCAACCCCCAAUACAACUCUAUGAACACUUAAUGUUCGCUUUACCUAGAAAAAUAAUAAAACUAAAAGUACUUUGUAGGUGUAGUGGGAUAGGUUUGCAAGAAUAAAACUAGAUGUACUUAGCAAGAAUAAAACUAUGAGAAAAUUGCAAGAUAAUAAAGUUAGUUGUUUAGUAGAGAGAUUUUUGUCACAAGAAAGUUAUUUGUCCCUAGGAAAUCGAUAACUAGAUUGGUAAUAAUUAUUGCAAUUUUAUACGAGGGAGAGGCAUGAGCUAACAUACUGUUGUAGGGUGGAACCCUAGAUGGAGAUCUUUCAUGAAUUGGAGGGGAAAUCCCCAAGAACAAGAAGAACACGAAGAACACAAGAGAGGGAAAACACUCAAAUUGACUAGAUCCAAUCACACAUAUGCUAGAUCCAAGAACACACAAGAGGUCACAAUGAUUCAAGGACAAGAAAAGAAAGAUACAAGGUAACUAUUUCAUCCCAAUACUAUGAGGAGAGAGGUCUUGAUGAUCCUAUGAUGGGGAUCUUUCCCUAGAUGGGGGGCUUGAAUCCACUAGGGAUCAUCUCCAUAGGAGGUCUUGAUCUCCAUGGGAGAGGUCUCUCUCUCACAAGAGGAGGUACAAGGAGCAAAGUUCACUAAAUCAUGUCAUAUCCUUUUCUAUCAUUCUAAUGAACUAGGGGGGAGUUUAUAUAGUCUAGGGAUGAAUUGUGAGGGAGACGGGGAUACAAGGGUCCAAAACACAAAAGUGCACGCAGGCACGCGGAGUGGUCCGGGCACCCGGAGCAAGAUCGGCCGGGCACCCGGACCGGCCAGGGCCUCUUCUCGGGAGGUGGUAGCAGGGGGCCGGGCACCCAGGGGUUGACAGCCCGGGCACCCGGGGUGGCUGGUGGCGUCCAUGCGAGGGGGUCGGGCGCCCGGGGCCCAAGGUGCGGGCACCCGGGUCGGCGGCCUGUGGCCUGGAGGGAGGGGGCAGGCACCCGGGGCCUCAAGGCCGGGCACCCAGGGGUGGCCUGGGCCGCGGCUAGGCCAAGUGAGGCCAGGCACCCGGGGCCAGCUGGGAGCAGCGCCAUGGAGGGGCCGAGCCUCCGGGGCCAAAGUGCCUGAGCACCCGGAGUGUCCAGUGCCUCUUCUCCUUCAUCCUUCUCGCUCCUUUCCUCCUUCUUCUCGUCCGUAGGUGCUCGGGUCUUUGUGCUAGCCUCUCCAUGAUCAACACCUUUAUACCUAAUCAGGCAUAACACUUCCGUUUGAGGUAGGACCCAACUCUCUAAUGAAUUUGAGUGGAGCUCGAAGAGGAAGGAGCUGACCUCGUUCUCGAUGCUGCGUGCACGUGCUCUUGUCCUAGGUCCUCUCCGUGCUAGUGGUGGUGGUGUGACUUCCAUGGGGAUGGUCGAGGGAUGCUCCGCAUCACAUACUUUCUCUACUUGGAUCAUAUGCACUUAUGAUUGGAACUCUAGCAAGCAUCUGCAACUACUAAAGAUCAUAAGGUAAAACCCAACCAUAGCAUUAAAGUAUCAAGUCCUCUUUACUCCCAUACACAACAACCCACUUACUGAAGGAAAUAUGCCCUAGAGGCAAUAAUAAAGUUGUUAUUUAUAUUUCCUUAUAUCAUGAUAAAUGUUUAUUAUUCAUGCUAGAACUGUAUUUACCGAAAACUUAGUACAUGUGUGAAUCAUAGACAAACGGAGUGUCCCUAGUAUGCCUCUACUAGACUACCUCGUUAAUCAAAGAUGGUUAAGUUUCCUAGCCAUAGACAUGUGUUGUCAUUUGAUGAACGGGAUCACAUCAUUAGAGAAUGAUGUGAUGGACAAGACCCACCCGUUAGCUUAGCACUAUGAUCGUUUAGUUUAUUGCUAUUGCUUUCUUCAUGACUUAUACAUGUUCCUAUGACUAUGAGAUUAUGCAACUCCUGAAUACCGGAGGAACACUUAGUGUGCUAUCAAAUGUCACAACGUAACUGGGUGAUUAUAAAGAUGCUUUAUAGGUGUCUCCGAUGGUGUUUGUUGAGUUGGCAUAGAUCGAGAUUAGGAUUUGUCACUCUGAUUGUCGGAGAGGUAUCUCUGGGCCCUCUAGGUAAUGCACAUCACUAUAAGCCUUGCAAGCAAUGUGACUAAUGAAUUAGUUGCAGGAUGAUGCAUUACGGAACGAGUAAAGAGACUUGCCGAUAACGAGAUUGAACUAGGUAUGAUGAUACCGACGAUCGAAUAUCGGGCAAGUAACAUACCGAUGACAAAGGGAACAACAUAUGUUGUUAUGCGGUUUGACCGAGAAAGAUUUUCGAAGAAUAUGUAGGAGCCAAUAUGAGAAUCUAGGUUCCGCUAUUGGUUAUUGACCAGAGAUGUGUCUCGGUCAUGUCUACAUAGUUCUCGAACCUGUAGGGUCCGCACGCUUAACGUCCGAUGACGAUUCGUAUUAUGAGUUUAUGUGAUUUGAUGUACCGAAGGUUGUUCUGAGUCCCGGAUGAGAUCAUGGACAUGACGAGAGUCUCGAAAUGGUCGAGACAUAAAGAUUCAUAUAUUGGAAGGCUACAUUCGGACACCGGAAUGGUUUGGGUCGUUUCGGAUAAGUUUCGGAGUACCGGGGGUUACGGGAACCCCCCGAGAAGUUAUUGGGCCUCAUGGGCCUAGUGGUCGAAGAGAGGAGGCAGGACAAGGUGUGGCGUGUGCCCCCUAGCCCAAACCGAGUUGUACUAGGGCUAGGGGGGGUGCCCCCCUUCCUUCUCUUCUCCCUCUCCUUCCCCCCUUCUCCUUGUGGAAGUAGGAGGGGGGGGGGCAAAUCCUACUUGGAGUAGGACUCCCCCCCUUGGGCGCACCUCCUCCUGGCCGGCCUCCUCCUCCCUCCCUCCUUUAUAUACAUCUGGAGGGGGCACCCAAAGGCACAACAGACAAUCUCUUAGCCGUGUGUGGUGCCCCCACUCCACAGUUUUAUACCUCGGUCAUAUCGUCAUAGUGCUUAGGCAAAGUCCUAUGCCGGUAACUUCAUCAUCACUGUCACCAUGCCGUUGUGCUGACGGAACUCUCCCACGGCCUCAGCUGGAUCAAGAGUUCGAGGGACCUCACCGAGCUAAACGUGUGCAGAUCACGGAGGUGCCAUGCGUUCGGUACUUGGAUCGGUUGGAUUCCGAAGACGUUCGACUACAUCAACUGCAUUACUAAACGCUUCCAUUUUCGGUCUACGAGGGUACGUGGACACACUCUCCCCGCUCGUUGCUAUGCUUCUCCUAGAUAGAUCUUGUGUGAUCGUAGGAAAUUUUGUGAAAUACUACGUUCCCCAACAGUGGCAUCCGAGCCAGGUCUAUGCGUAGAUGUUAUAUGCAUGAGUAGAACACAAAGAGUUGUGGGCGAUAAUAGUCAUACUGCUUACCAGCAUGUCAUACUUUGAUUCGGCAGUAUUGUUGGAUGAAGCGGCCUAGACCAACAUUACAUGACCACGUUCAUGAGACUGGUUCUACCGCCGUGCUUCACACACAGGUGGCUAGUGGGUGUCUGUUUCUCCAACUUUAGUUGAAUCGAGUGUGACUAUGCCCGAUCCUUGUUGAAGGUUAAAACAACACACUUGACGAAAAAUCAUUGUGGUUUUGAUGCGUAGGUAAGAACAGUUCUUCCUAGAAGCCCGUAGUAGCCACGUAAAAAUUGCAACGACAAAGUAGAGGACGUACUAACUUGUUUUUGCAGGGCUUGUUGUGAUGUGAUAUGGUCAAGACGUGAUGACAUAUAAAUUGUUGUAUGAGAUGAUCAUGUUUUGUAACAGUUAUCGGCAACUGACAGGAGCCAUAUGGUUGUCGCUUUAUUGUAUGAAAUGCAAUCGCCAUGUAAUUGCUUUACUUUAUCACUAAGUGGUAGUGAUAGUCAUAGAAGCAAUAAUUGGCGAGACGACAACGAUGCUUCGAUGGAGAUGUCAAGCCGGUGACGAUGGUGAUCAUGACGGUGCUUUGGAGAUGGAUAUCAAAGUCACAAGAUGAUGAUGGCCAUAUCAUAUCACUUAUUUGAUUGCAUGUGAUGUUUAUCCUUUAUGCAUCUUAUUUUGCUUAGUACGGCGGUAGCAUUAUAAGAUGAUCUCUCACUAAAAUUUCAAGGUACAAGUGUUCUCCCUGAGUAUGCACCAUCGCGACAGUUCUACGUUCACAUACAACGGGUGCAAGCCAGUUUUGCACACGCAGAAUACUCGGGUUAAACUUGAUGAGCCUAGCAUAUGCAGAUAUGGCCUCGGAACACUGAGACCGAAAGGUCGAGCAUGAAUCAUAUAGUAGAUAUGAUCAACAUAGUGAUGUUCACCAUUGAAAACUACUCCAUCUCAUGUGAUGAUCGGACAUGGUUUAGUUGAUAUGGAUCACAUGAUCACUUAGAUGAUUAGAGGGAUGUCUAUCUAAGUGGGAGUUCUUAAGUAAUAUGAUUAAUUGAACUUUAAUUUAUCAUGAACUUAGUACCUGAUAGUAUUUUGCAUGUCUAUGUUGUUGUAGAUAAAUGGCACGUGCUACUGUUCCGUUUAAUUUUAAUGCAUUUCUAGAGAAAGCUAAGUUGAAAGAUGAUGCUAGCAACUACACGGACUGGGUCCGUAACUUGAGGAUUAUCCUCAUUGCUGCACAGAAGAAUUAUAUCCUAGAAGCAUCGCUAGGUGCAAGACCCGGUGCAGGAGCAACACCGGACGUUGUGAACGCUUGGCAGAGCAAAGCUGAUGACUACUCGAUAGUUCAGUGUGCCAUGCUUUACGGCUUAGAUCGGGACUUCAACGAUGUUUUGAACGUCAUGGAGCAUAUGAGAUGUUCUAGGAGUUGAAGUUAAUAUUUCAAGUAAAUGCCCGGAUUGAAAGAUAUGAAGUGUCCAAUGAAGUUCUACAACUGCAAAAUGGAGGAGAAUGGUUCUGUCAGUGAGCAUAUACUCAGAAUGUCUGGGUACCACAAUCACUUGACUCAACUGGGAGUUAAUCUUCCGGUUGAUAGUGUCAUUGAAAGAGUUCUUCAAUCACUGCCACCAAGCUACAAAAUCUUCAUGAUGAACUAUAAUAUGCAAGGGAUGCAUAAGACAAUUCCUCAGCUCUUCGCGAUGCUAAAGGCUACGGAGGUAGAAAUCAAGAAGGAGCAUCAAUUGUUGAUGGUUAACAAGACCAGUAGUUUCAAGAAAAAGGGCAAAGGGAAGAAGGGGAACUUCAAGAAGAACGACAAGCAAGUUGCUGCUCAAGUGAAGAAGCCGAAGUCUGGACCUAAGCCUGAGAUUGAGUGCUUCUACUGCAAAGGGACUGGUCACUGGAAGCGGAACUGUCCCAAGUAUUUGGCGGAUAAGAAGGAAGGCAAAGUGAAAGGUAUAUUUGAUAUACAUGUUAUUGAUGUGUACCUUACUAAUGCUCGUAGUAGCGCCUGGGUAUUUGAUACUGGUUCUAUUGUUCACAUUUGCAACUCGAAACAGGGGCUACGGAUUAAGCGAAGACUGGCUAAGGACGAGGUGACGAUGCGCGUGGGAAAUGGUUCCAAAGUUGAUGUGAUGCCGUCGGCACGCUAACUCUACAUCUACCUUCGGCAUUAGUUUUAGACCUAAAUAAUUGUUAUUUGGUGCCAGCGUUAAGCAUGCACAUUAUAUCUGGAUCUUGUUUGAUGUGAGAUGGUUAUUCAUUUAAAUUAGAGAAUAAUGGUUGUUCUAUUUAUAUGAGUAAUAUCUUUUAUGGUCAUGCACCCUUGAUGAGUGGUCUAUUCUUGUUCAAUCUCGAUAGUAGUGAUACACAUAUUCAUAGUAUUGAAGCCAAAAGAUAUAAGUUUAAUAAUGAUAGUGCAACUUAUUUGUGGCACUGCCGUUUAGGUCAUAUUGGUGUAAAACGCAUGAAGAAACUCCAUGCUGAUGGGCUUUUGGAAUCACUUGAUUAUGAAUCACUUGAUGCUUGCGAACCAUGCUUCAUGGGCAAGAUGACUAAGACUACGUUCUCCAGAACAAUGGAGCGAGCAACAGACUUAUUGGAAACAAUGCAUACUGAUGUAUGCGGUCCGAUGAGUAUCGAUGCUCGUGGCGGGUAUCGUUAUUUCCCGACCUUCACAGAUGAUUUGAGCAGAUAUGGGUAUAUCUACUUGAUGAAACAUAAGUCUGAAACAUUUGAAAAGUUCAAAGAAUUUCAGAGUGAAGUGAAAAUCAUCGUAACAGGAAAAUAAAGUUUCUACGAUCUGAUCGUGGAGGUGAAUAUUUGAGUUACAAGUUUGGUCUUCAUUUGAAACAAUGCGGAAUAGUUUCGCAACUCAAGCUACCCGAACACCACAGCGUAAUGGUGUGCCGAACAUCCUAACCGCACUUUAUUAGAUAUGGUGCGAUCUAUGAUGUCUCUUACUAAUAGGGAACCAUCUAAUUGUGGUUUGGCAAGAAACCCAAGUUGUUGUUUCUUAAAGUUUGGGGCUGCGAUGCUUAUGUGAAAAAACUUCAACCUAAUAAGCUCGAACCCAAAUCGGAGAAAUGUGUCUUCAUAGGAUACCCAAAGGAAACUGUUAGGUACACCUUCUAUCACAGAUCCGAAGGCAAGAUAUUCGUUGCUAAGAAUGGAUCCUUUCUAGAGAAGGAGUUUCUCUCGAAAGAAGUGAGUGGGAGGAAAGUAGAACUUGAUGAGGUAAUUGUACCUGCUCCCUUAUUGGAAAGUAGUUCAUCACAGAAAUCAGUUCUAGUGAUUCCUACAACAAUUAGUGAGGAAGCUAAUGAUUAUGAUCAUGUAACUUUUGAUCAAGUUACUACCGAACCUCGUAGGUCAAGCAGAGUAAGAUCCGCACCAGAGUGGUAUGAUAAUCCUGUUCUGGAAGUCAUGUUACUUGACCAUGACGAACCUACGAACUAUGAGGAAGCGAUGAUGAGCCCAGAUUCCGCGAAAUUGCUUGAGGCCAUGAAAUCUGAGAUGGGAUCCAUGUAUGAAAACAACGUGUGGACUUUGGUUGACUUGCCCGAUGAUCGGCAAACCAUAGAGAAUAAAUGGAUCUUCAAGAAGAAGACAGGCGCUAACGGUAAUGCUACUGUCUACAAAGCUCGAAUUGUUGCAAAAGGUUUUCGACAAGUUCAAGGAGUUGACUACGAUGAGACCUUCUCACCCGUAGCGAUGCUUAAGUCCGUCCGAAUCAUGUUAGCAAUUUCCGCAUUUUAUGAUUAUGAAAUUUUGCAAAUGGAUGUCAAAACUGCAUUCCUUAAUGGAUAUCUUAAAGAAGAGUUGUAUAUGAUGCAACCAGUAGGUUUUGUCAAUCCAAAAGGUGCUAACAAAGUGUGCAAGCUCCAGCGAUCCAUUUAUGGACUGGUGCAAGCUUCUCGGAGUUGGAAUAUAUGCUUUGAUAGUGUUAUCAAAGCAUAUGGUUUUAUACAAACUUUUGGAGAAGCCUGUAUUUACAAAAAAGUGAGUGGGAGCUCUAUAGCAUUUCUGAUAUUAUAUGUGGAUGACAUAUUGUUGAUUGGAAAUGAUACUGAAUUUUUGGAUAGCAUAAAAGGAUACUUGAAUAAGAAUUUUUCAAUGAAAGACCUCGGUGAAGCUGCUUAUAUAUUGGGCAUCAAGAUCUAUAGAGAUAGAUCAAGACACUUAAUUGGACUUUCACAAAGCACAUACCUUGAUAAAGUUUUGAAGAAGUUCAAAAUGGAUCAAGCAAAUAAAGGGUUCUUGCCUGUGUACAAGGUGUGAAGUUGAGUCAGACUCAAUGCCCGACCACUGCAGAAGAUAGAGAUAAAAUGGAAGUCAUUCCCUAUGCUUCAACCAUAGGUUCUAUCAUGUAUGCAAUGUUGUGUACCAGACCUGAUGUGUGCCUUGCUAUUAGUUUAGCAAGGAGGUACCAAAGUAAUCCAGGAGUGGAUCACUGAACAGCGGUCAAGAACAUCCUGAAAUACCUGAAAAGGACUAAGGAUAUAUUUCUUGUUUAUGGAGGUGACAAAGAGAUCAUCGUAAAUGGUUACGUCGAUGUGAGCUUUGACACUGAUCCAGAUGACUCUAAGUCACAAACCGGAUACGUAUUUAUAAUGAAUGGAGGAGCUAUAAGUUGGUGCAGUUCCAAGCAGAGCGUCGUGGUGGGAUCUACGUGUGAAGCGGAGUACAUAGCUACUUCAGAAGCAGCACAUGAAGGAGUCUGGAUGAAGGAGUUCAUAUCCGAUCUAUAUGUCAUACCUAGUGCAUCAGGUCCAAUGAAAAUCUUUUGUGACAAUACUGGUGCAAUUGCCUUGCCAAAGGAAUCCAGAUUUCACAAGAGAACCAAGCACAUCAAGAGAUGCUUCAAUUCCAUCCGCUAUCAAGUAAAAGAGGGAGACAUAGAGAUUUGCAAGAUACAUACGGAUCUGAAUGUUGCAGACCCGUUGACUAAGCCCCUUUCACGAGCAAAACAUGAUCACCACCAAGACUCCAUGGGUGUUAGAAUCAUUACUGUGUAAUCUAGAUUAUUGACUCUAGUGCAAGUGGGAGACUCAAGGAAAUAUGCCCUAGAGGCAAUUAUAAAGUUGUUAUUUUUAUAUUUCCUUAUAUCAUGAUAAAUGUUUAUUAUUCAUGCUAGAAUUGUAUUAGCCGGAAACUUAGUACAUGUGUGAAUACAUAGACAAACAGAGUGUCCCUAGUAUGCCUCUACUAGACUAGCUCGUUAAUCAAAGAUGGUUACGUUUCCUAGCCAUAGACAUGUCUUGUCAUUUGAUGAACGGGAUCACAUCAUUAGAGAAUGAUGUGAUGGACAAGACCCAUCCGUUAGCUUAGCACUAUGAUCGUUUAGUUUAUUGCUAUUGCUUUCUUCAUGACUUAUACAUGUUCCUAUGACUAUGAGAUUAUGCAACUCCCGAAUACCAGAGGAACACUUAGUGUGCUAUCAAACGUCACAACGUAACUGGGUGAUUAUAAAGAUGCUCUACAGGUGUCUCCGAUGGUGUUUGUUGAGUUGGCAUAGAUCGAGAUUAGGAUUUGUGACUCCGAUUGUCGGAGAGGUAUCUCUGGGCCCUCUCGGUAAUGCACAUCACUAUAAGCCUUGCAAGCAAUGUGACUAAUGAAUUAGUUGCAGGAUGAUGCAUUACGAAACGAGUAAAGAGGCUUGCCGGUAACGAGAUUGAACUAGGUAUGAUGAUACCAACGAUCGAAUCUCGGGCAAGUAACAUACCGAUGACAAAGGGAACAACAUAUGUUGUUAUGCGGUUUGACCGAGAAAGAUUUUCGAAGAAUAUGUAGGAGCCAAUAUGAGAAUCUAGGUUCCGCUAUUGGUUAUUGACCAGAGAUGUGUCUCGGUCAUGUCUACAUAGUUCUCGAACCUGUAGGGUCCGCACGCUUAACGUUCGAUGAUGAUUCGUAUUAUGAGUUUAUGUGAUUUGAUGUACCGAAGGUUGUUCGGAGUCCCGGAUGAGAUCACGGACAUGACGAGGAGUCUCGAAAUGGUUGAUACAUAAAUAUUCAUAUAUUGGAAGGCUAGAUUUGGACACCAGAAUGGUUCGGGUCAUUUUGGAUAAGUUUCAGAGUACCAGGGGUUACCGGAACCCCCCGGGAAGUUAUUGGGCCUCAUGGGCCUAGUGGUGGAAGAGAGGAGGCAGGCCAAGGUGUGGCGCAUGCCCCCCUAGCCCAAACCUAAUUGGACUAGGGCUAGAGGGGCCGCCUCCCCCCUUUCCUUCUCUUCUCCCUCUCCUUCCCCUUCUCCUUGUGGAAGUAGGAAAGGGGUGGGGGCGAAUCCUCUUGGAGUAGGACUCCCUCCCUUGGGCGCGCCUCCUCCUGGCCGACCUCCUCCUCCCUCCCUCCUUUAUAUACAUGGGGAGGGGGCACCCAAAGGCACAACAGACAAUCUCUUAGCCAUGUGCGGUGCCCCCCUCCAAAGUUUUACACCUCGGUCAUAUCGUCGUAGUGCUUAGGCAAAGCCCUGCGCCGGUAACUUCAUCAUCACCAUCACCAGGCCGUCGUGCUAACAAAACUCUCCCAGCUGGAUCAAGAGUUCGAGGGACGCACCGAGCGGAACGUGUGCAGAUCGCGGAGGUGCCGUGCGUUCGGUACUUGGAUCGGUUGGAUCAUGAAGACGUUCGACUACAUCAACCGCGUUACUAAAUGCUUCCGCUUUUGGUCUACGAGGGUACGUGGACACACUCUCCCCGCUCGUUGCUAUGCUUCUCCUAGAUAGAUCUUGCGUGAUCGUAGGAAUUUUUUUGAAAUACUAAGUUCCCCAACACUUACUCGGGUGUAAGCUUCACUCUGGCCACCCACCAUAAGUGAAUCAUUAACUAUUGCAACACCAUACAACGGGAAUUCCUCACGCUUGUGCGACACGGAGAGCACCAUAGGACAUCACCAAAUAAAACACACAACUCAAACCAAUCACGAUCAUCAAUUAACCCAUAGGACAAAAUGGAUCUACUCAAACAUCAUAGGAUAGCCACAUAUCAUUGGAUAAUACUAUAUAGCGUUGAGCACCAUAUUUAAGUAGAGAUUACAGCAGGGAGAAGAUGUGUUACACCGCUGCAUAGAGGGGAAGAAAGUUGGUGUUGACGGUAGCGAGGUUGUUGGCGUAGAUCGCCGUCACGAUCCUUGCCCCGGCGGCACUUCGGUGCCACCAGGAGAGAGGGGGAGAGAGCCCCCUCCUUCUUCUUCCUCCUUGAUCCCCCCCUCUAGAUGGGAGGAGAGUUCCCCUCUGGUCCUUGACCUCCAUGGCGGUAGGGGGGCGGGAUCCCCUCUGAGAUUGGAUCUAUCUCUCUAUUUCUCUUCUGUUUCGCGACCCUAAUUAUGGCCUUUCACUGUUUCUUAAAUACCUAGAGAUCCGUAACUCUGAUUGGGCUAAUAUUUUAACAUUAUUUUUUUCCAUAUAUAAGCUUCCUUUCGGCCGAAGGACACCUCCAACCAACCUACGGGUGGCCACAAGCUCGCCAGGCGUGCCCUGGGUAGGAGGGUCAGCCCCUUAAGCUUGUGGGACCCUAGGGCAUCAUCUCGGGUUGUGAUGUAGGGUAGAACCCUAGAUGCCCGAUCUUUCUCGAAAUGGAGGGGAUCCCACGAAGAACACGAGGGGAAAUUUGUCGUCUGUGAGCCGACAACAAAGCAACCAUAUAGGCCAGCCCAGUGCCCCCCAGGUUGCACAGGUGGCUGCCACAUGGCAGCUUUGCCAUUUGAUGGCUGAUGGCAAAGCUCUUUGACGUCUGCCAGCUGACGGCAAAGAGCCUGUAUAGCCUUGUUUUUCUGUUUUUUCUUAAAUUCAUUAAAUUUCACAGAAUUUUAUAUAUAUAUAUAUACACACACACACAUUUGAAAAUACUUUCAACAAGCAUACCAACACAUGAAUCGUGAAGAGAGGAAGAAACACGAGGGGAAGAACGAGAGAAAUCACUCAAACCAACAAGAUUUGAUUACCCAUGUGCUAGAUCCUCGAAACACAAAGAGAUACACGAUCCAAAUCAAACAAAGGGGAUACAAGAGGUAACUAGUUCAUCUCCAUGAGGAGGUCUUGAAGGGGUCCACCCGUGAGGGGGUCUUGAAUCCAAGCAUGGAUCUUCUCUGAAGAGGUCGCGGUCUCUCCGAUGUAGUAGAACCAAGUGGAUGAGCUAAGCUCUGUCUCUAAAAUGAGCUAAUCCUUGGCUAACCCUCAAAUGGUGGAGGUGCAGGAGUAUAUAUAGUCUAGGGUCACGAAGGGGUAAGUGAGGGGCGAAGGGGUACAUGGGCCUCGGGCCCAUUACACUAUGCGCAGACAGGCGUCGGACGUCCGACGGGUGUCGGUCGUCCGGUCGCUCGCAGGCGACCAGUCGUCCGGAGGAGGCCGGACUUCCGAUGUUUCGGCUCGGUUGAGGUGGCACCGGAUUUCCGAACGAUGUUGGUCAUCCGGUGGCUGAUGGUUGUCGGACGUCCGACCACUAUAGCUUUCGUCGGAUCGUCCAUCUGGCUGGUGGGGACUCCAGGCGUCGGACGUUCGGUAGUGUCCGGUAGUACGGUGGUUGUCGGAUGUCCGAUAGCUGUAGCUUCCUGGCAGCUCCUUCUCUUGCUCCUCACGCUUGGUGUACUCGCCAUCUUGUCCACGAUCUUCCUCUUGGUUCCUAGUCAUGCAUAGUACAUAUGUUUGAGGUAGUAGCUAUGUCUCACAUGUGGAAAGUGAUAGUUCAGAGAGGAGCGAGUUAACCUUGUGUCCAAUGGCGUAUACUUGAGGUCUCAUCUUAUGUCCUCUUGGGGCUUGGGGUGUAAACAUAGUGUACAUGGGGAUGAUCGUAGGAUGCUCUGCAUCAUUGGGUGUAGCGGCAUCAUCACUGUCGCCUAUGAUGAGAAGGAAGCGGUCUGCUCUCUUGAGCACGCCUACCGGGCCGCAACGGUCGAAAACUCCGAUGGCGAGCGUGACGUCGCGCCUCCUGAGGCUACCUCCCACGAAGAAGAAGUAGCUCCUCCCUAAGAGCCAUCCUGACACAAAGAAGCCCGUCGAUGGCGCCUCAGACUCCGCGCCUGCCGCCGGGUGAUACGUCCAUUUUGCAUCAUGCUUUUAUAUCAAUAUUUAUUGCAUUAUGGUCUAUUAUUACACAUUAUAUCUCAACACUUAUGGCUAUUCUCUCUUAUUUUACAAGGUUUACCAUGAAGAGGGGGAAUGCCAACAGCUGGAAUUCUGGAUGGAAAAGGAGCAAACGUUGGAAACCUAUUCUGCACAACUCCAAAAGACCUGAAACUCCACGAAACAACCUUUUGGAUUUAAUAAGAAUUUAUGAGUGAAAGAAAUAGGCCAGGGGGCCCACACCCUGUCCAGGAGACAGGAGGGCGUGCCCCCUAUCUCCUGGGCCCCCUGGUGGGCCUCCGGUGUCUAUCUUCUGCUAUAUCAUCACUUUUCCCCUGGAAAAAAUCGUGGGCAAGCUUACGGGACAAAACUCCGCCGCCACGAGGCGGAACCUUGGCGGAAUCAAUCUAGGGCUCUGGCGGAGCUGUUCUGCUGGGGACACUUCCCUCCGGGAGGGGGAAAUCAUCACCAACGUCAUCACCAACGAUCCUCUCAUCAAGAGGGGGUCAAUCUCAUCAACAUAUUCACCAGCACCAUCCCCUCUCAAAACCCUAGUUCAUCUCUUGUAUCCAAUCUUGUAUCAAAACCACAAAUUGGUACCUAUGGGUUGCUAGUAGUGUUGAUUACUCCUUGUAGUUGAUGCUAUUUGGUUUACUUGGUGGAAGAUCAUAUGUUCAGAUCCUUUAUGCAUAUUAUUUCUCCUGUGAUUAUGAACAUUAAUAUGCUUUGUGAGUAGUUACGUUUGUUCCCGAGGACAUGGGUGAAGUCUUGCUAUUAGUAGUCAUGUGAAUUUGGUAUUCGUUCGAUAUUUUGAUGAGAUGUAUGUUGUCUUUCCUCUAGUGGUGUUAUGUGAACGUCGACUACAUGACACUUCACCAUUAUUUGGGCCUAGAGGAAGGCAUGGGGAAGUAAUAAGUAGAUGAUGGGUUGCUAGAGUGACAGAAGCUUAAACCCUAGUUUAUGCGUUGCUUCGUUAGGGGUUGAUAUGGACCCAUAUGUUUAAUGCUGUGGUUAGGUUUACCUUAAUACUCCUUUUUGUAGUUGCGGAUGCUUGCAAUAGGGGUUAAUCAUAAGUGGGAUGCUUGUCCAUGUUAGGGCAGUACCCAAGUGCCGGUCCACCCACAUAUCAAAUUAUCAAAGUACCGAACGCGAAUCAUAUGAACGUGAUGAAAACUAGCUCGACGAUAAUUCCCAAUGUGUCCUCGGGAGCUCCUUCUUCAUUAUUAGAAUUUGUCCAGGCUUAUCCUUUGCUACCUAAUGGAUUGGUCCACCUUGCUGCACUUUAUUUACUUUAUUUACUAUUUGCUCAUUACUAUUUGUCUUAUCGCAAAACUAUCUAUCACUUACUAUUUCAGUGCUUGCAGAGAAAACCUUAUCGAAAACCGCUUAUCAUUUCCUUCUACUCCUCGUUGGGUUCGACACUCUUACUUAUCGAAAGGACUAUGAUAGAUCCCCUAUACUUGUGGGUCAUCAAGACUCUUUUCUGGCGCCAUUGCCGGGGAGCGUAGCGCUCUUGGUGAGUGAAACUUGGUAAGGAAACAUUAUAUAGUGUGUUGAAAUUUUCUGUUACUUGUCACAAUGGAAACUAAUCCUUUGAGGGGCUUGCUUGGGGUAUCUUCACCCCAACCAGAAGAGCAAAGAGAUGCUCCUCAACCUACUGAACUUUAUGAAAAUAUUCACUUUGAGAUUCCUUCGGGUAUGAUAGAAAAACUGCUAGCUAAUCCUUUUGCAGGAGACGGAACAUUGCAUCCCGAUUUACACCUUAUCUUUGUGGAUGAAGUUUAUGGAUUAUUUAAGCUUGCAGGUAUUCCCGAUGAUGUUGUCAAAAGGAAGGUCUUCCCUUUAUCUUUGAAGGGAGAUGCAAUGACAUGGUAUAGGCUAUGUGAUGAUACGAGAUCUUGGAAUUAUAAGCGAUUGAAGUUGGAAUUUCACCAGAAGUUCUAUCCUAUGCAUCUUGUUCAUCAUGAUCGUGAUUACAUAUAUAAUUGUUGGCCUCGCGAAGGAGAAAGCAUCGCUCAAGCUUGGGGGAGGCUUAAGUCAAUGUUAUAUUCAUCCCCAAUCAUGAUCUCUCUCAGGAAAUGAUUAUUCAGAACUUUUAUGCUCGGCUUUCUCUUGAUAAUCGCAACUUGAUCGAUACUUCCUGUGCUGGUUCCUAUAUGCUGAAGACUAUUGAUUUAAAAUGGGACUUAUUGGAAAGAAUUAAACGCGACUCUGAAGAUUGGGGUUCCGACGAUGGUAAGGAGUCAGGUAUGACACCUAAGUUCGAUUGUGUUAAAUCUUUUAUGGAUACCAAUGCUUUCCGUGGAUUUAUCUCUAAGUAUGGACUUGACUCUGAGAUAGUAGCUACUUUUUGUGAAACUUUUGCUACUCACAUUGAUCUCCCUAAAGAGAAGUGGUUUAAAUAUAAACCUCCUGUUGAAGUGAAAGUAGUUGCACCUAUUACAGUCGAAGAAAAGACCAUUACAUAUAGUGAUCCUAUUAUUCCUACUGCUUAUGUUGAAAAACCUCCUUUUCCUGUUAGGAUAAAAGAUCAUGUUAAAGCUUCGACUGUUGUUCGUAAGAGUAAUACUAGGACUUAUACACCUCCUGAGCAAAUUAAUGUUGAACCCGGUAUUGCUAUGAUUAAAGAUCUCUUGGAUGAGGACUUAGAUGUGCAUGUUAUCUCUUUCUUGGGUGAAACUGCUAAUAUUGCUAGACCCGAUACUAAGACACGUAGACCUGUUGUAGGCACACCUGUUAUUUAUGUUAAAAUAGGAGAUCAUUGUUAUCAUGGCUUAUAUGAUAUGGGUGCUAGUGCUAGUGUAAUACCUUAUGAUCUUUAUAAAGAAAUUAUGCACGAUAUUGCACCUGUUGAAUUAGAAGACAUUGAUGUUACUAUUAAGCUUGCUAAUAGGGACACCAUUAAACCUAUUGGGAUUGUUAGAGAUGUUGAAGUCUCGUGUGGGAAGAUUAAAUACCCUGCUAAUUUUCUUGUUCUUGCUUCCCCACAAGAUGAUUUUUGUCCCAUUAUUUUUGGUAGACCCUUCUUGAAUACUGCUAGUGCUAAGAUUAAUUGUAAAAGGAAGGUCGUCACUGUUGGCAUAGAUGGUAUGUCUCAUGAGUUCAAUUUUGCUAAGUUUAGUAGACAACCUCGUGAAAGGGAACCACCACUACAAAAAAACACACUUCCGUGAUGAUACGUGUUUGUCACAGUAGGUCGCGUUUUUUGUCAUGCAUGUACAUCCAUGACAAAUUUAUGACAGAAUCGAGAUAGUCAUACCUGUGUUGUCGUAGAAGUGUUCGAUGACAUUACCAAAAUUAUCAUUACGGAAGUGUCCACUUCCAUGACGAUAAAUCGCGCGUCACAGAAGUGCUUUCGUCAAGGGUGACCGACAUGUGGCAUCCACCACAACGGAACGCCGUUAAGCUAUCGGGUCGGGUUUUGGAUCCGAUAACCCGUUAACAGCCCCGACCAAUGGGGAUUUUCCACGUGUAAAAUCAUCAUUGGCUGGAGGAAACACGUGUCGGCUCAUUGUUGGGACACAUGUCAUCCACUCAUUGGACAGAAGGCGCCUAUGAUACGUCGACACGUGGCACGGCCCAACAGAGGCCCAUUCCUGUGAAAAGGCCGGCCCGUUUAACUUGGUCAAAAGGUGACGGCCCAGCCCAUGGAAAGCCUGUUAAUGGCCUGUUCGCAUAUAGCCCAUUUACAGCCCGCUAUCCCAAGGCCCGUUGCGCCCUAUCCGAAUUAGGCCCAGUAGCGUCAUCUGGGCCAUCCAAUAUGAUUCCAGCCCGUUUUCACUUCUGGCCCAUGUAUGGCCCAUGACAUCUUUUGGCCCAUAUGAGGCCCUAUGUAACUCUUGGCCUAUUAACGGCCCGUGGUGAAACUAGCCCGCAAUGAACAGUGUAUUACUUUAGACCCAUUAACGGCCCGUGGUGAAACUGGCCCGUAAUGAACAGUGUAUCGCUUUAUACCCAUUAAGGGCCCGUUAUUCAGUUGGGCCGUUUACAGCCCAUGUUAUCUUUCGACCUUCUUAGAGCCCAUUUAUUCUUGGGCUUAUUUGCAGCAUUCGGUUACUUAAGGCCCGUUACUGUCAUUUUCUGCUUGUGGGCCAAAUUCAGCCCGUCAUUACAGUCGCCCCGUUUGUGGUUCGUUAGUCUGUUGGGCCAUUUUCAUAGCAUCACCAAAUACGGCCUAUUAACAGCCCGUUAUGGUCAGCCAAUAAAACAUAUGAUUUCCAUUAUAGGCCCGUCUACGGCCCAUUAAAGGCCAGUACAAGACCCAUAAAUGAGUCGGCGGCCCAUGGAUCCUACGUGAUGUAGAAGGCCCAUGGAUCCUGCGAGACGUAGAAGGCCCAUGGACACUGCGAGACGUAGAAGGCCCAUGGACACUGCGAGAUGUAGAAGGCCCAUGGAUCCUAUGAGACGUAGAAGGCCCAUGGAUCCUACGAGACGUAGAAGGCCCAUGGUCGGGCGAGUUGGCCCCCGUUUGAACGAUAUAGCAUAUUCAAAGAAUUAUCCUACUCAAUACUAUCACCUCUAAAAAGUAUACACUAUACAACAAAGAGAUCAAGGCAUAGAAAGGUAGAAUAAUCCUACACUAUACAAUAAAGAAAUUACAGCCAAUUACACCCACUGGGCAUUAUGGUACGACACAGGUGAUAAUAAAGCAUACACAAAUAGCAAAUUACACACUGGGCAAAUAUGGCUCAUACAUCAUGGACGUGCAUCAACUUAACUCCAUUUGAACUAUAAUCUCUUCAGAAAAUAGGAUUGGCCGGAUUCAGAUAGCACAAAUUUCAGUCUGCAAAAUCUCCAAUUCCUUCCUUGUUACAUCGGUGUCUUGUUUCAUUUUUUGACUCCUGCAUCUAAUACCUGCAUGUCCAGUCUCAACUUGUUGAUUAUACAUUGACAAUCAUGUAAACGUUGUCUUGCCACCUCUAGUUGAUGCUCGAGAACAUCAGCACAUUCCAAUUUCAAUCCAUAAUCAUUCGGUAACAGCCAUGCCGCACUGCUCGCAGACUUUUGUGUUGAUGUCACUUCAUCCUGAAAUGUUUCUGUAAGUACACAUGACUAGGGCAAAAAUAUAAUUACAACAGUGAAGCGAACAAGACACUAUUUUGUACUACAUGGCAAAACAGGACUAACAAUAAUGUUACAUGUCACUUUCACAAAAAAAAUGUUACACGUCAUGAAGCAUAAGCAGGUGAUAUUUUAAAAAUUAUAAAAAAGAUAGUCUGUGCAGCCUGCAUACAGAAAUCCCUCUUAGCUCACCAGAGGAGCAUGAUGUUGGGGCCCAAUCAAAAACAUAGACAAGUUACAAAUUUAGACAAAACAUUGCGUAUAAGUAAGCAAGCAGUUGGCCAUUUGUACCUCAAUUAAAGUCUUAGGGAGCAUAAUGAACAGCAGAGGGUUUCAUACAAACAUACUACAACAGGCAAAACUAUGCAAUCAUUAGCAUAGUAUAAACUAGAUUGUGAGCCUCAUGCAAUAAUAGUUGGCUAAUAGACUUCAAAGCUUCAGGCACACUUCGGCAGAGUAAUUAAAUGGUAAGGCCUUUAAUCAUGUCAACUAAUAGUGAUACAAGUACCGAACAUCAGGCACAAUUAUUUGGGCAUCUCAUUAAGUGAGGACAAAUAAAGCAAUUGAAAAUAGAAAAUUAACUAUGCCUGAAACAAACAAGGAAUUGAACUGUUGAGUUGCAUACAGUGACUUACCUUAGUAGGUUGAAGAGGCUCAGCGCAGCUCCUACUUCUCUUGCAAGGCUCCUUCCUAACAUCUUGUACUUGGAAAUCCUCAAUCUUAUCUUCAUUGCACCCCCUCUGCAAGGUGACACAAACUAGUUACUCGUCUCCUUGGAAGAUAAAUAUGCAUACUUUCCAGUCUGUGAACACAAAAGGAUGAGAUUAUAACAAAACAACACCACAUAAUGAAACAUGCCGCAUCUCUUGCACUUGCAAACAAUGAAAUGAGCAUUUACUAUGUCUGCACUAUGUAAAAACUAGGCAUACCUUUGAACUGGAUCUCCAGGUACUCUUGGAGAGCCUACUGUAGUGUACAGCCAAACCUUUAUUCACCUAUGAGUUAGACAAGGCCCCACUACAGCAGCCCUUAGUGUUUAAAUCGUUGACAAGCUCUGUUAGAGUGUUAGGUCAAGAACAACAAGUAAUCAAAGCAAACAUUCCUAGUAUGGCUGGCUGAUGCAAACAAGCAAUUGAAUAGAUGUGUGAGCAAAUCUUACAUAUCAAGAAAAGAAGCAAAGAAGGAGGCUUAAAGACCAUCACUUGACUGACCAGAUUUAAGGGGCAUUUAAACAUCAUAUGCAACGUAUGAACUAACAUAAACAUUGCAUAUUCCAGAUUCUACAAUGGAAUGCACAUGUAUUAGGUUAUGCCAUGUAUGAUGAUGCCUAAAUGUACAUAUAGCAUGCAUGAGUGAUUCAUGAUUGCAUGCACAAUUGAAUUGCAGGUUAAGGGCCAGUUCGAUUCCGCCUUUUCAGGGUAUAUUGUCAAAAUAAGCCAUAAAAGAUGUAAAGAAGUCAUUUUUGAGUUAUGGGCUUGGGCUUAACUAAUUUCGCUUUGGAGGGGGGUGAUUCGGGUAGAACCUCACUAAAAAUUGAAGGGAAGGGGAAUAGUGAAAUGACUCUGUUGUCUGCCUAUAUUACACUCAAAAUGCAACUGCUGACGCUAGUGUCACACCUGACCCUCAAGUAAAAACAAACACGCAAGCAUUCAUUGCCUUGCUCGCUUGCAUCUCCUCUCCCCUUUCCCUCUACCUCGAUCCCUUGCCUGCAGCACUAGGGUUCCUCCAGCCAACCGUCGCCACUGGUCCCAUCUGGCCUGGUCCUCGACGAUGCUAUGUCCAGCUAGGCUACAUGGCCGGCAGGUAGGGGCAAAUCUCCCUGGCUGCUCCUCCCUCUGGCGCCACCCCUCAUUCUCAUGGUCUCUAGCAGCUGCUCCACUUUGGUUCGUCCAACGUACUACUCCAGUGGGCGCUGCACAACUACGGCUGAUGCCACACUGUGGCAGAAGGCACCUUGUUACCCCUCCCCUCCUCCCAGGCCAUGGUGUUGAGGUGCUGUUGAAGGAUGAGCAUAUCCAACAAGGUGAGGAUAUCCUCUGAUUUUUUGCCAAAUUUUCAUUCUGAUCCUCUACACGAUGAAUUGCUAUGAGCUGCUUCUGCUGCUGCUAUAUGAUGCAUUGCUAUGAGCUGCUCCUGCUACUGCUAUAUGAUGAAUUGCUAUGAGCUGCUGAUGUUGUAUGAUGAGUUGCUAUGAGCUGCUGCUGCUGCUAUAUGAUGAAUUGCUAUGAGCUGCUGCUGCUGCUAUAUGAUGAGUUGCUACAAGCUGCUCCUGCUACUGCUAUAUGAUGAAUUGCUAUGAGCUGCUCCUGCUGCUGCUAUAUGAUGAGUUGCUAUGAGCUGCUGCUGGUAUAUNNNNNNNNNNNNNNNNNNNNNNNNNNNNNNNNNNNNNNNNNNNNNNNNNNNNNNNNNNNNNNNNNNNNNNNNNNNNNNNNNNNNNNNNNNNNNNNNNNNNNNNNNNNNNNNNNNNNNNNNNNNNNNNNNNNNNNNNNNNNNNNNNNNNNNNNNNNNNNNNNNNNNNNNNNNNNNNNNNNNNNNNNNNNNNNNNNNNNNNNNNNNNNNNNNNNNNNNNNNNNNNNNNNNNNNNNNNNNNNNNNNNNNNNNNNNNNNNNNNNNNNNNNNNNNNNNNNNNNNNNNNNNNNNNNNNNNNNNNNNNNNNNNUGCUGGUAUAUGAUGAAUUGCAGACUGCUGCUGCUGUAUGAUGAGUUGCUAUGAGCUGCUGCUGCUAUAUGAUGAGUUGCUACAAGCUGCUGCUGCUGCUGCUAUAUGAUGAAUUGCUAUGAGUUGCUCCUGCUGCUGCUAUAUGAUGAAUUGCUAUGAGCUGCUGCUGGUAUAUGAUGAAUUGCAGACUGCUGCUGUUGUAUGAUGAGUUGCUAUGAGCUGCUGUUGCUGCUGCUAUAUGAUGCUUUCAGGUGGUGCUGCUAUAUGAUAACAACCAGCCACUUGGACCAUCGAAUUUCAACAAAUAAUUGUUCUUCAUUUAAAUGUGGGUCCUGCGUUCUUCGUUUAAAUUAGGCAAUGGGAUCUCUAUGGAAAACAUUGACCGAAGUAGAUUGUGCCAAGUAGAUGGUAUCUUUGUAUUUGCAUUUUGAGCAAAUAGUGAUGGUCUGUUUUCCUAUCAUAUUAAUUACUGUACUGGGUUCAAUUUGUGAUGUUUGCAAGUCAAAUUAAUUUCCAUAUGUGCAGCAAAAUGAAAUAUAUAUAUAUAAUGCAAUCUAGACUUUCCACUGAUCAUACCAAAGAUAAGCUGAAAACGCAAUGAAAAGAACUGGUUGGUGUAUUACAUGGAGCUUAUAUUCACAUGUGCUUAUUUUCUUAGGAUAACUCGUAAUAACUGUCCCUAAGAAACUUGGCUAAUAGAACUGGCAUACAAAUAACAUGUCACGAUGAUUGCAAUGGAGGAGUGACGUACCAUAGAACACUGUAUAGGCUCACCGCUGCCUCUCCUUUUUUUGCGAUGUUCCAUGAAAUUGCCACAUACAUCUUGUACUUUUUCAUUGUGUAACCCUAUCUGCAAGUUGACACGGCUAAUUUCAGACAUCUCUACAUGAUACUACAUUGCAUAUCCCUUGCGCAUAUUUAAACCACCAAUUAACGAUUGUGUGCGUACCAUAAACUAGCCAUGACUCUGUAUGCUGGACUGGCAAGCACUCUAAGGGAGCCUAAUAUAGGGCACUGGAAUUCCUACAUGCCACCUACGUUUUGUGUAAUGUACUGCCCCUGUUCCUAAAUAUAUGUCUUUGUAGAGAUUCCAGUAUGGACCACAUAUCGAUGUAUAUAGAUACAUUUUCGAGUGUAGAUUCACUCAUUUUGCUCCGUAUGUAGCCUAUAGUGGAAUCUCUAGAAAGACUUAUAUUUAGGAACGGAGGUAUGAGGUAGUAUCAUGUAUGACAUCUACAUAUCUAAUUUAGCAGCGAGUAGUAGAAAUCAUUGUCUGCACAAAGGGAUUACUGGUCGAAAAUCCUAGCAAAGCACGCUGGCAGGCACAGAACAAUACAAGAGAGAGAGAGACACGCUUACAAGAUCAUAGCAAUGCCUCAGUCUAGGAUCUUGGUUGGCCAAGCUGUUAGAUCCAGAAGAAACAUUGUCCUUGUAGUUUCUGCCAGCUGCAUAACAGGUAACAGCGACCGGUUAGUAUAUUUGAAGUACAUUGGGCAGGUGAUGCUGGACGGGUUUAAAGGUGACAAGUACCUAGGCCGUGGCGGGUGCUUGGCAUCUCUCCAGACGGUGGGAAUCCGGUUAGAAACGUCGAGGGUGAUGACGCUGCGCUGGCUGUCGGGGUCCGGUAAGGAGAUCUAGAACCGUCGAGUAGGUUGUUUGUGGAGCGGCUCCGGUAGGGUGGACUACGGUGUGGGCGAAGCGGAUCUAUAGCCAUGGACGAGGGCGUAGGUGAAGCUGCUCCGGUGGUAGGGUUAAGGAUGGUGUCGACGACGCGGAUCUGCGGCCGUGGACGGGGUGUUAGAAGCUGCUCCGGUGGUUGGGUUAAGGAUGGUGUCGACGAUGCGGAUCUGCGGCCGUGGACGGGGCGUCAGAAGCUGCUCCGGUGGUUGGGUUAAGGGUGGUGUCGAUGAUGCGGAUCUGCGGCCGUGGACGGGGCGUCAGAAGCUGCUCCGGUAGGUUAGAUGAGGGUGCGAGGAAGCGGAUCUGAGGCCGUGGACUUGUGAGUUGGCAAAGCGGCCCCGGUAGGGUUGAGAAUGGUAUAGGCGAAGCUACUCCGGUAGGGUUGACGCUGGUGUCGGCGAAGCAGCUCCGGUAGGGUUGAGGAAGGUGUCGGCGAAGCGCCUCCGGUAGGGUUGAGGAAGGUGUCGGCGAAGAGGAUCAGAGGCCGUCGACGGGGGCGUCGGUGGGGCGGCUCCGGGGGGUGUGGACGAAGCGUCUCCGGUGGGGAGUACGAAUGAGCCGCUGCAGAUGCGCAACGGUUGACGAGAGUACCGGCGAAGCAGAUCUGGUGCCGUGGACAAGGCCGACACUGAAUGGGCUGUGGUAUAGUGGUGGAUGAGCAGUCUACUUGUUUCUAGGGGAGGUGGGAGGGGUAGAUUCGGCCGCAGAAGCAGAUCCGGCAAGGUGGACGUCGCUGGAAGUGAAUGGGCUAUGGUACGCCGGUGGAUGAGCAGUCUAGGGUUUCAAGAGGGGAGGGGAGAAAGGGCGAUGAAGUACGGACGGCGUGAUGUAAGAUGCUCUGGUGCUGUGGAGUUAGUCGUUUUUGCGGGAGGGGGGGAGAGGAAAUGGGGUUGGCGUGUAGUGGGGGGAACUGGAAGUUACCAAAGCAGCCCCGACCUAUCAUGUAGAUGAGGGUGGUAUUGUAACUGUUGGUCUCCGUGCACCAAGGACAAAAUGGGGAUUUCACAUGCUAAAGACUAAGGUGGCGGAAAUUUUAGAAGGAGGCGGGAGAUUUUGCCGCCCGCGGGAUCGUUCGUAUCCAGUUUCAACUAAUUUUGGCCCGUGCUAGCGGGAAGGUCAUGCUAGACUGUUUACACGGGGCACACGUCAGCAGUUAAUAACUGGUGUGAAGUCCACCCCCCAAAAAAAGACAAUAACUCGGGAUGAUGCGCCGAUAACUUGGACGUUCACACGGGUGCGGCCAAUCUUACGGGUGUAGUGGCGCGUUCACAGGAAAAGGGAUCAAACGCUCAGCCUAUGUAUUUAUCGUGUAAAUAGAUAAUUUAGUGCCAUUGGUUAUUUACUUUAAACAUAAUGCAUUGACGUGUUAGUGUAGAGGCGCACAAAAAGAAAUGGAUAUUGUAGUUAGCUACUUAAAAGUGUUACCUCAUAUGAUUACAUAGCCUCCAUUUCAUAAAUUGCGUAACUGUUGAAUUCAUAUAUGAAUAUUACAUAUAUAUUACUUCAAAAUAGAAACUUAAAUCAUCCAAGACUAAUGAAUUUGAAUGCAAGAGUAACAAUGGUGCAUGUGCAUGAUAGCUACAUUGGUUGUUUGAAGAAACAUCACUGUAACUUUGGCAUGCACAACUGACAAAGGUUUAUUUAAAUAGAAAAAAAUGUGAUAUGUGAGUGUCCAAUCUUUAUAGCGUUGAAUCGAUAUUGUACCUUUGGCCAUGAUACGAAGUAGAUAUUGACUUAUGUUCAAGCGAUGCAAGUCCACGGUCGCUAGAUAGUGAUACGUGAAUGAAUUGUGCAAUCUCUCACACACGCAUACAUAUCUCAUUUCUUUGUGGGCAUUGGAAUCACACACGCGCACUUCAUGUAUUUAUCUCCCUCCGUCAGGGUUAAAUUCGUCUUUCUACCCUAUCCUACAAGUCUCUCACACAGAAACACACACGCUCUCUAUGUCUAACACGCCCACCCCUUUAAUUCCGCCCACCCACAACCACUAAUGUCUCAAAGUAUAAUAAUGUCUCUCACACAUAUGCUAUCUACCUAUCCCUUAAUAUAGCUAGAUAUGUGUCACACAAACUCCUUCUCCCUACUAGCAAGAUGCCCAUGUGUGUUGCUCGGAACAACAAGAUGCAUUUGUAUGAGAAGUUCAUCUUGUGGGGGAAAAGGAUGAACGAGGGAAUGCCUUAUUUGCAAAUGCGGAGAGGGGUGUGGGUAUCUUUUUGCAAAAUUGCCAUAUUUUCCUUCAUGUCCGUUGGAUAUAAAUCGGAUGGCCUAUAUUGCAGGAUGGCAGGAACACCAUUAUCACCAACUCAGUUUUUUAUAAGAGUAGAGAUAUGUGAGUGUCACUGCCCCCUCCCCCCCCCCACACACACUUCCCAACACCGAAGGAGUAGGGUGACACCUCGAUCUUGAUACUAAUCUAUCAACUGGCUUCUCUCUCAAACAUACACACACACACUACCCGGCACCGAAGGAGUAGGGUGACACCUCAAUCUUGAUACUAAUCUAUCGACUGGAUUCUCUCUCAAACACACACACACACACACUACCCGGCACUGAAGGAGUAGGGUGGCACAUCGAUCUUGAUAAUAAUCUAUCGACUCCUCUUUCAAACACACACACACACACACACACACACUCUCGCUAGUUGUGCCUCUGUGCCUAGCGCGCACACUCUUGAUACGUCUUUCUCUCCCUCACCCCCCCUAACAAUGACAGCAGAAGGGUGACAACUCGAUCUGAUCAUAAUCUGCCAAUUGGUUUCUCUCUCAAACAUUGUGUCUCGGUGCCUCGCUCAGUAGCCCCCUCGAUAUGUAGACUUCUUGCGCGCGCACAACUGUAGUGACGAUGACGCUGAACCCAGUGUGCCUUGUUUUUACCGGCCUCAUUUGAUAGUUUUCACCAUGUUUUCUGUUAAUUAACAAGGCAACCUUUUCUUUGUUACUACUCCCUCCAUUCCAAAAUAGAUGACUCAACUUUGUACUAACUUUAGUAUAAAGUUGGGUCAUCUAUUUUGGAACGGAGUGAGUACUAGUGAAUCUGAAAUCAUUUGGGGCAGACAUAAAACAUAUCACUUCAACCCAAUUAUCACAGCAACCACUUUAAAAGAAAUUAGCUAGCUGCCUGUGCGUUGCACGGAACAUCAAGAUGCAUUUGUAUGAGUAGUUUAUCUUGUGAGAGAAAAGGCCGAACGAGGGAAGGCCUUAUUUGCGAACAUGGAGAGACGUGUGGGUAUAUUUUUGCAAAAUUGCCAUAGUUUCUUUCCUAUCUGUUAGAUAUAAAUCCGAUGGCCUAUAUUGCAGGAUGGCACGCACACCAUCAUCACCAACUCUGUUUUCUACUCCGUCCGUCCGAAAAUACUUGUCAUCAAAAUGGAUAAAAAUAGAUGUAUCUAAAACUAAAAUACGUCUAGAUACAUUUCCUUUUAUCCAUUUUGAUGACAAGUAUUUCCGGACGGAGGGAGUAUUUGUAUUUUUAGAGAUUUCAACAAGUGACUAUGACCGGACCUUACCAACAUACUCAAAAAAGUAGUCCAUAAUUUUGAUGUUACCCUCUUUUUUUGACGGUGCAAUGCCAUCUGGAUACCUCAUAAAUAAAUCAAGGACAAAUCUGACCCCUUCCUGAAAAGACAUACGUAGCAAAAUGAGUGAAUCUACACUCUAAAAUAUGUCUACAUACACAUCCGUAUGUGGUAGUCCAUUUGAAAUCUAAAAAAGAUAAAUAUUUAGGAACGAAUGGAGUAUAUAUAAGAGUAGACAUGGAGAUAUAUCUCCAGCAUGGUCUACAACAAAAAUGUGCUGGGCUGGUUAGCGCCGGAUGCUCGCAAUGCGAUGACAUGAGUUUGAAUUCCGUCUUUUAACUUUAGAUUUGUAUAUUAUAUAUUACUCUACUUAUUUAAUAUAUACUUCUUUCGGUACUGUACUGACAGUGGAACCCACAGAGUGCUUAGAAUAUUAAGGAUGGACUUGUUUCUUUUUAACUUUCUGUACGAAGCUGUAGCCACCCAGCAAGUCACAUGUACACUGUACAUGCAAUUAACUUUUUAUAGAGGGACAAUCAUACAGGCAAUUAACUCAAAUGGAUUGGAUGUCACUCUAUUAUUUCCAGCAUAAAGAGCAUCUCCAACGGCAACCGGCAAAUUUCCUCCCGCUUCCUUCCGCGGAGGACGACAUAAAACGCCAGCGACAUACAUUUUUAAAACUCUAACCAACCAGAUGAAAUUCAUGCAAACACGGAAUGAUUUCAUAUAAGCAUGAAGGAUUUCGUAUAAAAAGCCGGAUCUUCAUAUAAACAUGAUGGAUUUCAUUACAUUUACAUGAACUAAGAGGUGCCAAUCCGGCUCUCUUGUAUAAUUAAUACUCCCUCUGUCCGGAAAUACUUGUCCUAGAAAUUGAUAUAUCUAGACUUAUUUUAGUUCUAAAUGGCCACCCGCGGAUCCCUUUGUCUUCCUCAUGUCCGUUAGACACUUGCGGGGUCGACGAAGGUCCUCGGAAGAGACGAAGCAGCAAAGAAACCACCUGAAUCCGCGGUCGUCGCCUUGGCGGUGGCCUUCAUGGGUCCCAAGUGGCGGCAGCCUCCCGUGUUCUACUUCUCCUCGAUGAUGGCGGCAGACAGGGAGAAGCUGGCCACCGACUGGUCGCUCUCCACGCACCCGGCUUUUGUCUCUGCCUGCAUGGCGCUGCUGCAGGCACGGGAGGCGCGCCCACAGACACGGGAGGCGCGGCCACCGUAGACACUGGUGGCGCGGUACGACGCGACAGCGAUGGCGCCCGUACCGGCGUGCUCGCCGCCGUGCCGGCGUGGAGCAACUCGCCACUCCUCAUCGAGCUGAACUGGAGCGGCGAGUUGCUGAACCACGCGCCUGCUUGGGGCGGCAACUGGCUCCGUCGGGCCAAGCGAGGUUGGUGAAGCACCGAGCGGCCUCGGCCGUAUCCGGAGGGCUCGGCGGGCCACCCAGCCGGGUAAUAUGCCGGAGAACGGCUCAUCGGAAGCCAUCGGAAGGGUGGAUAAAAUGGUGAAGGAGGAGAUGGGGGAGCGGCGGAGGGGUGCGAUUCUUGCCCGUUGUCUGUCUGGCCUCAUGUAAAUAGAGGGCGGAUGGUAGGAGCUUGGCCGGCGCCUGGCCUCGUUUAAACUGAGGGCGGACGAGAGGAGCUCGGCCGGUGUUGCGUUUAAUUCCGGCCCUCUCAUGAACGGAAGUGUGGCCGGAGUAGGACUCUCGGUUUGCAUGCGGGUUUAACGGAGAGGUUUAAUGGAGGCGCCGGGCGUGCAGCGGGCGACACGGUACUAUUCGAUUUGACCACAUUAAUGAGACGUCAAAUCACAAAGGCCCUCGCCUCUCGUGAAACCGACCGAGAUAGACUGCCCCACCCUCUAGCCUUUUAAAAAAUGUAUAUACUCCACUUUUGUACAGUAGUAGUAUCGAUGGAUUGCGCCAUGGAGCAAAACUUGAAAUUAAAAAAAAGGUGGUACAUAUAGAGAGCGCUCGUGAACUAUGUGUCAUACAUGGCAAUAAAUAAAGUACUACAUGAUACUUAUAUGAUACAUCGCAGGAGUACUAAGUAUUAUUAAUACAGUUUUGCUAGAACUCAUCUAGAUGAGAUAUAAUUUGGUCUCAUUCAUCUUUUAUAGCCAUUGGAUGUGAUGCUAUAAGAUGCGUGUGUGCUGACGUGGGUUGUAUUUGUUCUUGUGCAACGAACUGACCACUGCAUGUCAUGUUUGAUAAUUUCAAGUCAUUAAAAGCAUACAAGCCCCACAUCUCUUCUUGGUUGAUUCCUUUAUUUAUGUCAAAAAAUAAGAAACAACGUGAGAGUUAAUGCACCACGCCUAUGUGUUAGACUAGCCACAAUGGUGAGUAACAUACACUAGUAACAUACACAUAUCCCUAGACUAUGUUACUACCUUCAUAGUGGGUACUACCUCCGUCCUGGUUUAUAGGUCCCUUUUAUAGUUUGUGCCAAAUUUUGACUAAAGAUUUAACUAACAAAAUAUUAAUGCAUGUCAAGAAAAAUUAUCUAAUUGGAUUCGUCUUUGAACAUAGUUUUGAAAAAUAUAAUGUUUGGUGACAUGCAUGAACAUUUUCUUAGUUUAGUCUAUGGUCAAAAUUUGGCACGAAAUACAAUGGGGACCAAUAAACUCGGACAGAGGUAGUAGUAACAUAAGUGUGGUAACAUGCAAAGCUUCAUUUAUUAGGUUAUAGACUCAUAUUGCAUUGGGACAUGUGAUGUUACAGUAACUAGCUAAGUUAUUAUAACUACCUCUCUCCUCAUUAACUCACUGCCAGAGUUGGACUCGAUGUUACUGCUGAAGUUACUCCCACGGUGGCUAGUCUUACUAGUAUUUGGUUUUCGUAAGAUGACUUAUAAUACUCAGGCUGGUCGUAAUGAUAGUAUCAUAGCUAGUAUCAUGCAUGCCAACUAGGCAAUUUUGAUGAGGUGUCGUAGCAUUAAAUGAAGAAAGAGAGGGUGUAGUAUCAUAUCAUGAUACCGUAUCAUAUUAAAUGUUAUGCUACUUUGUGUCAUGCAUGGAAAUAAAUAUAGUACUACAUGAUACUAAUAUAUGAUACUAUGCAUUAGGGAGGUAGUAUCAUACACUAGUAUCAUAUGCAUGAUACUAGUAUAUGAUACUCCCCAUUACAACCAGCCUCACCUAGAUGGAAGGAGUAUUCGAUUUGACAGCGGGUGGCGCAGUUCCCGAUACGCCUUUAAUGCAGACGAGGGAGGGAGUAGCGGUUCCCGAUAUGUUGAACGACCAAUGCAUCCUCCUUCAAUUAAUGCAUGAGGGAAGUAAUGGGAGGAGGUCCGGGAAAAGAGGCUGCACGAUGUGAAUGCAACGGAGUUUGCCCUCAUUGCCCUCAUAUAAAGGCGCCCCUCCUCCAUUCCAAUGCAUCUGCCACAUCGUACGCACCUAAGCACUUGCCUAAGCACCUACACUAAGCGCAAAAGAGCUCGCUCCAGACCCAUGGCGGCGAUGCGUGUGAGCGGCCAGCGGCUGUGCCAGAUGGUCCACGACGCCGGCCUGCGGCAUGGCACCGAGGAUUGUCUCCAGACGGUGUUGAAGACCGGCUGGUGGAUGGCCGCCGUCGACGCCAACUACGACUCUCGGUUGGACCAGAUGAUCGUUGCCACCAGCAACAAGUUCACCGUCCUCAAGAAGCUCGCGGACGACAUCGCCGUACUCCUCCAGCCCGCGCGCCCGGGCUCCUCAUUGCCUGCCACCCUAAUCGGCCUCCAUGGUCGGAACCUCUUUCAAGCACUGGUGGCCCUGCGACUGCCCGCCGACGCCACAAAGAAUGUCCACCUGGAGGUCGCGCUCGCCGCGAGGCACCUCGCUCUGCAAGAAUUCGUCGACCUACACAUCCACGCGUAUGAGCAAAUCAUGUACAUAGGUAUCUACAAGGCCAGUGAGGACGCUACGACGUUGGCCUUCCUCAACCGGCUGGAAGCCUUGGAUGCCUUUGUUGAGAAGCUCCUCGACCUCGCCACAAAAGCCGCCGCUCCUUAGCCGCCAUAUGGUGGCCCAGCACACUACGUUGAGGAGGAGGAGGUCGUACGUUCGUGGAUCCAUCUUUCUUCUUGCCUUCUGUAACCACCACUGCGAUUGCAUCAUCGUGGCCUUAAUUCUUAUUGUGCUGUUGCAUUCUCGUUCCAGUCAAUACCGACAUGUGCGAUCCCUUUGCUUAAUUAUAUGCAUCACUGUAGCUAGUACUCCAUCCAUCAAUUUAUAAGUUGUGCUUACCUUUUCCAUCAACUUCGUGCAACGCGCGGGCAUCUUGCUAGAAACACUAGAAUAUGUCUAUAUAAUCCGUAUGUGAUAGUCCAUUUGAAAUCUCAAAAAAGACAAAUAUUUAGGUACGGAGGGAGUAAUAUAUUAGGAGUAUAUCAAAACAAUAGUGAUUUCUUUCAAGUUUGUGAACAAAUACUAGUAUUCUACUACUUUGGAUCCGUCGCAACGCACGGGCACAUUGCUAGUAAAAGGAAAAGGCCUACAACGUUUGCGUCGCACCCCCACAUGCCCGGGAAUCGGGAGUACAACACGACCCGUCUGGCACGACACAUAGCUUAGGGAAGGCGUGUUGCCUACAACCUAGCAUUUUCACUUUCAUGUGGGACCGCCCGUUGAGCAAACCGACACCUCGCCCGCCGCCGGGUUGGAAAACAGAAACAAGGGGAAGAUCUAGCUGUAGCACGGAAGCCAAGAAAUUUUGUGUCAGACGGGGCUCGUUGAUAGAGUAGGAGCAUUCCGUAUUAGUACCACUCCUACCAAGUUUGUACUCCUAAUACUAUUAUAUUACUAGUACUACCACUAUACAACUAGUAGAUACGUGCACGGCACAACAUCGUAGGAACAAAAAAGGGAAGAUCUUGUUUUGGGUGAUUUAUCUUUUUUUCAAUCAACGCAGUAUGAAUAAUAUGAUGUGAGGGGCACCCAUGAAGCUUAUGUGGCUUUGUUGCAUGGCUACGGAAGGUUAGAGAAAAAUAAAUAGAUAAUGUGUUUAGAGUGCACUCCACUAAAUAGAUAUACUUUGGAUCCAUUGCAACAGACCGGCACAUCUAUAUCUAUACCCCCUAUAUAGUGUGUGAAAAACUUUGGAAGUUGGUCGUUGGAUGAAGCCAAUCCGACGGUACAAAGAUGGCAAAUCCGAGCACUACUGGCCAUUGGAUAUCAUCCACCAGAUUCUGCCACAUGUAUAAUCUAGAAGACUCCAUGGUCGAACUUAAUUCAUGACUAACUUUGCCACAACUAAGCUCAGGCAAAGUUAUUAAUAAGUUCUUCAAAAUGAGAGCCACAAGUUGGCAAGCCUAAGGGAAUCUUGUGACAUUUUUUGUGUGUAUGUCAUGUGGGGCCAGUGUGGCUUGCCUAAGGUGUGGCUUGAAUCAAACACUCACCUAAGUUAAUCAAACUUGCCUAACCUUACAUUCCACGAAAUUUUGCCACAAGUUGGCAAUCCUAAGGGAAUCUUGCCACAUUUUUUUGUGUGUAUGUCAUGUGGGGCCAGUGUGGCUUGCCUAAGGUGUGGCUUGAACCAAACACUCACCUAAGUUAAUCAAACUUGCCUAACCUUACAUUCCACCAAAUUUUGCCACAUGUUAGAAUCCAGAAAACUCCACAUGUAGAAGCAUAAUGCACGAACCACCAGAAUCUCAUGCGUGCAAUGCACGUGUACCUUCCUACUAGUACUAGUAGUAGUAAGAAAAAAUUCCAGUUUUGGCACGAGCUCGUACUGCGGGAGCACCACAAGGCCUACCGCAGGAGUUACAUUUUCCUCUCGAGGCCCACAGGACCGAACUUCAGUGGCUUAGUGCCCGGCCUAUGAGUCAAUGACAUGUGGGCCUUAAAUGAGGCUGGCCCACAUGUCAUUCUCAUGGUGGUGGCGUGGUUCGCGACUCACUCGUUUGAGAUGAACCGGCCGGUGGUGGCGUGUCCUUGGCGAGGGUACCACAGCUGGGCGUCGGGGCAUUACGAGGCAUAGAUGGCCACACCGACGGGUACUACCUGUAGUACAUAAGUACUCCAGCUGAGGAUUGAUGCCCGGGAUGAAAUGUGUCACAGCCGCUGGAUGAAAAUUUGAUGGUGUGGGAGUACGGAUCGGAGCACAGCAGCGGAGCAGGCAAACCGCGUCCAAUCGGGUGUGUAUAUGGUAGAAAGUUGAUGGUCGCCGCAGUUCAGCUGGCCGCCAUGUCAUGCACACAAAGGCAGAGGAGCGGUGGGGCCGAGAGGGAUGAGGGGCACGAACAAUGCUACCAUUCUGUCACUGACAUGUGGGACCCAUAAGCGUGGGUCCCACCUGUCAGCGAAGGAAAGGCAGGGCAAGGCAGUGAUAGCCACGUCAGAGGAUCCAUGUCCACAUCGGGGGACGUCGUGCCGUGGGUUGGAGUGGCGUCGUGGGAAUCGCGUGUGGGUGUGGCAGUGGUAGAAACAAGAAACGUGAUGGUCGACGUGGUUCAACUUCCCUGGACAAGCUGUCAUGUCUGCUGACACAUGUAUAUCAAAACUAGAGUGUUUAUAUUUCAAGCAUGUGAACAAGUAUUAUUCUACUAGUUUGGAUCCAUUGCAAUGCACGGGCCAACACAUUGGUAGUAGUAGUGUCCAUCUCUAUCUCUAGAGGCCCUCCCUUGUUCAUCCUUUUCUCUCACAAGAUAAACUACUCAUACAAAUGCAUCUUGAUGUUCCAUGGAACGCACGAGGAUGUUUCCUUGCGGGUCUCUCCAACACGGCGUGGUCGUAGUUGCAAGUUGACGCCCCUUGAGAUGCCGACGUCGAGGGGCACUCGGAUUUCCUCCGAUGAGUAGGUAAGAUGAGUUUGAUCACAUAGUAAAUGCAUUCUAAAGACUACUUCCGUGUCCAUUUCCUAAUUCUCCCCCUACCCACUGUUUCACAGGCUAGGCUCGGUGCGAGUGGAGAUUGGCUUGCAUAUGUAUGGGAGGGUACCAACAUCAAUUUGCACAACAUUUACAACGGUGACACCGUUCCCGUAGAACCUUUGUCAAACAUUGGGAUCAGCCAUGCAACGGGCCACCGCAUGAAUUGGUACGAUGGAACCACGAUGAGAUUGAAUAAAAGAUAGCACGAACCUUGCACAUGGUGGUCAAAGGCAGACCAUGCUGUCUGCGGCCGAUUUGUUGCCGUACGAGUAGGAAGACAUUGUGCUCCUUUCUAACCGCAUCUUCGCGGUGACAAACCAGGGGACUUAUUUUGUAUGGGACACAUCCUAUGAUAUACUCCCUCUCUCCCAGUUUAUUUUUUUGAAUCUUUUCGUUUUAUAAGUUUCAAAUUCAAAUUUAGAGCUCCCCAUCACAUGUUGAGAUUACAAUGUCCAUUAAAUUGUUGCGUGCAUGUAUAGUAAAGAAACAAAUCUCGAGUUUGGCACGAGUUCGUGCUGCGGGAGCACCACAAGCCCUGGCGCAGGAGUUACAUUUCCCUCUCAGGGCUGUCGGGACUGAGCUUCAGCGCCUUACUACACCUACCUUUGAGUUAAUAACAUGUGGAACCGAUAGGUGACUGGUCCACAUGUAAUGCUCCCGAAGGCAGAGGGGCAGUGGGGCCAAGAGGGGUGAGCCACAGGUCGGGGGACAUGUGGUUUCAUGGAUUCGAGCGGCGUCGUGGGAAUCGCGGGUGGUUGUGGUAGAAACUUGAUGCUCGCCGCAUUUUAGGUGGCCCACAUGUCAUGCACACAAAGGCAGAGGGGCGGUGCAGCCGAGAGGGGUGAGGCCCACGUCGGGGGGCGUGGUGCCGUGGGUUGGAGAGGCGUCGUGGGAAUCGCGAGAUGAAACGUGAUGGUCGCCGUAGUUGAACUUCCAUGGACAAGCUGUCAUGUCUACGGACACAUGCACUGUAUACUGAUCACUGGAAGGAGUAGCAGAGAAAGCUAUAUAUGCGGAUAAAUAGUUCCUUAUAGUCAAGCGGACCCACGCUACUACUCUGUUCCAAAGACAUGCACACCAUCGAAAUAGUCCAUCUAUAUCAAUAUACACCGAGAGGGAAUAAUUUUUUUACAAGAGAGGAAAUAGUUCAUCCAUCCAUAAUGCCCUCCUGCUGGUGCAGCGUUUUCUUCUUCUUCUUCUUCUUCUUCUUCUUCUUCUUCUUCUUCUUCUUCUUCUUCUUCUUCUUCUUCUUCUUCUUCUUCUUCUUCUUCUUCUUCUUCUUCUUCUUCUUCUUCUUCUUCUUGUUCUCAUUAUCUGUGGGAGACGGCUUCGCAACAAGCUCUUUGGACCUUGCAGCUAUCUCGAAACUCACAUGGGCAUCGAGGGCAGCAUAUUUUAUCCACUCGUACGUCAAGGGAUAAUUCUCCCAUCUAGACGACCUUAAUGCCACCGUCUCGUCACCCUUCUAAAGAUUUGUACCGAGCACAAAAUUUGCUACGUCGAAUAGGGAUGGUGUCUGUUUAGCACAAUCUUCUACAGGAAUUUUGAUUCUGGUUUGUAGGUCAGCAAUGCUUUUCAAAUCAAGGUUGUAUGGCUCUAGCUUCUGUUUGUCCCCUUCGAUGGCUGCCCCACAGAAGUAUACGUCCUCCCGAGACAAGAAAUCGUGAAGCUCACCUGGUAUGGAGGGCGAGUGUAUGAUGUGGUACACCAAAACAUCAUCUUCGAGGCACAGCUGAAGGACGACGGCGCGCUGGAUCUUCCCAGGGGCACGCUCCAUGUACUCUGCGUCGAGACCGAUGACCCUCGUCUCUACCUUUUUGAGGGAGUUGGAUACAUUGUUGAUCCACUGCCGAACAACCCUUGGGUGGACGGUGACGGUGGCAAUGAUGCGCAUCGAGCCUUCGACGAGGACAUGUUGGACGCUAAAAACCUGCAUCUCGAUCUCUUUUGCCAUUUGGAACCGCUGGAACGGAGGGCUAUGGUUUGGAGAAUUAGGAUUAGAUGGCUAGUCUAACUAAAGUAGUAGAUGAUUAUUUAAAGAGGUUAGAACAAUGAGAACGUAGUGGGGUUUGGAUGCAAAUGAAGACAAAGGGGAGGUGAAGAAGCCGAGGCGAAUCGGUUCCCGAUGGAGAAGUAAAUGGGAGAAGUGGCGUGCAGGCAGUUGAUUAGACGGCUAGGUAGACUAAACGAAAAGGCUAUGCGGGUAGACUGAGGAGUCAUACCUGUUCGUGUACGUGCCCAUCCUUCCUUAUAGGUGGGACCUAUGCAAACAGAUAAAAAAAUGUGUCGUAGCUUUUUUUUUUGAGCCCGUGAGUGGGAGACACGACAUUCUGUGGUUAAGGAAUACUCCCUCCGUUUAGGUGAGUAUAAGUCACCUUAUGAAAAUCAGGUUUUCCCAAAACCUUUAGGCGUGGAGCAUUAACUUCCUGCUCGAUCCCCUCCCAGCCUCGUUAGCCAGCGUUCUCUUCCUCUGCUGCCGCGUUCUACCUUUCCAUUUUUUCCUCUUCUCAAGUGUGGAACGAUCUGCAUGCCGUCCUUGAUGCACCAGAACGACCACUCCAUGCAUCGCGAUAGGGCGUUGAUUGGGCAUGCAUGAGAAUUUGGUUCUGCUCGCAAUAUGGAUGAUACCUGAACGAUGAAGUGAACAGGCAUGCUAGCACGGGAGACCUAUUUCCGCUAUACAAUACUGGAGUACUCAUGUUCCUACUAGUAGUAGUAGUAGUAGUACAACUGUGGUACACUUGAUGGUCAAAAUACUAUUCAUCCGGUCCUCACAGUGAAGUGACAACACCCUGCGCCUUACACUAGUCCAGGCGAGGCGGCGUGUUCGGGUUACCAAAGUCAGCCUCACCCUGUGCACUGUGCAGUCUGUCACCGCUGAUGUACAGCACAUUGGCGCCUCGCCUCGUCUCCCUCUCCGCUCCCAUAGCACCACUCCAUCUCCAUCUCCUUCUCCGUCUCUGUCUCCAUCUUACUGUGCCCCCGUGUACCGUCGCCUCACUCGCCUCCCCCAGUACCACUAUUCCCUUGCUAGCCGCUCCAGCACCGACAUCCUUCUCCCCCGUAAACAAAGCCCCCUUCCAAACUCCACCAUGGCCGAACGCGAACCGUGCAACAUCCAUAUGAGCCGCGAUUGGAGCAAUCUCCCCAGUGACAUCCUCGACCUCUGUUGUUCGUGUAUGGAUAUGUUGACCGCCCUGCGGCUGGCUGCAUGCUCGAGGGACACGCACACGACCAUCGUCGAAGCGAGGCCUAAGCUUUUCAAGACACCCUGCUUGCUGCUAUCUGGUCUUGCGAGAUUGGCUCACCAUGAUACAGAGGCGUGCACGAUGCCCCUCGACUUCAAUCCGAUCUCCAUUAGCCGAAACUUCUUUGCAGGUAUGUAGUGUGUCGCCGUACAUCAUUUCCAUCGACAUCGAUCCGAUCACCAUCGCCCGAAACUUCUUGGCAGGUAUGUACUGGGUCGGCAUGAACUCCCACUGGAUGGCUGCCUUCAGAGAAGACGGUAAAAAGUUGGUGCUCGUGAACUUCCAGACCUCCCAUGAGAUUAUCCUUCCUCCAUUGGAUUAUAUAGAGUAUUACCAUCGCGGUCCAAGUCAUCUAGAUUACUACGUCAGUUGGAUGGACCUUGUUUUGCAGAAGAUUGUAAUCUGCCAAGUACCCACACGAGAUGCGAAUUAUGCAGACUUCAAGCUAAUUGCCUUGUUCGACCGUGGACUCGCCUAUCUUUACGCCGGUGCCUUUUUUAGCUGGAGACAACUCGGCUCGCAAUGGAUCAUCGUCAAAGCUGAUACACACUUAUGUGAUGCUAUUGAACACAAUGGCAUCAUCUACGCGAUCGACAAAGUAGAUGGCACCACGUAUUGCUGGGACGACGCGUGUAAGUUGUUUCCGUCUCAUGUUAAUGAUGACGCCAUGACAUUGUUUGAACUUUUUUGAUGAUUGGCAUAUCCCUGUUUGAGCAGAAUUUGAGUAGAACUAUGGCAAUAUAUUAGAGACGCCGUAAAUCAGCUAUAUUUGGAAUGAGUUAAUUGAUGCUAUUGUGACCAUGUCAUUACAGCCAAUUUGUACCCUGAAUAAUGAAACGGUUAGGAAUAUAUGGAUAUUAUCCUUAUUUUACAGUAAUCUAUAUACUAGUACUAAAUAUGAGUGUGCAUCAAUGGCCAUGUUAGUAUCCUCAUUUUCAUGAUGUAGAAACAUGCACCACACUAUUGGUUUCAUCUAACCAUACAUUAGGGAAGUAAAUAUGCAUAUGGAGAACUCUAUAUUUGGAAGUAGUGAAAUCCUGCAAUGCUUACCAUGUGUACAUACCUAUAUUCGCCCUUCAGCAAUCAAUGACUAGAAUAAUAUCCUCACAAAUUUUUUGCCCACAGAACACGAGUAUAUAACAAUGCAUGGUCUGUUAGUUACCUUGAAGAAUUUGUUUGUGAGGACAGAACAUGAUUACAUAACAUGCAUGACAUGGUAGUUUCCUAUGAAGAAUCGAUUGAGAGAUAACAUGAGUAUAACCAUGCAUGGCACUUCUAUAUUUUCGAACCCAGUAUACAUUUCCCUGUAUUUUCCUCCCAGUUCCAAUAGGGACAUAUCAAUGCGGUUUCUUGCAUUAUCCUACUACUCUGAACAAUGCUGAUCUUACAUUAACAAUGCUUGUCCUUUUUGAUAUGAUGCAGUGUCCCUACAGUUACUGCCCCUUGUAAUUACACCACCUUUGCCAAAAACAGGGAAGCACAACUGGUUCCUCGCUCGAUCAGACGACGGCAAAAGACUGAUGAUCAUUCGGACACAUGAGCCGGAAAAGUUAUAUUGCAAAAAAAACAUUGUAUACAAGCAUCAUGUAAUACGUGAGUAUCCGGACAGUGGUUGUUAUGUCUAUGAGCAGGAUACCAGCUUGUUGGGGCCUUUAGGAUUUUUUAGUUGGAGGCGAGUAAAUAGCCUUGGUUCACACUCUCUGUUUCUCGGACUCAAUUAUCCGAUUAACCAGGAGAUCACCGUUGGCAAGGACCUUGAUGGCAGAGAGGCUCUGUUUGCUAUGGAAAACUGUGUCUACACGGCGAGCCCUAGGAGUUCGGGAGCAUACUCCCCUGAUUGUCAACGAUACAGCCUGCAGCCAAAAGAAGGUGAGAAUGACAAAGGCAUCCGGAUUAACUUUGAUCCUUGGAUGUCUCAAUUACGACAGGCAGUGAUGUGGUUCAAGCCUUCAGGUUGAUAGGUAAUUGGGAUGUUGCAUCGAAAGGGUGGAGUACUGGUGUCUCCGGAUCACUGGUCGCUGAAGCGGGGCUGCAAAUUAUGAUGGUGUUGGAUCAUCUCUUCGAAUGACUUUGUUGUCUUUGCUGCUGGUUCUGGAUGGGUAGUUCUUUCUUUUGUUAUGCAUAUUCCUUGUCAUUUGGUAAUCCUCGUCUAUGUCACUCUUUCUAUGUAAUAGUUGCUUCUGUUUAGAAUGUCAUUCUCAUCUAGAUCAUGAGAGUCUGAGCGCUGCAGAUGGGUACUUUUGGUGGUGUAGCAAGACUUCUUAAGAACUAUCAUGUCUUGCUGUUUAUGUCAGUAGUAGUCACUAGUCAGUGUUUGAAUGUUGUAUAUAUCGUUGUUUCGAACGGUUUAUUGUCUCGAACUAUUGGUGGGCUAAAUGAGGGCAUCACCAUUCUCCAGUGUUCAGAGUAUAUCUCCUUUUUUCAAGUUAUAUAAUUUGAGCUCACUGUCUUUUCGAUGAUGUACACUUGUUUGGGCCAGUGAGGUUGCGUUGAAUAUGGGCCGAGUAGUAACGCAAUGCCAAACAGGUCAAUUAUGACUCUCGGGCCCGGCUCUCAAAAGAUCCUGAAAAAAGGCCGGGCUCUCCAAAAAAGAAAGAAUAAGGACUCUUAGGCCGACGUGUGGGCGCCACCGGUGUUUUCGUGCCCUUGCGCGCCGAGAGCAUAUUGGCGCGUGCUCGAAAUUCAUGCUAGCUUUUCAUCCCCAGUCUACCGCCCCUCCCCCACCUCUGGAAUCUCGAUUCCUACUCCGGUUCCCCCAAGUCCCCCUCAUGUACUCCCUGUACUCAAGCGCACUAUCAUGUCGCCGGUCAACACGGAUCUCCGAGCCGGAGAUCCUGAGGUCCGUCCUGCCUUCGGUCACUGCGUGCUGUUGCUCAACAGUGGCAUGGCAGCGCUUGACGACCAGUUUGUCGGCAAAGUGCUGAUGGUAACCAUCAACAGCGACCGGCCUCCCGUCUUGCCGGAUGACCUUGUCAAAGCUCUUGGCAUUGCCCACAGCAUCCAAAUAAGUGACUUGCUCGUCGAAGUCUGUCUGCCACCGGCUGAUUUCUUCGUCAGGUUCCGAACAACUUUCAACUACAGUCGUGUGUUCGAAUCUUCCCGGCGUUUGUUCUGCGAUGGCGCGCUGGUGAGCUUUGAUCGGUGGCACCCAGGAUGGGGCUCGGUGCCCUCUGAGCUUGAGUUUUUAACAAAGCUUACCUUCCACGGCAUGCCUCGACGUGCUUGGAACAACGAGUCCAUGAACGAGCUUAUCAACGACCUUGGAGGUGAGCUCGUAAGUAUGUUUGUUCCUCCAGACAGCUGGGCUCUGACGGUUAUGGCAUGGAUGAAGAAGCCGUCCACCAUACCGAAGGUGAUUGGUGUUGAGAUACCGGUGCAGGAACUGGGGUUGUACUAUUUGUCGCCACCAAGGCCGCCGCGGACCACGUUAGGGACGUACCUUUAUCGAGUGUUCGUGCAUGUCGAAGAAGUGGUCAAUCCAUCAAUCGAAGUCCUGCCGCCCCCGCUGGUGCCAGGGUCCGUCGACGACGUCCAUUACAGGAGUCAACGUCAGACUUUCCCCGUGUUGCUCGGAACGAUGGAUGGCACAGGGCCUACUCCAUCACGCGGCGGAGGCCACUGCUUCUUUGGGAGAAGAGGCAGGGCUGGCUGCCUGGAUGUGCUCUAAUUUGAGGUAACAACUGAAUCUUGUCACAUAGUACUAGUUAAAUCCGAGCUAUGGGUCUGAAGCACUGAUAUGCCAGUACAUUUGAUUGUGACCUGUUCUAAUUUUGUACCUGAACUUUUUUAGAAAGGGCUAUACGUCAACUUAAUGUGCUAGCAGAACUUAUUGUGUUGUCUGUUUGUUUUCUUUGCACAACAUUCAAGAUAUUUCCCCGUCAUUUAUAAAGACGAUGAACCGUUAUGUACGACUUCGUUGGUUUCAACAUAGCCCUUCCCUUAGCGAUCCACUGCUUCCAUCCUAAUUGUGCCGCCUGCGUGAAAUUUUUGUAUGUAAGUUCAGUGUGCUAUGAUGUUCUAUAUGAUUGUGUCAACUAUAUAAGUUUUUACUGAGCAUCAGCAAUGCAUAUGGCUGAAAGAUGUAUUUACGAGCAUCGAUCGAUGGGUCUCUCUCUCUCUCUCUCACACACACACACACACACACACACACACACGCACGCACACACACAUGCGCGCACACGCACAAGUGGGACCCGUUGAAUUAUUUAUUUGCUUGUGACAACUUUUAAUUAGGUUCCAUUGUAAUCUAACUUUUUUCUUAAGUUAUUAGUUGAGCUCAGUGACUUCAAAAAGUUGUACAGAAGCCUUGUUAGGGCCUUUCCGGCGUCCCUGAAUGUGGCUGAGUAACCAUGUUAGGUUGUACUAUACUACACAUGCCUUUUUUUCAACAUCAGCAAUGCAACUGGGCCAACAGUUGUACACAAUAUCCGGGUCAACUUGUUAUCCGACCUGCUGGGCUGCAAAGUUUCCUAGGAGGUAUGCAUUAGGCUUAACAAGAAAAUGGACUUCAAGAAAUAAUAAAUGGGAUGUAAUUAUAAUAACUAGGCAAUUACUAUGCACCAAACACGUAAUUAGUUUGAAAAAUAUAUUAUUUUUGGAAUUUGGAAAUUUUAAUUUCAUUACUUGUUGCGCGCAAUAUUUCAUUGGAUUUUAACGUGAUACAACUUUAUUUUGAAAUUAUAUUUAACCUGACUAGAAAUUUCGGAUAAAAUUAUUUCGGAUCCCAUCAAAAUGUGGGAAUUUUUUUUGAAUUCUAUUUUGAGCGGUUGUUUGAAAUUAUUAAUCAUUGUCCUACCUAGAAGUUGGGCUAUACUUUUAACAAACCCGUAAAUGGGUUGUAGUAAAUUCCAUUAAAAUUGAAAAUGGGUUGUACAUUCUUACAAAUCCCAAAUGGGCUAUAUGUUCUCUGCCAAAUCCGAGCUGUGGGCCUACUAAUUUGACGCGUACCAAGGGCUUUGUCAACUUAGUCAAUAUAAACGAUUCUAGGUGCAGUGAUCGUACGAUGUCCAUCCAACGGCCAUAGUGCUUCUUUAACCUCUGGUCUUCUUGCUCCAGCCACCCAAAGCAGCGCCGGUCCUUGAUACGUCUCCAUCGUAUCUACUUUUCCAAACACUUUUGCCCUUGUUUUGGACUCUAACUUGUAUGAUUUGAAUGGAACUAACCCGGACUGACGCUGUUUUCAGCAGAAUUGCCAUGGUGUUGUUUUUUGUGCAGAAAAUAGAAGUUCUCGGAAUGUCCUGAAACUCCACGGAACACCUUAGAAAAAAUAAAGAAAAAUCCUCGCAAAAGAUGAAGACCAGGGGGCCCACACCCUGCUCACGAGGGUGGGGGGCGCCCCCCCCCUGGUGGCCCUCCGACGCCAACUCCAACUCCAUAUAUUGGCUUUCGGGGAGAAAAAAACAGAGAGAAGAAAGCAUUGCGUUUUACGAUACGGAGCCGCCGCCAAGCCCUAAUCUCUCUUGGGAGGGCUGAUCUGGAAUCCGUUUGGGGCUCCGGAGAGGGGGAUUCAUCGCCGUCGUCAUCAUCAACCAUCCUCCAUCACCAAUGCGUGAGUAAUUGCAUCGUAGGCUUGCUGGACGGUGAUGGGUUGGAUGAGAUUUAUCAUGUAAUCGAGUUAGUUUUGUUAGGGUUUGAUCCCUAGUAUCCAUUAUGUUCUGAGAUUGAUGUUGCUAUGACUUUGCUAUGCUUAAUGCUUGUCACUAGGGCCCGAGUGCCAUGAUUUCAGAUCUGAACCUAUUAUGUUUUCAUGAAUAUAUGUGUGUUCUUGAUCAUAUCUUGCAAGUCUAUAGUCACCUACUAUGUGUUAUGAUCCGGCAACCCCGAAGUGACAAUAAUCGGGACCACUCCCGGUGAUGACCAUAGUUUGAGGAGUUCAUGUAUUCACUAUGUGCUAAUGCUUUGUUCCGGUUCUCUAUUAAAAGGAGGCCUUAAUAUCACUUAGUUUCCAAUAGGACCCCGCUGCCACGGGAGGGUAGGACAAAAGAUGUCAUGCAAGUUCUUUUCCAUAAGCACGUAUGACUAUAUACGGAAUACAUGCCUACAUUACAUUGAUGAACUGGAGCUAGUUCUGUGUCACCCUAUGUUAUGACUAUUACAUGACGAACCGCAUCCGGCAUAAUUAUCCAUCACUAAUCCGGUGCCUACGAGUUUUCCAUAUACUGAUUCUCGCUUAUUUACUUUUCCGUUGCUACUGUUACAAUCACUACAAAAUACCAAAAACAUUACUUUUGUUGUCUUUACUUUUGUUACCAUUACCACCACUAUCAUAUUACUUUGCUACUAAACACUUUGCUGCAGAUAUCAAGUUUCCAGGUGUGGUUGAAUUGACAACUCAGCUGCUAAUACUUGAGAAUAUUCUUUGGCUCCCCUUGUGUCGAAUCAAUAAAUUUGGGUUGAAUACUCUACCCUCGAAAACUUUUGCGAUCCCCUAUACUUGUGGGUUAUCAAGACCUUUUUCUGGCGCCGUUGCCGGGGAGCAUAGAUCUAUUCUUUGAGUCACUUGGGAUUUAUAUCUGCUGGACACUAUGAAGAACUUGAAAGAUGAUCGAACUACUAUUUUGCCCUCAACUACGAGGGGAGGUAAGGGACUGCCAUCUAGCCUUGCACUAGAUUCUCCUUCUGUUAUGAGUAAUUUGCGACACCUAAACCUACUACUGCUAUUGAUUCUAAUAUGUCGCAUGUUAUUGAUGAUGCCACUUCUGCUAUGCAUGAUACUUAUGAUGAAACUACUUCUAUGCUUGAUACAACUGUGCCACUUGGUGAAUUUCUUGAUGAGCAAAUUGCUAGGUCUAGAGAAAGAGAAAUUAUUGAACCUGAACACGAUGAUGCUAGUGAUGAUGAACCUAUGCCUGCUAUUCCUGAGGGUUAUCUUUUUGAUGUUGAAUCUUCAGCAGCUAUUCUUGCUUGCCAGGAUAGACGUGAACUUAAGAGGUUGCUAGUUAAAUGGAGUAAAGAAUCUUUUAGAGAUAGAAUGAGACCCGACCCUGCUUUUGCUACUUCACCUAUCUGUGUGCCUGAUCAGGAUUAUUAUGAUUUUUCUGUUGAUCCAGAUAUAGUUACUUUGGUUGAAUCUGAUCCCUUUUAUGGCUAUGAAUCUGAAACUAUUGUGGCACAUCAUACUAAGUUAAAUGAUAUAGCUUCCCUAUUUACUAAUAAUGAGAGAUCGCGCUACCUUUAUUUACUCAAAAUAUUUCCGUUCUCAUUAAAGGGUGAUGCUAAGAUAUGGUAUAAUUCUCUUGAUCCUGGUUGUGUGCAAAGUCCCCAGGAUAUGAUUUAUUACUUCUCUGCUAAAUAUUUCUCUGCUCAUAAGAAACAAGCUGCUUUGAGGGAAAUAUACAACUUUGUGCAAAUUGAAGAAGAGAGUCUCCCACAAGCUUGGGGGAGGCUUCUCAAGUUACUUAAUUCUUUGCCUGAUCAUCCUCUUAAGAAACCUGAAAUAUUUGAUAUCUUUUAUAAUGGACUAACUGAUGCUUCCAAAGAUUACCUGGAUAGUUGUGCUGGUUCUCUUUUCAGGGAAAGAACACCGGAUGACGUUGAAAUUCUAUUGAAUAAUAUGUUGGCAAAUGAAAAUAAUUGGGCACCUCCCGAGCUACCUCCUGAGCCAGUUCCUGAGCCAAUUACUGAGCCUAUUCCUAAACCAACUCCGAAGAAGAGAGGUGUUCUAUUUCUCAGUCCCGAAGAUAUGCAAGAGGCAAAGAAAUCUAUGAAAGAAAAAGGUAUUAAAGCUGAAGAUGUUAAGAAUUUACCUCCUAUUGAAGAAAUACAUGGUCUUAAUUUACCGCCUGUUGAAGAAGUAUAUGAUCUCAAUUACUUAUUUAAUGAAGAACCUCCCGAUAUCCCGACACAGGUAGUAAAGGUAAAUUCUCUCUAUAGAUAUGAUAAAGCUGAAGUCCCUCCUACUAAAAUUGCUAGUCAGAGCUUGGAUGAGUUUGAUGACUUUAUGUUUAAGAAAGAUGACUUUAAUGCUUAUUUUGGUAGACAAUUAAAACAGAAUACCUUUAUGAUUAAACGCUUGGGUGAUUAUAUGGCUGAUAUUAAAGGUGAACUUAAACUUGUUAGCAAACAUGCUUCUAUGGUUACCACUCAAGUAGAACAAGUACUUAAAGCUCAGAAAGAAGUGCUUGAUGAAAUGAAUAGUAAGAAAAAUGAUUAUGCUGUUAGAGUGGCUACUAGAACUGGUAGAAUGACUCAGGAACCUGUGUAUCCUGAAGGCCACCCUAAGAGAAUCGAGCAAGAUUCUCAGAGAAACAAUAUUGAUGUACCUAGUUCUUCUAAGAGGAAGAAAAAGAAAAAUGAUAGGACUUUGCAAACUUCUAGUGAACCUAUUGUUGAACCACCUGAGAAUCCAAAUGGUAUCUCUAUUUUUGAUGCUGAAACUCAAUCAGGUGAUGAACCUGAACCUAGUGAUAAUGUUAAUGAUAAUGUUCAUGUUGAUGCUCAACCUAGUAAUGACAAUUGUCACGCCCAAUAUGCGACCCUAUCCAAAAGGAACUCGAAGGUCCCACCAAGGAUAGACCCGCAUAUUGAAACGCUUUUGCAAGGUGGAUAUCAUUACAUCAACAUUACAUAAUAGAUGGGGAUACAUACACGAGGCAUACAAUGCCACAUGAAUACAACAUCACAAUACAAAAGAGCAUCAUCCGACUACGGAUGAAACACAAACAGAAACUCACACAACAUCCACCCUGCUAGCCCAGGCUGCCGACCUGGAACCUAUCCCUGAUCGAAGAAGAAGCAGAAGAAGAACUCCAAAACAAGCAAACAUCACUCUCGCGUCAUGAUCAUCGCACAACCUGUACCUGCAACUGUUGUGGUAGUAAUCUGUGAGCCACGAGGACUCAGCAAUCCCAUUACCAUGGGUAUCAAGACUAGCAAAGCUUAAAGGGAAAGGAAGGGGUAAAGUGGUGAGGCUGCAGCAGUGACUAAGCAUAUAUGGUGGCUAACAUACGCAAAUAAGAGCGAGAAGAGAGCAAGCGGAACGGUCUUGAAGCUAGCAAUGAUCAAGAAGUGAUCCUGAACUCCUACUUACGUCAAACAUAACCCAUAAACCGUGUUCACUUCCCGGACUCCACCGAUAAGAGACCAUCACGGCUACACACGCGGUUGAUGCGUUUUAAUUCGGAUCUGGUGUCAAGUUAUCUACAACUGGACAUUAACAAAUUCCCAUAUGCCUAUAACCGCAGGCACGGCUUUCGAAAGAUUAUACCCUGCAGGGGUGUCCCAACUUAGCCCAUGACAAGCUCUCGCGAUCAAUGAAGGAUAUACCUUCUCCCAGGAAGACCCGAUCAGACUUGGAAUCCCGGUUUACAAGACAUUUCGACAAUGGUAAAACAAGACCAGCAAGACCGCCCGAUGCACCGAGAAUCCCGAUAGGAGCUGCACAUAUCUCGUUCUCAGGGCAACACCGGAUGAGACAUGCUACGAGUAAAACCAGACUUCGAGUUUCCCCAAGGUGGCCCCGCAGGCGGCUCGGUUCGGACCAACACUUAGACAAGCACUGGCCCGGGGGGGGCUAAAAUAAAGAUGACCCUCGGGUUGGCCAACCCAAGGGAAAGGUAUAGGUGAUGGUGAGGCAAAUGGUAAAAUCAAGGUUGGGCCUUGCUGGAGGAGUUUUAUUCAAAGCGAACUAUCAAGGGGGUCCCAUAAAUCACCCGACCGCGUAAGGAACGCAAAAUCCGGGAACAUAACACCGGUAUGACGGAAACUAGGGCGGCAAGAGUGGAACAAAACACCAGGCAAAAGGCCGAGUCUUCCACCCUUUACCAAGUAUAUUGAUGCAUUAAUAAUAUAAGAGAUAUUGUGAUAUCCCAACCAAAAUCCUGUCCACCAUGGAGCAAUCUUCAACUUCACCUGCAACUAGCAACGCUAUAAGAGGGCUGAGCAAAGCGGUAACAUAGCCAAACAACGGUUUGCAUAGGAAAGGUGUCAAAGGUUAGAGGUUCAUGGCAAUAUGGGAGGGCUUGAUAAACAUGUGAUAGGUAGCGCAGCAAAGCGAUAGAACGAAGCAACUAGCAUAGCAAUGAUAGUAGUGAGAUCCAGGGUAGCGGUCAUCUUGCCUGAAAUCCCGCAAGGAAGAAGAACGAGACCAUGAAGAAGACGAACGGAUGAAGCCGAACCAAGCGUAGACGAACGAAUCCUCACGACCGCAACGAAACAGGAACUAUCAAAAAGAAGCACACAACAUAGUAAACACACCACACAUAGACAAGACAUGAUGCACAACAAGCAUAAUGCAAGACAAGACUACAUUAAGCUACUCAUGGCAAGAGAUGAUGCAAACAAGAGCAACACAUCAAGGCAAGUUUAAAUGAGGCCGGGAACAACAUAUAACAAUUCCGGUAAGUCCUCAUAUGCAAAUUUCGAAGUUGGUCCAGAUCUGAAUAAACCUUAUGUUCAAGUUGUUAAACAGCAAGUUAAGAUGCACAAGGAUGAUCUACACGAGAUUCUAGUCAAGUUACAUAUCAAGUUCAUUUAGUUCGGAGCUACGGCCUAGAAGAUAUGAGCAAAACAAGUUAAACAUGGCAUUGAUGCAAAAUGUAUUCAAACAUCAAGCAAAGACACCAAAACAAGGAUGCAACAUGAUAAUAUGAAACUACAUGCAAUUCUAAGCAAGUUUCAUAUAGAGCACACUCAAAACGGAGCAACGGUUCAACUCAUACACGCUAUACAAGUUUAAAGGACAAGCUGUCCAAAACAGCAACUAGGCAUAUUGCAAGCAUCAAAACAACAUGCUACAGUACCACAAUAUGAAAACAAAAGGCAUGGACAUGAUGUACAGGUAAAGCAUUACAAAACAUGAACACUGAGCUAUCUCCAGAAACUACUAGAACAUGCUCAAACACACAUGGCAAGAUCGCAACUAAUAACAAUUCAGACUUCGUAGAAAAUAACAUCAGGUUGCAAUGUUCAGAGCAAGUUAUCAACAUGCUACAGGAACUUAUCAUGGCAAACAAAGGCAUGACAUGAAUCUACUAAAUGCAUAGAUCAAAAGUCCCUUACUGACCAUGAGCCAAAAAGGAUCAAAAAAUAUGAUGGCACCCAUGUAAACAUAGCAAGUUAUAUUACAGAUUCAAACAUGGCAGGAACAGAAUUAUGAAGGCAUGUUGGUGAGCUUGUGCAACUCACUACAGAGCAAUACAUGGCAUGGCAGGGCAACCAACAGUAAGAAGACAUAUUUGUGAAGGUAAGCAUGGCAAGAGCAAGUCCAUAGGGUGCAUGGAACACUAGGAAAACACAUGGCAACAACUGAACUUAAUGUUAACAGGCUAACAGCAACAUUAUCAAGCAACUUUGGAGCAAGUUACAGCAAGCUAUAAAUGCAACCAGGGACAUGGAUGGAUUGAGCAUGACAUGUAGAAAAAAACAUAUUUAGUGAACAUAUCUAGAUUAUGCACAGAAUGAUUAGUAGCAACAUGUUUACAUAGCAUCACGAAAUAACAGAUUCAGCCUAGCAAAACAGCAACAGCAAGUACACUACUUAACAAGCUCGAUUCACUCACCACAAGUCAUUGAAUGACAAGAUAAGCAUAGCAUCAUCAAGAAGACAUGUUUAUGAAACAAACCAAGGCAAGAACAAGUUCAUAGCACGCACGGAUCAACUACAACAACCUUGGCAAAAUUGAAUAACAUGUAAACAAUCUGCGAGGAAACAUUUUGAAGCAAAAAUAGAGCACGAAAAUGACAUGCUAGACUACUCAAUAAUUGCAACCAGGGGCAUGAAUGGAUAGAAAAUAACCAUAUGUUCAAAAUACCCUUACUGAAGUAUCUCAAAAUAUGCAUGGAUCUCUCUGUAGCAUCAAGUUUACAUGGCAUCAAAAUAACAGCAGAACAGGGACUAAAAUCAGCAACAUCACGAUGCCUAGUUUGCAUGCUUGUGCUAGUCACCACAUUGAUCACAAAAAUACAUGGUAAGCACCUCUGUAAAGAAGACAUGGCAUAAUUCAAAACACAUGUAGACAUCAACCUCAUAGGAUGCACACAUCAAUCAUGGAAAAAAUGACAAAAGAGCUCGUUUUGUUAACAGACAGCAGAAAACAUCAUGAAGCACUCUUGCAACAAUGAUUCAGGCAUCUAGAUGACCUCAAAUGAAAAUGACGCAAUGGAAUGAAAUGAAGUACUCGUUGAGGCGAACAAUUUGACAUAUUACACACACAAAACGGAGCUACGGAUGCAGAGUUACGAUGUGAUGAACAUGUCAUGAAAAUGUCUAAAUAUUUCGGUGACUAGCCGUUUUUAGGAAAAAACAGAGUGAGCGCUAGAUACUAAAUGUGGCCGAGGCGGGUUUUAGGCGGGGCUCACCAUGGGCUUUGGCCCAAGACAGAGAGGAGACAGGCCAGGGCGCGCUGGGCCAGAGCUGGGCCUCGGCGAGGUCGUGGGCCCAUGUGGCCGGCGGCCUGUCGUCGUUCUCCUCGUGCCUGAGGCGCACGAGCAAGAAGCAGGGGGUGGCGACACUGCAGGGAGGGCCGGCGAGGAGGUCGGGACGAUGCGGGGACGGGAAGAUCCGGCCGGCGAGUCGCCGGAUCCGGUGGUGGCGACGCGGUGACGAGCUCGGGCGGUGGAGGCACCCUGCGGGAGAGAGAGAGAGAGAGGCAACCAUGAGUGAGAGGGAGAAGAAAGGAGAAGGAAGGAGAGGGCAGCGGGGCACUCAUCUACGGCGGCGCGGGACGAGGAGAUGCCGGCGGGGCAGGUCGCCGGCGAGGCGGCGGCCUCCGGCAGCUUGAGCAAGGCUCGGGCGGAUGGGAGGAGCCACGGGGCUCGGGCGCGAGCGUGGGCUGCGGCAGGCCCAGAUCCGGCCCGGGGCGGGCCGGUUGCGGGCUUCCGUGGGCCGCGGCGGCUGGGAGGCGCGGGGUGAGGUGGCGAUGCCACAUGGCGGCGGGGCAGUGGCUGGCGGGCGCGAGGAGGCGACAUGGCACGUGCGGAUUGGUCCGGGCGCACCGGCGGCGACGCCAAGUGGCGAAGGGCGGCUGGGGAGGCGCGGAUUUCGAGGAGGAAGGAGGUGGCUGUGGCAGGAGGUAGGGGAAGAGGUCUAGGUUACCCAAAAUAGACUAGGGGUGUCCAUAUAUAGCAAAAUGGUUAGGUUAGGGGGGUUUGGGGGCGUUUUGGAGCCUCUGAUCGUAAUCCGACGGAUCUGAUCACGAGGGGGUUUGGCAGGCCUAGGUGGGCUAUGAAGAGAGGUUGGGCUGAGUGGAGAGAAGAGAGAGAGAGGCCCGGCGGCAGUUUCGAAGACCGAAACAUCUGACGAAGGUACCGGCAACGGUACCGCUAUAUUUAACGGUUGGGCUAACAAAUGCACUCCGAAUGCGAUGAAACUUGGCAGGCGCUCUGUCUACACUAUAAUAAGACCGCACGACAAGUUGCAACCCAUUCCGAGAACAUUUUUAUGCCACUUAUAAAAUAAUAUUUCGGAGGUGCCGCGGGCGCGUGCGAGUGUGGUCUGGACUCCAAACGGACAACGGAGAGAAUCGGGAGGACCCGAACAGAUGCAAGUUUUGAAAAACAUGCAGAUGCAAUGCAGAUGAUGACAUGGCAAAAUGCAACACGCAAGCAAAUGACAUGGCAACGACGGCGAAUAACUGGCGGACACCUGGCGCAUCGAAACCGGGGCGUUACAACACUCCUCCACUAACAAGAGAUCUCGUCCCGAGAUCUUAGGACCGAGACGGAAGAGAAAAAGGGAUGAGGUGAAGCAAUAACUCAAGAGAAGAAGCAAAUAAUCGACAGCACUCGAGAAGAAGAGAGGAACGACGAGAAUGACGAGAAUCAAAAGCUCACGGAAUCAGAUAGACUAUGAAACCACUCCGGUUAAAACGAGAUAAGAAACGAAUAAGACUGAAAGGAUUUAGGUAGCACUCCGGUUAAACAUGGAAAGAAAAGAACAAGAACUUUACCCAAUGAGAUGGCACUUGACGAGAUGACCAACGCAAUGCCUCCGGAAGACUUGAAAGAAUUGAAUGAAAAGAACUUAGAAGGAAGGAUUGAAUGGAGUUGUUGAGAAAAUCAACAACGAAAAGAAUAAGUUUGUUGUGGACUUAUGGAAAACCUCUCAAAAAUUAUGAGGUGAUAACCUACCACAAAUAGAAAAGAUUAAAUAGCUGGGGAGAACGAAGAAAUGCAAAACUCCACUUCAAAAGGAUAUGGAUGAUUAAUUGCACUUCAAGAUGCAAGAAGAAAAGAUAUCUGAAUUCCACCAACAAAAUCUUGAUGUACUCUUGAAGAAUGAAUUAAAUCGUGACGAACCACCAUGAAGAACUCCGGUGACAAAAGGAUGACGAGAUAAAAUGAAAGAUGAAAGGAUAAGAUUAAGCCUUGGGAUGAUUUAGAUGGAGGUUCCGACGAAAUGACUGAGGAAAUUGAACUCCGGAAAAGAAAAGAUGAAGACACUUGGAACUAGAAUUUAUUCAUUAAGAACAAACUCCGAAGGAAAGGAUUACUCACUUGGAUGAAAUAAGAAUAAGAUUUAUUGUAUGCUUAUCCUCCACCAAUUUAAAUUGAUGACUAACAAUGGAUUUCGCAUACUACUUAUUCUUCUUGAAAAAGGAUUGAGAAGUGACAUAUCGCAAACUUGAGAAGGUCUUCAUUAACCACCGGUAGGAUUGGGAAGAACGAAAGAAUUAAAAUGAUAAUCAAAGAAAAAGAAUCUUGAACGAACCACCGUAAAAAUUCGGAAAAGAUUGAAGAAAGAGAGUGAAUCACCGGGAAGAAACAAUAUGUUUGAGGGGGAUUUAGAUGCAAAAGAACAAAUAGAUCAUGAGCUGAUAAAGAAUACUUGAACGAAGCACCGGGAUAAAUAGAGAACGAUAGCUAGAAUGAUGGCCUCUGGAUGAAAAGAAAUGGAAAAAACAACUCCUGACAUACUCCGGAUGGUUAAGAAAAGAAUAUCUGACAAAUGGAAUAAUCCCCGAGGAUAACAUGAAGCUAGAACCACGAAACUUCGAGAGAACGGACACGGUUUAAGAGGAACUCUUCUUCGGUCUUCAAAAGACGACGGGAAACACCACCAAAAUUAUUGAGAUACUCCGGGAGAAUGAAAAAGAGGAAGGGUUGAACCAACAAUGAAAAGAGUUUGAAAACGAUCUUGGAGAAGGCAUCUGACUGAUGAAAUUCAUUCUUAUGUCACACUUUGAAAAGAAUUGAGAAUAACUCUGAGGGAAUUAGAAGAGUCAGGUAAGAUCCUGGGAAAAGACCCGUGGGUUAGGGCCCACUAAAAUAGAACACCGUUGGAAAGGGAUGUUGAACAGAUAGGUGAAGCACUGGAAUGAUCGAAAUAUUUGACUGAGGUGACAACCUUGAAUUAAUUGGAACACAGACGAAUCUCGUGAGAUGUCUUGAGCACUCCGGAAGGAUAAACUGGCGAGAGGCGAACGAGCAAGCAGAACACUAGAUCCAAAUAAAAGAAUAUGAUCAACCUCAAAAACUUGAAUUGGGUCCACCAGAAAAGAGAUGAAGAAUGUCGAACGAAACGAGAAUUCACCGGUUGAAAUAAUUGACGAAAGACUGAAGGGUUCUGCACGAAUGAAAUAGAUUGUCGAGAGAGACUCAGACUCCGGGAAGAAGAGAGUGGGAGGGCGGGAAAACAAAAUCAACUUGGAAGGGGAAAUCGACGAAUAUCUUGAAGAGAAAACACCGGUUGAAAACAUUGAGGAGAGAGAGAAAAAACUUCACACGAGUAGGAUGGAUACUCGAUUACAGACUCUGGUUCCGAGAAGAAGAAGGUGUGGGCGGGUGGGAAAAGAAAACAACUGAGGAUUGAACUCAAAGAUGAAGAGGCUUGAGUCAACUUGACAUGAAAUGCACCGGAUGAAAAGAGCUGAGAACCAACGAUCGGAAAACCAACUGCAUGAUCCUAAGGAAAAAUUUGAAGGGGAAGAGGAGUAGUUCAAAACACCUACGUCAAGAUUCCUCACCAGAGCGACGAAGGGGGCUGAGGAGUAAAAAGAAUUCCUACUCUCCGAUAUAACUAGACUUCGAAAAUAGUUUUCUUCUAGACUCAACAACGGCCAAACUACACGAUCAAUCAAGGGGGCUCCUAGGGUCGGUCGAGGCUCCGAUACCAACUUGUCACGCCCAAUAUGCGACCCUAUCCAAAAGGAACUCGAAGGUCCCACCAAGGAUAGACCCGCAUAUUGAAACGCUUUUGCAAGGUGGAUAUCAUUACAUCAACAUUACAUAAUAGAUGGGGAUACAUACACGAGGCAUACAAUGCCACACGAAUACAGCAUCACAAUACAAAAGAGCAUCAUCCGACUAUGGAUGAAACACAAACAGAAACUCACACGACAUCCACCCUGCUAGCCCAGGCUGCCGACCUGGAACCUAUCCCUGAUCGAAGAAGAAGCAGAAGAAGAACUCCAAAACAAGCAAACAUCGCUCUCGCAUCAUGAUCCUCGCACAACCUGUACCUGCAACUGUUGUGGUAGUAAUCUGUGAGCCACAAGGACUCAGCAAUCCCAUUACCAUGGGUAUCAAGACUAGCAAAGCUUAAAGGGAAAGGAAGGGGUAAAAUGGUGAGGCUGCAGCAGCGACUAAGCAUAUAUGGUGGCUAACAUACGCAAAUAAGAGCGAGAAGAGAGCAAGUGGAACGGUCGUGAAGCUAGCAAUGAUCAAGAAGUGAUCCUGAACUCCUACUUACGUCAAACAUAACCCAUAAACCGUGUUCACUUCCCGGACUCCGCCGAGAAGAGACCAUCACGGCUACACACGCGGUUGAUGCGUUUUAAUUCGGAUCUGGUGUCAAGUUAUCUACAACUGGACAUUAACAAAUUCCUAUCUGCCUAUAACCGCAGGCACGACUUUCGAAAGAUUAUACCCUACAGGGGUGUCCCAACUUAGCCCAUGACAAGCUCUCGCGAUCAAUGAAGGAUAUACCUUCUCCCAGGAAGACCCGAUCAGACUCGGAAUCCCGGUUUACAAGACAUUUCGACAAUGGUAAAACAAGACCAGCAAGACCGCCUGAUGCGCCGACAAUCCCGAUAGGAGCUGCACAUAUCUCGUUCUUAGGGCAACACUGGAUGAGACAGGCUACGAGUAAAACCAGACUUCGAGUUUCCCCGAGGUGGCCCUGCAGGCGGCUCGGUUCGGACCAACACUUAGACAAGCACUGGCCCGAGGAGGGCUAAAAUAAAGAUGACCCUCGGGUUGGCCGACCCAAGGGAAAGGUAUAGGUGACGGUGAGGCAAAUGGUAAAACCAAGGUUGGGCCUUGCUGGAGGAGUUUUAUUCAAAGCGAACUGUCAAGGGGGUCCCAUAAAUCACCCGACCGCGUAAGGAACGCAAAAUCCGGGAACAUAACACCGGUAUGACGAAAACUAGGGCAGCAAGAGUGGAACAAAACACCAGGCAAAAGGCCGAGUCUUCCACCCUUUACCAAGUAUAUAGAUGCAUUAAUAAUAUAAGAGAUAUUGUGAUAUCCCAACCAAAAUCCUAUCCACCAUGGAGCAAUCUUCAACUUCACCUGCAACUAGCAACGCUAUAAGAGGGCUGAGCAAAGCGGUAACAUAGCCAAACAACGGUUUGCAUAGGAAAGGUGUCAAAGGUUAGAGGUUCAUGGCAAUAUGGGAGCGCUUGAUAAACAUGUGAUAGGUAGCGCAGCAAAGCGAUAGAACGAAGCAACUAGCAUAGCAAUGAUAGUAGUGAGAUCUAGGGUAGCGGUCAUCUUGCCUGAAAUCCCGCAAGGAAGAAGAACGAGACCAUGAAGAAGACGAACGGAUGAAGCCGAACCAAGCGUAGACGAACGAAUCCUCACGAUCGCAACGAAACAGGAACUAUCAAAAAGAAGCACACAACAUAGUAAACACACCACACAUAGACAAGACAUGAUGCACAACAAGCAUGAUGCAAGACAAGACUACAUGAAGCUACUCAUGGCAAGAGAUGAUGCAAACAAGAGCAACACAUCAAGGCAAGUUUAAAUGAGGCCGGGAACAACAUAUAACAAUUCCGGUAAGUCCUCAUAUGCAAAUUUCGAAGUUGGUCCAGAUCUGAAUAAACCUUAUGUUCAAGUUGUUAAACAGCAAGUUAAGAUGCACAAGGAUGAUCUACACGCGAUUCUAGUCAAGUUACAUAUGAAGUUCAUUUAGUUCAGAGCUACGGCCUAGAAGAUAUGAGCAAAACAAGUUAAACAUGGCAUUGAUGCAAAAUGCAUUCAAACAUCAAGCAAACACACCAAAACAAGGAUGCAACAUGAUAAUAUGAAACUACAUGAAAUUCUAAGCAAGUUUUAUGUAGAUCACACUCAAAACGGAGCAACGGUUCAACACAUACACGCUAUACAAGUUUAAAGGACAAGCUAUCCAAAACAGCAACUAGGCAUAUUGCAAGCAUCAAAACAACAUGCUACAGUACCACAAUAUGAAAACAAAAGGCAUGAACAUGAUGUAUAGGUAAAGCAUUAUAAAACAUGAACACUGAGCUAUCUCCAGAAACUACUAGAACAUGCGCAAACACACAUGGCAAGAUCGCAACUAAUAACAAUUCAGACUUCGCAGAAAAUAACAUCAGGUUGCAAUGUUCAGAGCAAGUUAUCAACAUGCUACAGGAACUUAUCAUGGCAAACAAAGGCAUUACAUGAAUCUACUAAAUGCAUAGAUUCAAAGUCCCUUACUGACCAUGAGCCAAAAAGGAUCAGAAAAUAUGAUGGCACCCAUGCAAACAUAGCAAGUUAUAUUACAGAUUCAAACAUGGCAGGAACAAAAUUAUGAAGGCAUGUUGGUGAGCUUGUGCAUCUCACUACAGAGCAAUACAUGGCAUGGCAGGGCAACCAACUGUAAGAAGACAUAUUUGUGAAGCUAAGCAUGGCAAGAGCAAGUCCAUAGGGUGCAUGGAACACUAGGAAAACACAUGGCAACAACUGAACUUAAUGUUAACAGGCUGACAACAACAUUAUCAAGCAACUUUGGAGCCAGUUUACAACAAGUUACAACAAGCUAUAAAUGCAACCAGGGGCACGGAUGGAUAGAGCAUGACAUGUAGAACAAAACAUAUUUAGUGAACAUCUCCAAAUUAUGCAUAGAAUGAUUAGUAGCAACAUGUUUACAUAGCAUCACGAAAUAACAGAUUCAGCCUAGCAAAACAGCAACAACAAGUACACUACUUAACAAGCUCGAUUCACUCACCACAAGUCAUUGCAUGACAAGAUAAACAUAGCAUCAUCAAGAAGACAUGUUUAUGAAACAAACCAUGGCAAGAACAAGUUCAUAGCAUGCACGGAUCAACUACAACAACCUUGGCAAAAUUGAAUAUGUAAACAAUCUGCCAGGAAACAUUUUGAAGCAAAAGUAGAGCACGAAAAUGACAUGCUAGACUACUCCAUAAUUGCAACCAGGGGCAUGAAUGGAUAGACAAUAACCAUAUGUUCAAAACACCCUUACUGAAGUAUCUCAAAAUAUGCAUGGAUCUCUCUGUAGCAUCAAGUUUACAUGGCAUCAAAAUAACAACAGAACAGGGACUAAAAUCAGCAACAUCACGAUGCCUAGUUUGCAUGCUUGUGCUAGUCACCACAUUGAUCACAAAAAUACAUGGUAAGCACCUCUGUAAAGAAGAAAUGGCAUAGUUCAAAACACAUGUAGACAUCAACCUCAUAGGAUGCACACAUCAAUCAUGGCAAAAAUGACAAAUGAGCUUGUUCUGUUAACAGACAACAGAAAACAUCAUGAAGCACUCUUGCAAUGAUGAUUCAGGCAUCUAGAUGACCUCAAAUGAAAAUGAUGCAAUGGAAUGAAAUGAAGUACUCGUUGAGGUGAACAAUUUGACAUAUUACACGCACGAAACAGAGCUACGGAUGCAGAGUUACGAUGUGAUGAACAUGGCAGGAAAAUGUCUAAAUAUUUCGGGGACUUUGCCGUUUUUAGGGAAAAAACAGAGUGAGCGCUAGAUACUAAAUGUGGCCGAGGCGGGUUUUAGGUGGGGCUCACCAUGGGCUUCGGCCCAAGACAGAGAGGAGACAGGCCGGGGCGCGCUGGGCCAGAGUUGGGCCUCGGCGAGGUCGCAGGCCCAUGUGGCCGGUGGCCUGUUGUCGUUCUCCUCAUGCCUGAGGCGCACGAGCAAGAAGCAGGCGGCGGCGGCACCUGCAGGGAGGGCCGGCGAGGAGGUCGGGACGGCGCGGGGACGGGCAGAUCCGGCCAGCGAGUCGCCGGAUCCGGUGGUGGCGACACGAUGACGAGCUCGGGCGGCGGAGGCACCCUGCGGGAGAGAGAGAGGCAGCCAUGAGUGAAAGGGAGAAGAAAGGAGAAGGAAGGAGAGGGCGGCGGGGCGCUCAUCUACGGCGGCGCGGGACGGGGAGAUGCCGGCGAGGCAGGUCGCCGGCGAGGCGGCGGCCUCNNNNNNNNNNNNNNNNNNNNNNNNNNNNNNNNNNNNNNNNNNNNNNNNNNNNNNNNNNNNNNNNNNNNNNNNNNNNNNNNNNNNNNNNNNNNNNNNNNNNNNNNNNNNNNNNNNNNNNNNNNNNNNNNNNNNNNNNNNNNNNNNNNNNNNNNNNNNNNNNNNNNNNNNNNNNNNNNNNNNNNNNNNNNNNNNNNNNNNNNNNNNNNNNNNNNNNNNNNNNNNNNNNNNNNNNNNNNNNNNNNNNNNNNNNNNNNNNNNNNNNNNNNNNNNNNNNCGGUGGCUGGGAGGCGCGGGGUGAGGUGGCGAUGCGACAUGGCGGCGGGGCAGUGGCUGGCGGGCGCGAGGAGGCGACGUGGCGCGUGCGGAUUGGUCCGGGCGCUCCGGCGGUGAUGCCAAGUGGCAAAGGGCGGCUGGGGAGGCGCGGAUUUCGAGGAGGAAGGAGGUGGCUGCGGCAGGAGGUAGGGGAAGAGGUCUAGGUUACCCAAAAUAGACUAGGGGUGUCCAUAUAUAGCAAAAUGGUUAGGUUAGGGGGGUUUGGGGGCGUUUUGGAGCCUCCGAUCGUAAUCCGACGGAUCUGAUCGCGAGGGGGGUUGGCAGGCCUAGGUGGGCUGUGAAGAGAGGUGGGGCUGAGUGGAGAGAAGAGAGAGAGAGAGGCCCGCGGCAGUUUCGAAGACCGAAACAUCCGACGAAGGUACCGGCAACGGUACCGCUAUAUUUAACGGUUGGGCUAACAAAUGGACUCCGAAUGCGAUGAAACUUGGCAGGCGCUCUGUCUACACUAUAAUAAGACCGCACGACAAGUUGCAACCCAUUCCGAGAACAUUUUUAUGCCACUUAUAAAAUAAUAUUUCGGAGGUGCCGCGGGCGCGUGCGAGUGUGGUCUGGACUCCGAACGGACAACGGAGAGAAUCGGGAGGACCCGAACGGAUGCAAGUUUUGAAAAACAUGCAGAUGAAAUGCAGAUGAUGACAUGUCAAAAUGCAACACGCAAGCAAAUGACAUGGCAACGACGGCGAAUAACUGGCGGACUCCUGGCGCAUCGAAACCGGGGCAUUACAAUAAUGAUGUAGAAGUUGAACCUGCUGUUGAUCUUGAUAACCCACAAUCAAAGAAUCAAUGUUAUGAUAAAAGAGACUUCGUUGCUAGGAAACAUGGUAAAGAAAGGGAACCAUGGGUUCAGAAACCCAUGCCUUUUCCUCCGAAACCAUCCAAGAAAAAGGAUGAUGAGGAUUUUGAGCGCUUUGCUGAAAUGAUUAGACCCAUCUUUCUGCGUAUGCGAUUAACUGAUGUGCUCAAAACAAAUCCUUAUGCUAAGUAUAUGAAAGAUAUUAUUACUAAUAAAAGAAAGAUACCUGAAGCUGAAAUUUCCACCAUGCUUGCUAAUUAUACUUUUAAGGAUGGAAUACCAAAGAAACUUGGAGAUCUGGGAGUACCUACUAUACCAUGCUCCAUUAAAAGAAAUUAUGUUAAAACUGCUUUAUGUGAUCUUGGAGCCGGUGUCAGUGUUAUGCCUCUCUCUUUAUAUCGUAGACUUGACUUGAACAAGUUGACACCUACUGAACUAUCUUUGCAAAUGGCUAAUAAAUCAACUGCUAUACCCAUCGGUAUUUGUGAGGAUGUGCCUGUUGUGGUUGCAAACAUUACUAUUUUAACGGACUUUGUUAUUCUUGAUAUUCCCGAGGAUGAUAGUAUGUCUAUUAUUCUUGGAAGACCUUUCCUUAAUACUGCAGGGGCUGUUAUUGAUUGCACCAAAGGCAAUGUCACUUUUCAUGUUAAUGGCAAUGAGCACACGGUACAUUUUCUGAGGAAACAACCCCAAGUUUAUAGUAUCAACUCUAUUGGAAAAUUUCCAUUGAUUAUAUUUGGAGGUUUCGAAUUUCCUCUUCCUACUGUCAAGAAAAAGUAUGAUAUUCUUAUUGUUGGGAUUUUCAUAUCCCCGUUGAGGUAACUUUGUGUCAUUCGAAAUUUCUCCGGUUCCGUGAUUAUUCGGAAUGAAUUUGUUAACAAGACUUGAUCAACCUUGUUAGUGGGUUCAUUUUGAUGAUCACGAGAUGGAUGAAACUAGAAGCACAACCUUCUGUACCCUCUUUAUAUUUUCUGUUAUUUAGUAGAAAUAAAGUAAAAUAGUAUUUUUUCUGUCUGUCUCCUGACUUAUCCGUGCAAUAUAAAAAUAUCCCGAAAAUAAAAGUCCUCAGAGUGCCAUGCCAAUUUAAUAUGAUUUUUUUAGGAAUAUUUAAGAAUUUACUGUGCAAAAAUUACCACGGGGGGAGCUGCCACCUGGCCAUGAGGGUGGAGGGCGCGCCCUACCCCCCUGAGCGCGCCCCCUGCCUCGUGGGCCCAUGGUGGCCCUCCUCCACUUAUUCCUGCACCCAUCUUCUUCCUCUGCCUCACACAAACACGAAAAACCAACUCAAGCACGAGUUCCAACCCCCGUUACUGUGAUUUUCGAUCUCCUUGCUCAAAGCGCCUCUUGCAAAACUGCUUGGGGAGAUUGUUCCUUGGUAUGUGACUCCUCCAUUGGUCCAAUUAGUUUUUGUUCUAGUGCUUUAUUCAUUGCAAAUUUGUGCUGCAUAGGUGACCAUGUUCUUGAGCUUGCAUGUCAAAUUUAUAUGGUUCUAAGUAGUUCCAAUGCUUUAUAUAGGCUCUAGGCACUUGUGGGAGUUGUUACUAUCAAUUUUAUUGAAGUUGGUUCACUUUUAUUUGAAGUUACUAAAAAUUUCAGAAAUUUUUCAGAGGAAACAAUAUGCUUAGGAGGAUGUUCCAAGGUGGUCCUUCGAGGAAGCAAGGUCCCAGGCUUGCAAUACGUGAUGCUGACGAGGAACCACCAAGAGACGCUCCUGUGAGGCCUUGUGAAUGGCCAUCGGAAAAUUUUAUGAAUCAAGUGGGAAUCAAAGAAGAAUUUAGCACAUAUUUGAGUAACGCCGGUCUUGAGGAUUUUGAAGCUGACAAAUGCCCCCAGUAUCAUGAUCUCACAAGUUCAUUUGUGAGGAGGUUUGAGUUUUCAUCUUCGCGUAAUUCUCCUUCAGUCAUGUUUGACCUUUAUGACAAAUCGUAUACCAUGGACUUAGAGGAUUUCACUUCUGCUUGCAAACUUCCAUCUUGGGGUAAUAUCAGGGAUCCCCCUAAAUCUGAAUAUAGAGACUUUCUUGCUAGAAUAACUGUGGAGGAAUCUAGAGAUAUAACACAAGCUACUAUAGGGAGCAUUCACUUUCCUGCUAUACAUUAUUUUGCUCUCUUCAUAGGUAGAUGCAUAAAUGCUAAGGAUGAAGCAUGUCACAUGUGUGUCCCUGAUCUGAGCAUUCUCAGCAGUGUUGUGUUAGGUGACCAAUCUUAUCAUAUGGGAGCCAUUGUAGCUCGUAGGUUGCAUCAGAAUAGACAUAGCGGAGAUUUCUUUGGAGGAAUUUACGCAACCCGCUUAGCUAAUUUUCUUGAGAUAGACAUUCGUGAGGGUGAUAUGGAGUUACCCCCUUCUUAUUUAGAUUUUGAUUCUAUGGUUUCCCACUUGUUUAUUGAGAGGACUGCACCACCUCUCCAGUAUCGACUAAUCUUUGACAGACGUCGUGUAGUCCAUAUUGCUCUUCCUGUCCCUGCUUUCUUUGAUUCACAGGCAAAAAGAAGAUAUAUUAUUACCAGAGAGGAGGCAGAUGAGUACGAAAGGAGAGCGGAGGCCGCUCGACUCCACGCUACAGCUCAGGCGGCGAUAGCCGCUGCGUCACAGUACGACCCCAGCUACACCUACGGGUAUCCGCCAGGCCAUCCCUGGCAAUAGACCAACUUAGGCCAAAAGCCUAAGCUUGGGGGAGUACGUAUUUCCCACCGACAUUUCAUUUAUGUUCACACAUACACACACUCAUUGCUAGAUGCUGGUGCUCAUACUUUUUCACUGUAAUAUCCAUGCUAGUUUACUUUCUUUUUCCUGCUUUCUUCUUGUGUGUUUGAUAAACUUUAAGAAAAACCAAAAAAUUAGUGAGUUUACUUUCCAUGCUUGUAGUAGAAUUAAAAAGAAAACCCAAAAAUAUUUCCCGUUCUUCUUUUACUUGUUGGGAGCUUUCCCGUGUAAAUAGUUUUUAUUUCCUUUUCCUUUCUUUGGGGGUCGAGAAGACCAUAUUCAAAAUGCUUAGUGGCUCUUAUAUGCAUGAUUGUUUAUUUAACUUAGAGCCCAUAUUACUUGUCUUCUCUUGAGUUGAAUGCUUGCAGAUUCUAGCUUAGUCAAAUGCACGUGCACUCUUAUUAUUAUACACAUCGUUCGGUCGUGCAAGUGAAAGGCAAUAAUGAUGAUAUAUGAUGGACUUAUUGGGAAAAGAAAAGCUGGUAUGAACUCGACCUCUUUUGUUUUUGUAAAUAUGAUGAUUCAUCGUUCUUGAUUCAGCUAUUAUGAAGUAAACAUAUUUGCAAUGACAUUUAGAGAUUAUAGUUGCUUGUGCCAUGCUUGAUUAGCUAUGAGUUAUAGUGGUUUACCUUGCGUGCCAACAUGCUAUUAGAAUGAUUAUGAUGUGGUAUGAUGGGAUGGUAUCCUCCUUUAACUGAAUUGAGUGACUCGACUUGGCACAUGUUCAUGCAUGUAGUUGAAUCAAAUCAACAUAGCCUUCAUGAUAUUUAUGUUCAUGGUGGAUUAUAUCCUACUCAUGCUUGUACUCGGUGUGAAUUAAUUUUAAUGCAUGUUUACGACUGUUGUCGCUCUCUCAGUUGGUCGCUUCCCAGUCUUUUGCUAGCCUUCACCUGUAUUAAGCGGGAAUACUGCUUGUGCAUCCAAACUCCUUAAACCCCAAAGUUAUUCCAUAUGUGUCCACUAUACCUACCUAUAUGCGGUAUUUACCUGCCGUUCCAAGUAAAUUUGUACGUGCCAAACUCUAAACCUUCAAAUAAACAUUAUGUUUUGCAUGCUCGAACAGCUCAUAUGUCAACUAGAGCUGCCCUUAUCUUUCGUGUUAGGCGGGUUAUUCUCAAGAGGAGUGGACUCCGCUCCUCAUUCACGAGAAAAUGGCUGGUAUCCGGGAUGCCCAGUCCCAUGCUUUAUGCAAACUAAAUCAAAAUAACUACAAACAAAACUCCCCUUGGGACCCGUUGAAUGUUGGAGGCACUCGUUGUUUCAAGCAAGCCAUGGAUUGAUGCUUGUGGAGGAAGGGGAGUAUAAACUUUACCAUACUGUUUGGGAACCGCCUAUAAUCUGUUUAGCAUGGAAGAUAUCGUCGUCUUUUAGUUGUUAUGUUGACAAUGAAAGUAUGCCGCUCAAAAUAUAAUUUAUCUCUAUUUCAAAACCGAGCUCUGGCACCUCUACAAAUCCCUGCUUCCCUCUGCGAAGGGCCUAUCCAUUUACUUUUAUGUUGAGUCAUCACCCUUCUUAUUAAAAAGCACCCGCUGGAGAGCACACUGUCGUUUGCAUUCAUUAUUAUUGGUUUAUAUUGGGUAUGACUUGACUGGAUCUCUUUUACCAUGAAUUACAAUGUUUAGUCAGUCCUUGAUCUUUAAAGGUGCUCUGCAUUUAUGUUUUGCGGUCUCAGAAAGGGCUAGCGAGAUACCAUUUUGUUAUAUCAUGUUAUGAUUAUUUUGAGAAAGUGUUGUCAUCCGAGUUUUGCUAUUAUGGCCUGCUAGCUGAUUAUGCUAUUGAUAUGAGUAAUUGUGAGACCUACGUGUCAUUGUGAGUAUGGUUAGUUCAUAAUAAUUGCUGAAACUUGAAUGCUGGCUUUUCAUGUUUACAACAACAAGAGCAAACAGAGUUUGUAAAAGUUUUUCUUUUUCUCUUUCAGUUUGCCAACUGAAUUGCUUGAGGACAAGCAAGGGUUUAAGCUUGGGGGAGUUGAUACGUCUCCGCCGUAUCUACUUUUCCAAACACUUUUGCCCUUGUUUUGGACUCUAACUUUUAUGAUUUGAAUGGAACUAACCUGGACUGACGUUGUUUUCAGCAGAAUUGCCAUGGUGUUGUUUUUUGUGCAGAAAAUAAAAGUUCUCGGAAUGUCCUGAAACUCCACGGAACACCUUAGAAAAAAUAAAGAAAAAUCCUCACAAAAGAUGAAGACCAGGGGGCCCACACCCUGCUCAUGAGGGUGGGGGCGCCCCCCUGGGUGCGCCCCCUACCUCAUGGGCCCCCUGGUGGCCCUCCGACGCCAACUCCAACUCCAUAUAUUGGCUUUCGGGGAGAAAAAAAUCAGAGAGAAGAAAUCAUCGCAUUUUACGAUACGGAGCCGCCACCAAGCCCUAAUCUCUCUCGGGAGGGCUGAUCUGGAGUCCGUUCGGGGCUCCGGAGAGGGGGAUUCGUCGCCGUCGUCAUCAUCAACCAUCCUCCAUCACCAAUUUCAUGAUGCUCACCGCCGUGUGUGAGUAAUUGCAUCGUAGGCUUGCUGGACGGUGAUGGGUUGGAUGAUAUUUAUCAUGUAAUCGAGUUUGUUUUGUUAGGGUUUGAUCCCUAGUAUCCAUUAUGUUCUGAGAUUGAUGUUGCUAUGACUUUUUUAUGCUUAAUGCUUGUCACUAGGGCCCGAGUGCCAUGAUUUCAGAUCUGAACCUAUUAUGUUUUCAUGAAUAUAUGUGUGUUCUUGAUCAUAUAUUGCAAGUCUAUAGUCACCUACUAUGUGUUAUGAUCCGGCAACCCCGAAGUGACAAUAAUCGGGACCACUCCCGGUGAUGACCAUAGUUUGAGGAGUUCAUGUAUUCACUAUGUGCUAAUGCUUUGUUCUGGUUCUCUAUUAAAAGGAGGCCUUAAUAUCCCUUAGUUUCCAAUAGGACCCUGCUACCACGGGAGGGUAGGACAAAAGAUGUCAUGCAAGUUCUUUUCCAUAAGCACGUAUGACUAUAUACGGAAUACAUGCCUACAUUACAUUGAUGAACUGGAGCUAGUUUUGUGUCACCCUAUGUUAUGACUGUUACAUGACGAACCGCACCCGACAUAAUUAUCCACCACUAAUCCGGUGCCUAUGAGUUUUCCAUAUAUUGGUUCUCGCUUAUUUACUUUUCCAUUGCUACUGUUACAAUCACUACAAAAUACCAAAAACAUUACUUUUGCUGUCUUUACUUUUGUUACCAUUACCACCACUAUCAUAUUACUUUGCUACUAAACACUUUGCUGCAGAUAUUAAGUUUCCAGGUGCGGUUGAAUUGACAACUCAGCUGCUAAUACUUGAGAAUAUUCUUUGGCUCCCCUUGUGUCGAAACAAUAAAUUUGGGUUGAAUACUCUACCCUCGAAAACUGUUGCGAUCCCCUAUACUUGUGGGUUAUCAAUCGUGUCGCGUGCUCCUGCCUCCCGUGGCCGGCUGUGAUGCCGCGGAGGCCUCACCGCCCCGUACUACUCCCACCGCUGACCAGGCCAUCCCUCUACUCACCCACACCCCCUGUUAUUCUGCGGCGACGACAGCCUCACACUACAGCCGAACCAGUGAACCCUCGUACUCCUCUCUGCGCGGGCUACCACUUCUGCGUCUUCCCCGGUUCCACGUCGUCCCCUUCCUAGGCCUCGCCGUCGUCCAGACCACCGCCCUGGUGCUCUCAGCGCGGCGUGGUCAACGUGGUCAACGACCGACUUCCAUCGAAAGAGUAUUAUACGUGGACAAGCUGACGGCUGGGUCCAGGCGGCCGCAAGGAAGUGCCUCCCUAUUACGCGCAAAAUAAUUAUUCCUCCACCUGACAGCAGGGACCCACUGGACGGGCCACCUUAUUUCACGAAAAAAACGUUUCCCCCUGACUGCUGGGACCCACCGGACGGGCCAGCGUAUUUCAUGAAAAAAACGUUCCCUGCGCUGUCAGCUCGAACCCACCGGAAGUGCCUCCUUAUUACACACACAAAAAUGAAUACUCCCCCUGCUAGCUGGGACCCACCAUGGUGGGAGGCUGACUUGUGGGCCUACUAAGUUGACUGGGACGGGGGCCUUUGUCAACUUUAGUCAAUAUGAAUGAUUCUAGCUCCAGUGACCGUACGAUGGCCAUCCAACGGCCGUAGUGCUUCUUCAACCUCUGGUGUUCUUGCUCCGGCCGCCCAAAGCAGCGCCAGUCAUGCCGCAUGCUCCUGCCUCCCGUGGCCGGUUGUGCUGCCGCGGAGGCCUCACCGCCCCCUACUAUUCCCACCGCUGGCCAGGCCCUACAACGACGGCAGCCUCACACUGCAGCUGAUCCAGUGAACCCUCGUACUCCUCUCCGCGAGGGCUUCCACUGCCGCAUCUUCCUCGGCUCCCCGUCGUCCCCUUCCUAGGCCUCACCGUCGUCCACCGCCGUGGUGCUCUCGGCGCGGCGUGGUCAAUGUGGUCAAUGACCGAUUUCCAUCGGAAGAGUACUGUACGUGGAGAGGCUGACAGCUGGGUCCACGGCAGCCGCAAGGAAGUGCCUCCUUAUUACGCGGAAAAUAAUUAUUCCUCCACCUGACAGCAGGGACCCACCGGAUGGGUCACCAGUAUUUCGCGAAAAAAACGUUUCCCCUNNNNNNNNNNNNNNNNNNNNNNNNNNNNNNNNNNNNNNNNNNNNNNNNNNNNNNNNNNNNNNNNNNNNNNNNNNNNNNNNNNNNNNNNNNNNNNNNNNNNNNNNNNNNNNNNNNNNNNNNNNNNNNNNNNNNNNNNNNNNNNNNNNNNNNNNNNNNNNNNNNNNNNNNNNNNNNNNNNNNNNNNNNNNNNNNNNNNNNNNNNNNNNNNNNNNNNNNNNNNNNNNNNNNNNNNNNNNNNNNNNNNNNNNNNNNNNNNNNNNNNNNNNNNNNNNNNNNNNNNNNNNNNNNNNNNNNNNNNNNGAAGUGCCUCCUUAUUACGCACAAAAAAAUGAAUACCCCCUGCUAGCUGGGACCAACCUUGGUGGGAGGCUGACUUGUGGGCCUACUAGGUUGAUUGGGACGGAGGCCUUUGUCAACUUUAGUCAAUAUUUGAACGAAUCUAGCUCCAGUGACCGUACGAUGUCCAUCCAACGGCCGUAGUGCUUCUUCAACCUCUGGUCUUCUUGCUCCAGCCGCCCAAAGCAGCGCCGGUCGUGCCGCCUGCUCCUGCCGCCCGUGGCCGGCUGUGAUGCCACGGAGGCCUCACCGCCCCCUACUACUCCCACCGCUGGCCAGGCCAUCCCUCUACGCACCCACACCCCCUGUUAUUCUGCGGCGAUGGCAGCCUCACACUGCGGCAGAACGAGUGAACCCUCAUACUCCUCUACGCUUGGGCAUCCACUGCCGCGUCUUCCCCGGCUCCGCGUCGUCCCCUUCCUAGGCCUCGCCGUCGUCCACCGCCCUGGUGCUCUCGGCGCGGCGUGGUCAACAUGGUCAAGGAAUGGCCUCCAUCGGACGUGGGCUGUACGUGGAGAGGCUGACAGAUGGGUCCACGACCGCAGCAAGGAAGUGCCUCCUUAUUACGCGCAAAAUAAUUAUUCCUCCACCUCACAGCGGGGACCCACCGAACGGGCCACCGUAUUUAGCAAAAAAACGUUUCCCCUGUCUGCUGGGACCCACCAAUUACAUCUUCGCACGCAAGGAAGUGCGUCCGAAAAAAGAACGAUUCGCCCCCCUGACUGCUGGGACCCACCAGCUACAUCUUCGCACGCAAGGAAGUGCCUGACAGUCGGGACCCACCUGGUCCAAGCGUACAUAGCGUUGUCAUUCUGGUCGCGAACGUGUACGUACAUAUAUAUUGGUGGAUGUAGAGGCACGCACGUGUCGUAGUAGAGGCGCGCACGUAGCAUGUACACGUACGUACAGCGGCGAGGGUGCAAGAAAGAAAAUACGGCCACGUAUGUACAUACGGGCAGGGUCUCUAACGCCUAUCGCGCAUACGUACAUGGCUGGGUCAGAACAGAGAAACAACAUCGUCGUCGUGUUCAUGUUCAUCGGGAGGGCUUGGACAGAACAGGCGAUGGAAACGAGGCCUGGCAUACCGCACAACGGAGGAAACGACCUUGUGUUCGACCGACCACGUUCAAAACGGGGUCCUGUUGAUCGGGAGGGGCCUGGCGUACCGCAAAACAGAGGAAACGGACCUCCUACGGUUGAAACAGGGGUCCUGUUGAUCGGGAGGGGUGUGGCGUACCGCAAAACGGACGAAACGGACCUCCUACGGUCGAAACAGGGGUCCUGUUGAUCGGGAGGGGUGUGGCGUACCGCAAAACAGGACUCCACGGGAUACUGUUCAUCUCCACCGUCGACCUCCUCCAGCCUCCACGGGCUACCAUCGACCUCCUCCAGCCUCCACGGGCUCCUGUUCAUUCAGCCUCUACCGCGCGCUACUCCACCGGCUACUGUUCAACCACCCCUCCACGGGCACCCCUCCACCGUCUACUGUUCAUCCAGCCCUCCACACCAUGGGGUCCUAUUCAACCACCCCUCCACGGCCACCCCUCCACUGUCUACUGUUCAUCCAGUCCUCCACACCACGGGUUCCUGUUCAUCNNNNNNNNNNNNNNNNNNNNNNNNNNNNNNNNNNNNNNNNNNNNNNNNNNNNNNNNNNNNNNNNNNNNNNNNNNNNNNNNNNNNNNNNNNNNNNNNNNNNNNNNNNNNNNNNNNNNNNNNNNNNNNNNNNNNNNNNNNNNNNNNNNNNNNNNNNNNNNNNNNNNNNNNNNNNNNNNNNNNNNNNNNNNNNNNNNNNNNNNNNNNNNNNNNNNNNNNNNNNNNNNNNNNNNNNNNNNNNNNNNNNNNNNNNNNNNNNNNNNNNNNNNNNNNNNNNNNNNNNNNNNNUCAGUUAGCAGCAGUAGAGAAGGAAUCGCUCCAUCGAGUUCAGUUAACAGCCAUUGAUCGAUCGCUCGGGUUCAGUAACGUGUAGCCUGCAGUGCAAUCGCUCGGGUUCAGUUAGAGCCCAACGCCUCGCUCGGCUUCAGUUAGAGCCAACGCCUCGCACACACGCGCGUACGUACGAGAGAAACGUGCAUCGCUCGGCCCCCGACCUCCCACCGUAACUGGCAACUCCCAUAAAUUUUCCUCCCCCUCGCUUCUACCAUGGUUUUUCCGUCAUGGAUGGCCCAAAGAAUGUCAUGCAGCUGCGUCUCCGGCCCGCCCAGGACGAAAAGCCCAUUUUCUGUCAUGAUUUUUUGUCAUAGAAGUAGGAGCCCACCACAUCUAUGAUGAUACCGGGUUUUGUCACAAUUAUCGUCAUAGAAGUGUCAUAUGUAUGACAGGAAAAAAAUCCGUUCAGCCCAAAAUGUCACGGAUGUGUCUUUUUUUUGUAGUGCACCUAGUAAGGAUGAAAUUAUUGGUCUUGCUUCCAUUGCUGUUCCACCAACUGAUCCAUUAGAACAAUAUUUGCUAGACCAUGAAAACGAUAUGUUUAUGCAUGAAAGAGAAGAAAUAGAUGAAGUGUUCCUUAAACAAGAACCUAUGCUGAAACAUAACCUUCCCGUUGAAAUUCUUGGGGAUCCCCCUCCACCCAAGGGUGAUCCCGUGUUUGAACUCAAACCCUUACCUGAUAAUCUUAAGUAUGCUUAUCUUGAUGAAAAAGAAAUAUAUCCUGUUAGUAUUAGUGCUAACCUUUCAGAGAAAGAAGAAGAAAGAUUAUUGAAAACUCUGAAGAAGCACAGAGCUGCUAUUGGAUAUACUCUGGAUGAUCUUAAGGGCAUUAGUCCCACAUUAUGUCAACACAAAAUUUCAGUGGAGAAAGAUGCCAAACCAGUUAGAGAUCCUCAAAGACGAUUAAAUCCCAAGAUGAAGGAAGUGGUAAGAAAGGAGAUACUAAAGCUCCUUGAGGCAGGUAUUAUUUAUCCCGUUGCUGAUAGUGAAUGGGUAAGCCCUGUCCAUUGUGUCCCUAAAAAGGGAGGUAUUACCGUUGUUCCUAAUGAUAAAGAUGAAUUGAUCCCGCAAAGAAUUAUUACAGGUUAUAGGAUGGUAACUGAUUUCCGUAAGUUAAAUUAAGCUACUAAGGAAGAUCAUUAUCCUUUACCUUUUAUCGAUCAAAUGCUAGAAAGGCUAUCCAAACACACACAUUUUUUCAUUCUAGAUGGUUAUUCUGGCUUCUCUCAAAUACCUGUGUCAGCGAAGGAUCAAUCUAAAACUACUUUUACUUGCCCUUUUGGUACUUUUUCUUAUAGAUGUAUGCCUUUUGGUUUAUGUAAUGCACCUGCUACCUUUCAAAGAUGCAUGAUGGCUAUAUUUUCUGAUUUUUGUGAAAAGAUUUGUGAGGUAUUCAUGGAUGACUUCUCCGUCUAUGGAUCCUCUUUCGAUGAUUGUUUGAGCAACCUUGAUCGAGUUUUGCAGAGAUGCGAAGACACUAGUCUCGUCCUGAAUUGGGAAAAGUGUCACUUUAUGGUUAAUGAAGGCAUUGUCUUGGGGCACAAGAUCUCCGAGAGAGGUAUUGAAGUUGAUAAAGCCAAAGUUGAUGCUAUUGAAAAGAUGCCAUGUCCCAAGGACAUAAAAGGUAUAAGAAGUUUUCUUGGUCACGCCGGCUUUUAUAGGAGGUUCAUUAAGGAUUUUUCUAAAAUCUCUAGGCCUCUGACUAAUUUAUUGCAAAAACAUAUUCCUUUUGUCUUUGAUGAUGAUUGUGUAGAAGCAUUUGAAACACUUAAGAAAGCUUUGAUCACUGCACCUAUUGUUCAGCCACCUGAUUGGAAUUUACCUUUUGAAAUUAUGUGCGAUGCUAGCGAUUAUGCUGUAGGUGCUGUUUUAGGGCAAAGAGUCGAUAAGAAAUUGAAUGUUAUUCAGUAUGCUAGUAAGACUCUUGAUACUGCCCAGAGAAAUUAUGCUACUACUGAAAAAGAGUUCUUAGCAGUUGUGUUUGCAUGUGAUAAGUUUAGAUCUUAUAUUGUUGAUUCCAAAGUUACUAUUCACACUGAUCAUGCUGCUAUUAAAUAUCUUAUGGAAAAGAAAGAUGCUAAGCCUAGACUCAUUAGAUGGGUUCUCUUGCUCCAAGAAUUUGACUUGCAUAUUACUGAUAGAAAGGGAGCUGAGAACCCCGUUGCAGACAACUUGUCUAGGUUAGAGAAUGUUCUUGAUGACCCACUACCUAUUAAUGAUAGCUUUCCUGAUGAACAAUUAGCGGUUGUCAAUGCUUCUCGUACUGCUCCUUGGUAUGGUGAUUAUGCUAAUUGCAUUAUUGCUAAAUAUAUACCGCCUAGUUUCACAUACCAGCAAAAGAAAAGGUUCUUUUAUGACUUAAGACAUUACUUCUGGGAUAAUCCACAUCUUUAUAAAGGAGUAGAUGGUAUUAUUAGAUGUUGUGUGCCUGAGCAUGAACAGGAACAAAUUCUACGCAAGUGUCACUCUGAAUCCUAUGGAGGACACCACGCUGGAGAUAGAACUGCACACAAGGUACUACAAUCUGGUUUUUAUUGGCCUGCUCUCUUCAAAGAUGCUCGUAAGUUUGUUAUAUCUUGUGAUGAAUGUCAAAGAAUAGGUAACAUUAGUAGAUGUCAAGAAAUGCCUAUGAAUUAUUCUCUUGUUAUUGAACCGUUUGAUGUUUGGGGCUUUGAUUAUAUGGGACCUUUUCCUGCCUCCAAUGGUUAUACACAUAUUUUAGUUGUUGUCGAUGUUACUAAGUGGGUAGAAGCUAUUCCAACUAGUAGUGCUGAUCAUAACACUUCUAUUAAAAUGCUUAAAGAAGUUAUUUUUCCGAGGUUUGGAGUCCCUAGAUAUCUUAUGACUGAUGGUGGUUCACACUUUAUUCAUGGUGCUUUCCGUAAGAUGCUCGCUAAGUAUGAUGCCAAUCAUAGAAUCGCAUCUCCUUAUCAUCCGCAGUCUAUUGGUCAGGUAGAGUUGAGCAAUAGAGAGCUCAAAUUAAUUUUGCAAAAGACUGUGAAUAGAUCUAGAAAGAAUUGGUCCAAAAAACUUGAUGAUGCAUUAUGGGCCUAGAGAACUGCAUACAAAAAUCCUAUGGGUAUGUCUCCAUAUAAGAUGGUUUAUGGAAAAGCAUGUCAUUUACCUCUUGAACUUGAACAUAAGGCAUAUUGGGCUAUUAAAGAGCUCAACUAUGAUUUCAAACUUGCCGGUGAGAAAAUGUUAUUUGAUAUUAGCUCACUUGAUGAAUGGAGAACCCAAGCCUAUGAGAAUGCUAAGCUUUUCAAAGAAAAAGUCAAACGCUCGCAUGAUAAUAGGAUACAAAAGCGUGAAUUUAACGUAGGAGAUUAUGUGUUAUUGUUCAACUCUCGUUUAAGAUUUUCUGCAGGAAAACUUCUCUCAAAAUGGGAAGGUCCCUACGUUAUCGAGGAGGUCUAUCGUUCUGGUGCUAUAAAAAUCAACAACUUCGAAGGCACAAAUCCGAGGGUGGUAAAUGGUCAAAGAAUUAAACAUUAUAUUUCAGGUAAUCCUAUCAAUGUUGAAACUAAUAUUAUUGAAACCAUAACCCCUGAGGAAUACAUAAGAGACACUUUCCAGAACGUUCCAGACUCCGAAAAGGCAUAGGUACGUGGUACAGUAAGUAAACCGACUCCAAAACAACUCUAAUGGCAAUUUUUAUCAGUUUAGGAUUAUUUAAGAAUUUUAGGAAGAAAGAAGUAGUCCGAAAGGGACACGAGGCUCCCACGAGAGAGGAGGCCGCGCCCCCCCUGUAGGGCGCGCCCCCUGUCUCGUGGGCACCUUGUGUGACUCCCGGACUCCGUUUUCUUGUAUAUUACGUAUUCUGGUCGGUAAAAAUUCAUUAUAUAUACUCCCGAAGGUUUUGACCACCGUAUCACGCAAAUAUCCUCUGUUUUCGUUUUGAGUUGUUCCUGUUGCAGAAUAAAGCAAGAUGUCGUCCCAAGAUUCGGAGGGGGAGAGCUACAUGGCUGAUUAUAUCACAAACCCAAAGGUAUAUGGGGAUGUGGAACAUUAUGGCUGGACCGCGGAGGAAGAAGAAGACUAUGAUCCAAAGAGGAAGGAGGAGACAAGCUCCGAUGAAGAGGACUAUCCACUACCUCAACCUGGUGAUAUGCAUGUGGAGUUCAAUAAGUCAAGCCUCCCUAAGGUUCAAUCUAUCCCACCACGUUUUUUUGCAGGACAGCAAGGCGGCACUAUGUAAAAAGAUAAUGAAACUUGAGCUCGAGAAUGAGGAUCUGAGGGAGGAAAAUUUUAGCCUCAGGCGCAAGCUAGAGAAGAAAAAUGCAACAACUCCAUCAUCAACAAUUCCUACUUCACCACCUCCGAAGAAAUAAUCACAUGGGUAUGGGCACUCCCCUUGGCAACUGCCAAGCUUGGGGGAGGUGCCCCGGUAUCAUAUCACCAUCACUCUCCUAUUUUUAUUGCUCUAUUUAGUUCGAUCCUUUUAGUAGUAUCUUGAUCUAGUAGAUUGAAGUUUUGAUAUCAAGUAGUUUUGAGUUUUGCAUUGUGAUCUCUUUAUGCAAUCGAGUCCGUGUGCUAUUUAUAAUAAAGAUUAGUGUUGAGUCAAGGGCUUUGCUAUGUUGCCAUGAUCUUGAGAAAGUAGAAAGAAUAAAAGAGUUCAUAUUGAUCUUAUGGAUUGUGAUAACUUCACACAUAGAAAGUAUGAGGCAUAAAAAUUGUUGAGAGUUGAUGAACGUAGCCUUGGUCAUCGUUGAAAUUAAUAGGAAGUGAUAAGGAAAGAGGGGUUCACAUAUAAAUAUAUUAUCUUGGACAUCUUUUAUGAUUGUGAAGCACUCAUUAAGUAUGAUAUGCUAAAGGAGUUGAUGUUGGACAAGGAAGACAACGUAAUGGUUUAUGUUUUCCGACAUCUCAGUUAAAGUAUAUUGUCAUUGACCUUCCAAAACAUGUUGAGCUUGGCUUUCCCCCUCAUGCUAGCCAAAUUCCUUGCACCAAGUAGAGAUACUACUUGUGCUUCCAAAUAUCCUUAAACCCAGUUUUGCCAUGAGAGUCCACUAUACCUAUCUAUGGAUUGAGUAAGAUCCUUCGAGUAAGUUGUCAUCGGUGCAAGCAAUAAAAAUUGCUCUCUAAAUAUGCAUGACUUAUUAGUGCAGAGAAAAUAAGCUUCGUACGAACUUGUUGUGGAAGUAAUAAAAGUGACGGACUGCAUAAUAAAGGUCCACAUACAAGGGGCAAUAUAAAGUGACGUUCUUUUACAUUAAGAUUUUGUGCAUCAACCCUAAAUGCGCAUGACAACCUCUGCUUCCCUCUGCAAAGGGCCUAUCUUUUGAUUUAUGUUUUUACUUUAUGCUUGAGUCAAGGUGAUGCUCACCUUUCCCUUUUUCAUUUUAUCCUUUGGCAAGAUCCUCAUGUUUAAAAGAUCAUGAUAUAUAUAUAUCCAAUUGGAUGUAAGUUGGCAUAGGCUAUUAUUGUUGACAUCACCUAAAGGUGAAUACAUUGGGAGGCAACACAAUAAGCCCCUAUCUUUCUCAGUGUCCGGCUGAAACUCUAUAACCACAAGUAUUGCGUGAGUGUUAACAGUUGUAGGAGACUACGAGAUAGUUGAAUAUGUGAGCUUGCUGAAAAGCUCUAUUAUUGACACUUUCUGAUGUUACGAUAAAUUGCAAUUGCUUCAAUGACUGAGAUUAUAGUUUGUUAGUUCCCAAUGAAGUUUUUGAACCAUACUUGACAUUGUGAAUUGCUUAUUGCUUGAGCAUAGGAAAUCAUAUGACAAAAUCUAUAUAUGUUGCUGUUAUUAGAAUGAUCAUGAUGCCCUCAUGUCCGUAUUUUAUUUUUAUCGACACCUCUAUCUCUAAACAUGUGGACACAUUUUUCAAUUUCGGCAUCCGCUUGAGGACAAGCGAGAUCUAAGCUUGGGGGAGUUGAUACGUCCAUUUUGCAUCAUGCUUUUAUAUAAAUAUUUAUUGCAUUAUGGGCUGUUAUUACACAUUAUAUCUCAACACUUAUGGCUAUUCUCUCUUAUUUUACAAGGUUUACCAUGAAGAGGGGGAAUGCCGGUAGCUGGAAUUCUGGCUGGAAAAGGAGCAAAUGCUGGAAACCUAUUCUACACAACUCCAAAAGACCUGAAACUCCACAAAACAACCUUUUGAAUUUAAUAAGAAUUUAUGAGCAAAAGAAAUAGGCCAGGGGGCCCACACCCUGUCUAGGAGACAGGAGGGCGCGCCCCACUGUAGGGCGCGGCCCCCUAUCUCCUGGGCCCUCUGGUGGCCCUCCGGCGUCCAUCUUCUGCUAUAUCAUCACUUUUCCCCUGGAAAAAACCGUGGGCAAGCUUACAGGACGAAACUCCGCCGCCACGAGGCGGAACCUUGGCGGAAUCAAUCUAGGGCUCUGGCAGAGUUGUUCUGCCGGGGACACUUCCGUCCGGGAGGGGGAAAUCAUCACCAACGUCAUCACCAACGACCCUCUCAUCGAGAGGGGGUCAAUCUCCAUCAACAUCUUUACUAGCACCAUCCCCUCUCAAAACCCUAGUUCAUCUCUUGUUAUCCAAUCUUGUAUCAAAACCACAAAUUGGUACCUGUGGGUUGCUAGUAGUGUUGAUUACUCCUUGUAGUUGAUGCUAUUUGGUUUACUUGGUGGAAGAUCAUAUGUUCAGAUCCUUUAUGCAUAUUAUUACUCCUCUGAUUAUGAACAUGAAUAUGCUUUGUGAGUAGUUACAUUUGUUCCUGAGGACAUGGGUGAAGUCUUGCUAUUAGUAGUCAUGUGAAUUUGGUAUUCGUUCGAUAUUUUGAUAGAUGUAUGUUGUCUUUCCUCUAGUGGUGUUAUGUGAACGUUGACUACAUGACACUUCACCAUUAUUUGGGCCUAGAGGAAGGCAUGGGGAAGUAAUAAGUAGAUGAUGGGUUGCUAGAGUGACAGAAGCUUAAACCCUAGUUUAUGCGUUGCUUUGUUAGGGGUUGAUAUGGACCCAUAUGUUUAAUGUUGUGGUUAGGUUUACCUUAAUACUCCUUUUUGUAGUUGCGGAUGCUUGCAAUAGGGGUUAAUCAUAAGUGGGAUGCUUGUCCAUGUUAGGGCAGUACCCAAGUGCCGGUCCACCCACAUAUCAAAUUAUCAAAGUACCGAACGUGAAUCAUAUGAACGUGAUGAAAACUAGCUCGACAAUAAUUCCCAAUGUGUCCUCGGGAGCUCCUUCUUCAUUAUUAGAAUUUGUCCAGGCUUAUCCUUUGCUACCUAAAGGAUUGGGCCACCUUUCUGCACUUUAUUUACUUUAUUUACUAUUUGCUCGUUACUAUUUAUCUUAUCGCAAAACUAUCUAUCAUCUACUAUUUCAGUGCUUGCAGAGAAAACCUUAUCGAAAACCGCUUAUCGUUUCCUCCUGCUCCUCGUAGGGUUCGACACUCUUACUUAUUGAAAGGACUAUGAUAGAUCCCCUAUACUUGUGGGUCAUCAAGACUCUUUUUUGGCGCCGUUUCCGGGGAGCGUAGCGCUCGUGGUGAGUGGAACUUGGUAAGGAAACAUUUAUAUAGUGUGCUGAAAUUUUCUGUUACUUGUCACUAUGGAAACUAAUCCUUUGAGGGGAUUGUUUGGGGUAUCUUCACCCCAACCAGAAGAGCAAAGAGAUGCUCCUCAACCUACUGAACUUUAUGAAAAUAUUCACUUUGAGAUUCCUUCGGGUAUGAUAGAAAAACUGCUAGCUAAUCCUUUUGCAGGAGACGGAACAUUGCAUCCCGAUUUACACCUUAUCUUUGUGGAUGAAGUUUGUGGAUUAUUUAAGCUUGCAGGUAUUCCCGAUGAUGUUGUCAAAAGGAAGGUCUUCCCUUUAUCUUUGAAGGGAGAUGCAAUGACAUGGUAUAGACUAUGUGAUGAUACAAGAUCUUGGAAUUAUAAGCGAUUGAAGUUGGAAUUUCACCAGAAGUUCUAUCCUAUGCAUCUUAUUCAUCGUGAUCGUAAUAACAUAUAUAAUUUUUGGCCUCGCGAAGGAGAAAGCAUCGCUCAAGCUUGGGGGAGGCUUAAGUCAAUGUUAUAUAGAAGAAAAGGAAAAGAAAAGGAAAAGGAACAUAAAAGAAAACCAGAAAAACCAGUAAAAGAAAAAAACCGGUUCAGUGAACCUUCUAGAAGGUUCCCAAAACCGGUUGGUAGUGGCAGUUGUUCGCGCAAAAACUGGGCCGACUCUUUGUGUGGCUGCUCGGUCGGUCGCAUGUGCGAAGCGCCGACAGUUUGACGCAAAGAGCGUCAAAUAUGAUAUUCCUUUUAAACUAUGGUAUUAAGUCAAUAUUUUAGAAACAAACUUUAAAAAAUUACAAAGUUAAGUAAAAAGAAAUGGAGAGAGUUAAAAAAAUGGAGAGGCAAAAAAAAGAACGAGUGGACCCGGUUCGACGCAGUUUUCAGCAAGCUCGCGAAACAUAUCUUUAUCUCCGGUCAUAUGAUCGGUACAUCCACUAUCAAGGACCCAUUCCUUUCCUCCUGCCAUGUAUCCCCGAAGAUUUGCCAUAGGACCAAAGUGUCUCAUUGCAUCAUCAAGAUCAUAGUCACUAUCAUCAUCCUCAUCAUAGUAUCCAUGUUCAACAUCGUCAUGUGGUGGAUCAAUUCCUAGAGAGGGUGAUUCAUUAGAUAAAUGAUUUUGACAAUGAUCAUCUUUAUGAAUUCUAAUAGCUUCGGAAAUAAUAUUGCUAAUAAUUCCAACAUCUCCUUUGGCAUGCAUAAGAUUUGUAAGCUUAAAUAGACAAUCACCAAACUUAGGAUCAUUGGAAUUCAUCUUACUCAAGGCAAUAGACUUAUGAAGAAUCUCAUCUAGAUUUUGUAAGGAAUAAUUUGGAAAUCGUUCCUCAAGAAAUUUCCAUAUAGUGUAGGCACACUUAAGAGUAGGCAAGAAACCUAUCAAGUUUCUAGGCAAACCUCUAGUGAUAAAACAGUUCUAAGAUUGCGAAUCAUGUCAAUUGACUCAUCAAGGGUAGGAUGCAUAGGAUCAACAUGAGGUGCACAAGGGCUAGUAAUGUACUUGUUCAAAUGAUAUUCAUUGAAAAUCACAAGCAUCUCAUUUUUCCACUCAUAAAAGUACUCUCCAUCAAGUAUAGGCACUCUAUGUCUAAUCCCCAAAGUAGACUCAUCUAUCUUCCUCCAAUGGUGUUUAAACCAAAGCAAUUGAGACCAAUGCUCUGAUACCAAUUGAAAGGAUCGAGAAGAGGUGUCUAGAGGGGGGUGAUUAGACCCUCAACACCCAAACUUGGCAGUUUUUAAGUUUUUCAAGUUUAGGUGGAGUUUAAGCACAAGUUUAACUAUUCACAAUACAAAUCAAGCAAGCAUGCAAAGAGUAUAUGGGCAGCGGAAAGUAAAGCAUGCAACUUGCAAGAAAGUAAAGGGAUGGGAUUGGAGUGUGCAAACGCAAUUGGAGACGCGAAUAUUUUUGGCAUGGUUCCGAUAGGUGGUGCUAUCGUACAUCCACGUUGAUGGAGACUUCAACCCACGAAGGGUGACGGCUGCGCGAGUCCACGGAGGGCUCCACCCACGAAGGGUCCACGAAUAAGUAACCUUGUCUAUCCCACCAUGGCCAUCGCCCACGAAGGACUUGCCUCACUAGGGUAGAUCUUCAUGAAGUAGGCGAUCUCCUUGCCCUUACAAACUCCUUGGUUCAACUCCACAAUCUUGUAGGAGGCUCCCAAGUGACACCUAACCAAUCUAGGAGACACCACUCUCCAAAAGGUAAUAGAUGGUGUGUUGAUGAUGAACUCCUUGCUCUUGUUCUUCAAAUGAUAGUCACCCAACACUCAACUCACUCUCAUAGAAUUGGAUUUGGUGGAAAGAUGAUUUGAGUGGAAUGCAACUUGGGGAAGGCUAGAGAUCAAGAUUCAUAUGGUUGGAUUGGAAUAUCUUGGUCUCAACACAUGAGUAGGUGGCUCUCUCUCAGAAAAUGAGUAGUGAAAGUGUAGGCACGUUCCGAUGGCUUCCCUCACGAAUGAGGAUAGGGUGGAGGGGUAUAUAUAGCCUCCACACAAAAUCUAACCGUUACACACAAUGAGGAUGGAGGGGAUGAAGAUUCGAUGAGAGACGAUAACUACGAUUUUUGUGGGACUUGACCCUCACGAUCCGGCUACCAACCGUACAGGAAGGACCGUACACGAUUGAUAUCCACGGCAAUCACUGAACCAACUCCACGGUGUUAUCGACCGAGCCAACGACGCGAUCAACCUAUCCACGAAGGAUUUUUCCUGCAAGCAAAUCGAAGAACAUGCAAGAAAAUAAUAGCCAAGCAAUCUCAAAAUUGCGAAUAUGCUAGAUGGGAUUAAUCUCACAAGAUUGGGUUCCGAUAGGAUGUCUUGACGGUCGCACUAGCCGCUACGAGCGAAGACAAAUAAAAGUAGCAAUAUAGCUAAAUUUCUCUAAACAAAACCCGAGUCUAAACCCUAAUAGAUGACGUCUAUUUAUUAAGAGUCGACGUCGAACGAGUACGUCGAUGUGUUCCAUCCGGACUGCUGGUCGAAAGAAAUUGUCCAUGGGUCGGUUAGCAGGCCAAGCUGCAGGCCUUCUUGAGAAUUGGCGCGUGAGGAGACUUGGGCCAACCCAAAGUGCCAUGGCCACGUGGCUGAUACUGAUCAGUGGAUUCGGUCCUCUUGCACUCCACGUGACAUCGUUGAUGGAUGGUAUGGAGUGGAUGCUUCGGUGGCCAUGCAUGCAUGCAAGGAGGAUGGAGCGCAUGCAUGCAUCAAGAAUUGCUUCAUCUUGUUUUAAAACACAAUAGUCCCUGGCUUCUUUCAUUCUUUUCUUUCUGAGUACAAGUAAAUCAUAACAUGAGUGUAAUAUAAUAUUUAUGUGAGUUAAAUAAUAUGUCCAAAGGAAUGAAAGUACCUAGUUAAUAAUUUGUGGUGUAAUAUUUGUAGACGUUUCUAUGAUAGCUAUGUCCACAUCACACAAUAUACCAAACUCAGUGGGACCGAAUCAGAAAACUCGGCCGGACCGAUUUAGGACAUAAUGUGACCAUUAGGCAAUUUUGGUGGGACCGAUAUGAUAAACUCGGUGGGACCGAUGUGCAAGGGUUAGGGUAAAACCUUAUCUCGGUUUGACCGAUUACACAUCUCGGUGGGACCGAUAUGGUAAUAAGCAAAACGGAGAGUUGGUCAGGCAAACUCGGUGUGACCGAUUACAUAUUUCUGGUGGGACCGAAAAUAUUGCAAUAGACAACAGAGAGUUUGCAAGCCCAUCUCGGUGAGACCGAGAUCCCAUCGGUGAGGCUAAACUGAUUAGGGUUUCUGGCAGUGGCUAUGUCAAAUGAACUCGGUGGCGCCGGAUGGAUCAAAUCGGUGGGGCCGAGUUUGACUUUUGGUUUGGGACAUAUGUGGAUAUGAGAAAGUGGUUGAGAUAUUUGGAGCAUAUCACUAAGCACUUUGAGCAAGCAAGCCAUUAAGCAACACCUCAUCCCCUUUUAAUAGUAUUGACUUUCCUAUAGACUCAAUAUGAUCUUGGAUCACUGAAAAUAGAAAAUGCAGAGUCAUGAGGUUUGAGCUUGAGCCAAUCCUUUGUCCUUGGCAUCUUGAAGGGGUUCCACAUCCUCUUGUCGAUGCCACUCCACUGUUGGACUUAUCUGAAAUAUACUAGAUGGAAGUAUCAGUCCAACAAGAGAUAUGUUGACAUUAAUUACCGAAAUCACCCAGGGAGCACUUGUGCUUUCAAAAAGUCACGACAAAGUUUGACAACCUACCUAACAGAAUACAAGCAAAAGAACACCAACAUUCACAUAGCGUUCUAUCAAUGACUCGACUCUGGGUCAAAUAGAAACACAGUAUGUACAUAAUUAUUUGAAAACAGUUCUGAAAAUAUCUUUCAAAUAAUUUUCUUAACUUCCAUGUUGCAGUUAGUUUCUGCGUCAAUUGGUGCAAUGGGUCAUCUACUAGUUAAAAAAGAUCAAACUCUACAGAUGGUCCGAACAAAAAAGCCGAGAACCGAGGCCUCGUUUUUUUAGGUACUAGAUGAUUACCCCACACGUUGUUGCGGGAACUCUUAGUUGUACGCACGUGAUAAUAUAAAUUAAAUAACUUUGCUUGCAAAGUCGAUAUAUGAUCUUAAGAUGAAAAAAUUGUAAUGAAUACCGCAAUUGGAAUAUAAUUGAACUUUCAAAAAUGUGAAUUAUGAUAUCACAUUUUCUACUAAUUGCACUGAAAAAAAUAGCGCACUAUAACAUCGCUAAUAGCACGCUAUAGCGUAUUGAGAAUUGCCUCGCUAAAUAUAUCGGUGUACAAUGUCUCGCUAAUAGCGUGAUAUAGCACGCUAAUAAUAUAUUUUGAGGCUAAUAAUAUAUUUUGAGGUCACCCUAUUUUGCUGUAGCGUGCUAUUUUUUUCAUUGACUAAUUGUAGUGAUAUGCCAUAAGCAAUCUACGUAUGAGUAAAACAAUCCUUAUAUCUACAUAGUUAUUAAGACCUCAUCAAAGAACAAAAACUUAAAACGAAUAUGACCAUUGUAGUAUUUUGCUAUAAUUGACGUCGAAUGAUGAAGCUCUAAUAUCACAAUGAGAACAAAUCAAAUCAAGAUCAUUUGAAGAAAAGAGUACCAAUUUAUUUUCUCUUUUUCCUAUCAACACAAAAACCAAUUCCUAUUGUCUAAAAGUAUGAGGUUGUCAAGAGCAUGAGAACUUACAUAUAGAUAAGCACCGAGGUCCAAGUUAUCCAUGUAGUUAAAAACGACAAUUACAUGCAAGCAAUUAACCAAUAAUCAUAUCGACUUGACAUACUUUCAGUUCACUGGCAUUUUUCCAUGCAAGAUACCAACGGAAAAGAGCACUACAGAAUAGAGUUCCCUACAGAAUAUACUAAAACAAACACAUUAAUUUAGGCAAACUGAUAAAAAUAUGGUAUAAUCCAUUUAUUUACCAGAAAUUUGGUAGGUGAUCACACAUAAGCUAACUGUACACAUACUUCCAAGAACCUUACCCUAUAUGAUCUACAUAUAACCAUAAAUGAGAAGGAAAAAAAUCACUGUUAUGCAAAACGAUCACAGAUCGUUUUCUAUCAGGGCCUAGACUACAUGACCCAUCACCAGUAAUAUUAGGUAAUUACAAAUAAUCAAGUAUCUCAUGAGACAACAAAUAUCACACGUGAGCAUCAGGUACAUGUAUGUUCCAAACCCAAGGUGAUUUGUUUCAUUUAGCGUAAAGCCAAAUUUCAUUUUAGGUGUGUCCAUGCGUACUACUUAUGGGUUGGAUAGAAACACGUAGUACAAUAGGGGUUCAUCUGCUAGAAUUAUGACGAAAGUCAAAACAGUUACUUCUCAAAUCUUUUUUCUAGGACUCUUGUAUCAGUUUAAACUUUCUCCACUUCUGCAUUCAUGCUCUCCAGCUAUGUCAACAAAGACUACGUCAAUACCAGUAAACAGAGCUGACACCCCAAGUUGUAUGUGAAGGGCUCUCACUGUGAAGGGGGUAAAUCUUGGAUGCCAUUCCUCAACUUAAUUAAGCUUCUGCUUCACCCAUCCUGCAGUCUACAAUUGCUAAACAAAUACGUACAAUAUUGGCAGGCUGAUAGAUAAUAGCCACAAAGAGAUCCCCCAAUGGACUGCUGAUGGAAGUAGAUCAAAACUUCUCUGAAACAAAAGCCAAUACACAUAUCUGAAUGAAUUAUAGCAGAACAGAUACUUCAAUCCUAAUAUGUGAUGGAUAGUUAAUUACUGAUUCAAGGUCAAGUGACAUUUAGAUUUGAUAUUGUAAAAGAAAAUAGGGAAAGAAUCAUGCCUUAUUGGAUCCCAUGUACCUUGCUGACGGGAACAUUGCCGCCACUGAUACAGAGGUUCAUCUUGCACACUGCAAGGAAAUCCCACAGCUUCCACCAGCGGUAGUAUCUGAUCACAGCAGCGAAAAUACUUACAUGAAAACAAAACUGAGCAUUGCCCGCCUGGCUGGAUAGGUGUGUAUCAAUGGUGCUCGCAACUGGUAUAAACCGGAAAAAAAAUCAUUCAUGAAUAACUCAACCUGAAUCAUGGAUUGCUCUCCAUAGUCUGAGCGAUAGCUGUACCGUACCCAUGCAUAUGUGCAUGCUAUAUCAAGAAAAUCAGCAAUUCUAAUAAGAUAAUAAACCUAUCCAAUGGUUCGUAUCUAGAUGUUUCCCCUACUAAAAAUUCACAUCGACUUGUCAUCAGGAGCUUCCUUGCUGCAAAAUACACACAAUAAAAUAAAAAUUAAACUGGUUCGGUUCUAUCUGAAUCAAUUGAUGCCCGCACGUGGUGGAUAGCCUGGGACUCGACACUGAAAUCAGUAGAUGGGUACCUUCACAAUCGGCAGUGGAAUCAGACUGGACAUCGCCGGAUGGUUUCCUGCAAACUAGGUCCUGCCGGAGGGCCGUAAAAUGAGGUCUCGGCCGCCGUGCCGAAUGCAGAUGAGAGCCGGGCCAUCGGUCCUGCCGAAGAGGCGUAUGACGGGAG
RNAcentral lists this long non-coding RNA (95300 nucleotides) under Triticum aestivum (bread wheat). Its description in RNAcentral is "long non-coding RNA (TAES_LNC004291)". The stretch from base 39697 to 39831 matches the Rfam family "MIR1120/MIR1122 microRNA precursor family". The record is from RNAcentral. Lineage: Eukaryota; Viridiplantae; Streptophyta; Magnoliopsida; Poales; Poaceae.